UCUUAAGUCCUAACUACCAUGGCCUCUUUCGUUCCUACUCAAUGCCUUUUACAACUCCUCUUUGUGGCUUCUCUGCUUCCAUUCAUCUCAGCAGCCAGGAGACUUGCUCAAGACCAGCAACCUCUGCUUCUUCAAUACCACAAUGGCCCUCUUCUUUCCGGAAAAAUCUCCAUUAAUCUCAUCUGGUACGGAAAGUUCAAGCCUUCCCAACGCGCCAUUGUUUCUGAUUUCAUUACCUCCCUCUCUUCCUCCAAAACCACCCCCCACCAACCCUCUGUUGCGGCGUGGUGGAAUACCAUCGACAAAUACUACCUCCUCAUUAAGUCCAAGAAAUCCACCUCCCUCGGUCUCUCCCUAGGCACCCAAAUCCUCGACGAGAACUACUCUUUGGGUAAAUCACUGACCAGUCGAAAUCUCAAACAGUUGGCAGCAAAGGGGCAGCAGAGCAACGCCAUUAACGUAGUCUUGACAUCUUCUGAUGUAGCCGUUGAAGGGUUCUGCUCCAGCAGGUGCGGAACACAUGGGUCUUCUCCCAGCUCCAAGACUGCUAAGGUUAAUGGCAAGAUCUCCAAGUUCGCAUACAUCUGGGUGGGUAACUCCGAGACUCAGUGCACAGGUCAAUGUGCAUGGCCAUUCCACCAGCCCAUUUACGGACCCCAGAGUCCACCCCUGUCCGCACCCAACAACGAUGUGGGUAUGGAAGGUAUAGUUAUGAACCUGGCUAGCCUCUUGGCUGGAACUGUUACGAACCCCUUUGGAAAUGGAUACUACCAAGGUUCCGCAGAGGCUCCCCUGGAGGCUGCAUCGGCCUGCCCUGGGAUUUAUGGGAAGGGCGCGUACCCUGGCUAUGCCGGAAAGCUGUUGGAGGAUCCCACCACAGGUGCUAGCUAUAAUGCCAAUGGUGUGAAUGGGAGGAAGUACCUGCUUCCUGCAUUGCUUGAUCCUUCAACUUCCACCUGUUCUACUCUGGUCUGAUAGACUGAUACUACUAUGCUUCUCUAAAUUCAUUUAGUUGUAUAGCACGGAGACGAUAACCGAUUCUUUGUUUGUAUUUGAUUAAUUACCAUUAUGUAUUCUUUUUCCCGUCUGAAUAAAUGAAAUUCCAAUGUUUUCUUUCAUAUCCAACCAGUUCAGCCUUCCUCUGAUAUUUUUUCUUCACAUCCCAAUCCCAACAAAAGCCGCACUGCGCCCUCCUCUGCUAUUCAAACUCGUAUGUGGUCAAAAUCAUUAAUGAGAUCUACCAUUGGAGAAAGCUUUAUUAUAAUAAGGAAAAUUUUAAGCAAAACCUUUAGGACAUGGAAUGAUCUGCUGCUUUUCUCGUCCUACAUUUUUAAUUUAAGACUUAAAUUUCCAACCUCGUCUACAUGCCAUCAUUAUUUAUUCAGAAGUUGCAAUUGAAGAAACGUUUAUAGCACGUUUUGCAGGAAUAUUAUUAAUAAUUUAAGUAUGUAACAUUCUCAAAAGGCAGUCUAAGAAGAUGUAUACUUCCAACCUUGGAUUUUGUCACAAUUAUUCAUGGCCCAGCCUCCACGUGAAAUUCUAAUAGAUGUUCAAUAAUUCAAACGGAAAUGUGCAAUAGAAUAUGUCAACCCUUCAAUGUGAGGAAGGUUUGGCUAAAAUUUUAGCUUAAAUUAAGAUUUUAGAGAAUAUAACAUCAUAAUUUUUUUUCAUGUUUGUCGUAAGGAAGAAAUAAAAAGGGCCUUAUCACGUUGGUGAUAUAAAUUUUCUAAUUUAUUUCAAUGAUUUCUUUUUUCUCAUGAAAAAAAAAAUAAAAAUCCUCAUAAUGAAUGCAAGUUGGUUUUCGAGAUAAAAAUAUGUUGGCUAGAUGUGUAAUAUAUGAAAAAUUAGAAAAUAAAAUAUUCAACAAAUUUUCUCCUGUUAAUUCAACAUUUCUCAAUAUUUUUAUAAAUUUAAAAUUAUUACUUUUAAAAUAUUAUUUAUAAAUUAAUUUAAAAUAUUUAGUAUUAUUAUUCUAUAACAAAAUGACCUAUUGAUUUUUCUUUAACUUUUUAAUAUCUAAUAAAAAUAAAAUAUUAAAUCAACAAACUAUUUAAUACUUAAUAUUAUUAAAUACUAUUUAAUUCUAAAUUCUAUUUAAAAUUAACUAAAAAGAAAAAGAAAAUAUCAUCUUAAUCAUGUCAUAUCAAUUCUCAAAAUUAGAGUUUGAGGGCUUAAUUUUUUUAACCUGGCAUCAUUUGGAUUGAUACAACUUUUAUAAUAAAUAAAUUUUUGCCAAAAAGAGUACAUAUAAAAAUAAUUUAAUUUCACACAUAAAGAAUAUUGUGGGGUCUAGGUCUCUUUGUAAAAAGUUACUUUAUAAAAGUAUUUUCUUAACUUAAUUUAUAGAAAAAGCUCCUAAAUCAUGAAUCUCUCAUUUUUCAUAUGUUUAAUAAAAAAUUUUUAUAAAAUUUCUUGAAUUGUUUGAAACAUAUGCUAUAUGAUUUCAAUGAUAUUUCAAGUAAAACCUUGAUCAACUAACUUUCUAGAAGACAUAAAAUUUUUAGAAAUCUAGAACUUUAGGAGUAGCAAUAACAAAGAUAUUUAAGUGGCAUACAAGUCAGAUUGUUUUUGAGGAGUUUCAAACUUCAAAUCAUAACCGGUCCAAAUGUUAUACAUUUGAGCAGGAAACAGAAAGACUGUCACUAAUUUGGGGUGUUAGUUUAGCCAAAUUAAGCUAGGGCCAUAAGAUGUUUGGGACCACCUCGAUUUUAAGUCAUUUUGCCAACAACUAUUAAGGCAUUAACAACUAACUAGGCAGGCCGGACCCUUAUCCAUUUCUAUAAAAGACAUCAUCUGUAUGGCUACCGACCUAAAUUGAUUGCAUGCCAAAUGAACAAAUUUCAUACCCAAUAAUCACAUGUAACUUCUAAUUAGCUGAGUGUAAUUGUUUUGUCAUUAAAAUUGCUGUCCCGGUCCCAUCACAUGGUGCGAAUACAUCGUGAUUUGUUAACUUAAUUGGAAAUAUUACAAUCCAAACAACUAAGAUUGUGGGUAUUAAUGGAAAAUCCAAUAUUGCAAUGUUGAUGGUUGCAACUUGCAGCUUGGAUCUUAUACUUAUAGUCUCACACUCGUUUCACACGUAGUCGAUAUGAUCAUGAAUAACGGGGUCCAUCCCCGAGGGCCCCGUGAUAACAACAGAGCACUGAGCACCUAAAAAUUAAAAAUGGUGUGCAUGUAGCCGCCGCAAGGAAAACCAUGCCAGUGUUUGGAAUAAUUUUGGCUUUUGUGUCUUUCAAGCUAGCCGCUUCUCCAGAGAGAUGAAAGCACGGUAUCGAUCGAAUCAAGUGGAUCAGGGCCCGGAGUUUUAAAUGGCGGGUCGGCGCACACUGAUGUUUUGAGCCAUCUAAAACCAUGAGCAUAUUGAUUCCUUGAGUUAUUUAGAAAAUGGGGAUGUGCUUUCAGCGUAUACAAACUCACCUGUGACUAUCUUACUCUAAAGCAAAUAAUCACGGACGAGUGCUAACCCUAGGAUCGUUAUCUUCACAUGCAAGGAUUACCUACUUGUUAUUCCCCCUGUCCCUUGACUUUGGGUUUUAUAUUUUUGGACGAUCAGAAAGAAGGAAACACCUACCCUUGAUAACCACGUCAUCAGGCACAACCUGGCGAAAACUGCCACGCGUUUGACACUAAAAGUGGUCAAUUAAUCAACGCGGCACGAUUUCAAUGUUUCUUCCAUCACUCCCUUUUGGCCAGCGCCACACGCGCACUCCAUGAUGACACCACCUUUCUAUGACUAUAUAAGUAUCGCAACAGUCGACUCUUCCUUCACACUCAUUCCUCACCAAUCCAGCUUUUCACACUCUCUGCAUCACCUUCACCCCACUACUUUACCUUCUCAAUGACUUCUACUUACCAUUUCUCCAUCUUUGUUUCACUUCUCCUACUCUCCUGCCUUCCCAACCUCACCUCCGCCACACCUCGAAAACUCUUCUCUCUUGUUCAAGAGCAACCUCUCAUUCUCAAGUACCACAACGGGCCACUCCUUAAGGGCAACAUCACCCUCAAUCUCGUUUGGUACGGAAACUUCUCCCCCAUCCAACGCUCCAUACUCGUCGACUUCCUCCAGUCUCUCAAUUCCCACACCACCACGCCCCACUCCGUCUCAUCGUGGUGGCAGACCAUCCAGAAGUACAAAGGAGUCUCCUGCACCCUCGCCGUUGGGAAUCAGAUCCUCGAUGAAGACUACUCUCUAGGGAAGUCAUUGCGAAGUUCAGACAUCAUUUCCUUGGCUUCUAGAUCAAACCAAAGGAGCGAAAUAACCGUGGUGUUCACAUCGGCAGACGUGGCGGUAGAAGGGUUCUUCAUGAGCCGGUGCGGGACUCACGGGUCAACUCAGAGUAAGUGGGCCUACGCGUGGGUGGGUAACUCGGAGACUCAGUGUCCGGGUCAGUGCGCAUGGCCAUUGCACCAGCCCAUGUAUGGACCACAGACUCCGCCGCUGGUGUCUCCAAACGGGGACGUGGGAAUUGACGGAAUGGUGAUCAAUUUAGCGACUGUUUUGGCGGGAACGGUGACUAAUCCGUUUGAUAACGGCUACUUUCAAGGAUCGGCUAGCGCGCCGUUAGAGGCGGUGACGGCUUGUACAGGUAUAUUCGGGACAGGAGCUUAUCCAGGAUAUCCCGGCGAAGUUCUGGCGGAUGGAACGACUGGGGCUAGCUAUAAUGCUGUUGGGGUGGAUGGGCGUAAAUACUUAUUGCCGGCGAUGUGGGACCCUCAAACCUCCACCUGCAAGACAUUAGUCUGAAGCCUGAACCUAAUGGAUGAUUUGUGUUCUGUGUGGUACCAGCAAUUGUUUGUUUGGAGGAGCUUUGUACUCCCAGCUUUGAAGUUUGUUCUUUUUUUUCAUCAACCUUAUCAUAUGUAAAUGUUUAUGUAUCAUUAAUUAAAUUUGUUUCAUUAGUCAACCAAUCCUCUGUCUCCUUUGCCUUCUAAAAAGUUUCAAAUUUUUUCUAACAAUUUUGGGUCAUUAGGUUUUGGUGGAAGUUUCAAGUUGACUAACCAGUUAGCUUCUGGAUUUAACUUAACCCCAUAUUAAGCUGAGGAACCAAUCUGGUUUUAGCACAUGUGCAUUGAUUGGUAUUCUUUAUAAUGGAAUCUAACUGCUUUCUUUUUUACCCCAUGAGAAGAUUUCACCAUAUUGUCCUCCAUUCUUGCACACAACCGUAUCAUCUGACUGAAUUUUCUAUGAAAUAAUAAUUAUUUUGGUUUUUUUUUUUUUCAUUUUUCUUUUUUCUAACACAUAUAAAGUAAAAAAAGAAAAAAUUAUUAUUAAAAUAAAUUACAAAAUUUAUUUACAAUAGAAUUAAAUUAAAAAAAUUAAAGAGAUAGGACGAAACCGGAAAUUCUCAUAUUUGUUUCAUUCGAAUCUUUUUAGGGUAGAGGAAAAUAUGUUUAAACGAUGGAAUGGGAUUGGGAUAGAGUAACAAUUCGAAUCCACCUCGCUAUCAUUCCUGGAUGUUUGAGCAAUGGGUCUGGUCGAGCAGCCCGACCUGUGGACACUGGGAUCCUGGAGCACAGCGCUGUCCUUCUAGUUAAUAAGUUGGAAUCAUGGUUCGACUUGGUUUCUGUUCACGUCGUAGCCAUUUGCGAUUUGCUCAGUAACACUGGUGACUUAAUCAUGGGCCGUGGGCUGCUUUCAAGACUUGGGCUUUUCAAUUGGAUUCGGCCCAAUUGGGUUUGGACUCAGGUGAUGAAUGAGCCGGCCCAAUCUGGAAAAUGUUGCAUUUAAAGUUUGGACCAUAUUAUCUGUUGGAAGGAAGUUCUGAUUUCUUAAAAUUUUUAUGUUUUUGAAGGUUUAAGGAGUGAGGACUUGAGUGUGGAUUCAUCCCAGAGCAUAGUUUGAUGGAAUGGCUGUGUACAUUCGCCUGAUUCUUUGUAAUAUUAUGUAAAAAAAAAAAUUGAGAUUAAAGAAAAAGUGAAAAACACAUAUGACCAAGCUGAGGCGCUGAAAAGAAAAAAGAAACAAGGCUUUUUAAGGCAGAAGACGGUGAUCUCCUCUCAGUUUCCAGUUUCCGCCAUCCACAGCCAAAUCUCAUGGAUCCCCAUCAACACCAACCCAUUGGACAAGCAGACGAAACCUCACCCCCUCCCUCCAACACCGCUACCACUUCAUGCCGCUGCUGCGGCGGCCCCACCACAUGCCCACCUCCACCGGCAUGGUCCGACAUCUCUCCGCCACCCCCCUACCGCCCCAUCCGCGCCCCCGCCAUCAACCUUCCUCCUUCCAACUCUCAACAAGCUAUCAUCCUAGCCCCCGUUCCUCAAGCCCAGAAGACCCCCGUUGUCUCUCCGCCCUAUCUUUUCCAAAUCCCCGUCAAGCGAAUCCAGACCAGACGACAUUCGCCAUUUCCAUGACUCCGAUUCCGGGAAGAACUUCUUAGGUUUCGUCGUUUCCCUUAGCGAAUCCAUUCGCUCCCACAAAAUUUCCGACCCUUGCCACCAAUCACCAAUCCUCAAUUCUAUUCUCUCCAUCCUUCAAUCUCUAAUCGACUGGGUCGACGAAAUACCUCCCGUUCAACAAUCUUCCCGUUACGGUAAUCUCUCUUUUAGGGUUUGGCAAAGUCGGUUGUUCGAUAAUAGCGAGCAACUGAUGCUCCAAUUCCUCCCCGAUGAUCUCCGGUCGGCUACCGUCGAACUCGUCCCUUACUUUGCCGAUAGUUUUGGGAAUUCGAGUCGAAUCGAUUAUGGAACCGGUCAUGAGACCAAUUUUGCUGCGUGGCUUUAUUGUUUGGCUAGAUUAGGGUUGCUCAAGGAAGAGGAUUACCAGGCUCUUGUUUCUAGGGUUUUUGUGAAGUACCUUGAAUUGAUGAGGAAAUUGCAAUUCGUCUAUUGCCUUGAACCUGCGGGAUCCCAUGGAGUUUGGGGUCUGGACGACUAUCAUUUUCUGCCAUUUAUAUUUGGGUCGUCGCAGCUGAUCGAUCACAAGUAUAUGAAACCCAAGUCAAUUCAUAAUCAGGAUAUUCUGGACAACUUCUCCAAGGAGUAUAUGUAUAUUUCUUGCAUUGCAUUUGUGAAGCAGGUGAAGAAAGGCCUAUUUGCAGGGCAUUCCCCAUUGUUAGAUGAUAUUAGUGGUGUAGCUAAUUGGAACAAGGUGAAUAGUGGGAUGCUCAAAAUGUAUAAAGCUGAGGUGUUGGAGAAGGUUCCAAUUAUGCAGCAUUUCCUAUUUGGGUGGCUCAUCAAAUGGUAUGAUCACUGUUAAUGAGUAAUUAGCCCUGUAUGUGAUUCAUGCAUUUUUAGUUCAUUAUAAGUCAUCCACACUUUGCAUCAUGUUUAAUUGGGAAUCUUAAAAUUAUUACGAGUUUUUAUGGUGUUUUAUGAGCAUAAUCGUUAUAUUUAUAUCGUCUAUAUCAGUAACCUAUAUGGAUAUUUGGUGCUAAACCUGAUAUUUUUGGUCCCUGGAUAUUCAUCUAUUAUUUCAAUGACAAUGUUGGUUGAGGAACAACUCUAGUGUUGAUACCUUGAUCCAUGGGUUUUGUCAGGCUGAGACUUUCAUUAGCUAUUUGAUCCUCACCACCACUGAUUGCUAUACUGAAAUUUUUUUACCUAUGAUUUCUGUUAUCAUUUUAUUUAAAGCAUAGAACCCUACUUGUUAGCUAUAUGAUGUAGAAGUGAUGCACUGAGUCAAUGUUCAUGAUGAAAUAGAACCAAAGAGAUUGGCAUUAUGUUGGGUUGGUCCAUUUUUUUGGAUUCAUUAAAUCUAUCAAAAAUAAAUAAAAUUUGGAUUCAUUAACCAAGUUACUACAUAUGUUCCUUUGAUAUUUAUUAUUUGAGUAAUGUGUGUACAAACUACAAUAAAUAUCAGCCUUUUCAUAAAAAUUUUGCUUGAGUUUUCCUUAUCUCUGCACUUUUAACAUGUGUUAAUCUUUCAACGGUCUGCUUUAGUCCUCAUUCUAAGCUUGUUAAUGUGCCUUUACUUCAAACAUCUUUUCCCACCUUCUGAGUCAUUUCUUUUAAGUCAUGUAUCUCAUCUUAUAGAAAUUCAAGUGUAAUCUAAUGUCUUGAGCCAUUUUAAUUAUUUUAGUUUGAUUUGAUUUAAAAAAAAACUUUAAUGAUCAAAACUUUCAAAUUAUAAUGCAUUUGGCUAGUGAAUAUUACUUAUAAGCCCAAUGUCUCUAGACAAAUAUUUCUGGGUUUUUAAUACAUCUCAUGAGUUCCAUUUGGUAUUCUAGCCCUUUUAGCUAAGUGGUUGCAUUUCUACAUGGGAGGUCUGAGAAUCUCAGAAAGCUAAAACUAAAACAAAGUGAUUUAGUUAGUUAGUGCUUAUAUUCUGACUACUGGUUGUGUAAUAAGCUAAAACUAAAACAAACUCUGAUUUUGUGCCUGACAGCUUGUGCAGACGCUGGUAUAGUGUUUCCUCCAUUUCCAUCAACAACAAAGUCACCAUACCAUACCGGGCUUAAGGGAGGAAACAACCAUGGAAAACUGCUCUGAAGCCCUAAGAGUUUCAAUAAACUUCUGAACAGCCCGUGAUGCAUGAAUUCUUAACCAAGUCUCCAGCUAACACUGCUUGGAGACUCUAAUACCCAAAGUUGACAGAGAUAAGGGCUAAGAUUGUUUUACAGACAGUGAUAUAACAUGCUCAAGGUGAAUGUAAGAUGAGAUAUUCCUGGAUUUAUUAGGAUUGCCAGAAAGUCGAGGAGACUGAACAUUGAAGUAUGAACUCUAUGUGGAGAUGGUGCAAUUCCAGGGGGUUGUGCCCAGAGAUUCAAUGUGUCUAGGCUUCUUUCCCGGUAUACGGAUCAGCAUGUCAUUGCAACAAGCACAGAUUCCAGAAGACCACUGAGAUGGACUAUCACUGGUGUGACGAUGAACAGAGAGGUCACUGUAAUGAGGAAUAAUCUCUAUAUCCUAAUCUGACUGUCCUAAAGGAAUAUAGGGGGUGGUACAUAACUGAUGAUGCAUCUGAUCGGUCAUUACUGGGCUGUGGCACAUGAUGCCAUUCUGAAGCAGGUGGCAUGCUCUUGUUAUCAUUCGACUGAGGAAAGACUGAUGGCACAGAUUGUCCUUUGGCAACCCUCAAUAGAAGCAUAAGUGCGUUUUCGAGGCUCUCCAACAAGUUCAUCAACAUGAGCAGGAGGGAGGUCUUUUAAAGUGUUUUGGUUGUUUUUCCCAUCAAUAGGAGUGGUUCUAUACAGGGGUGAGGGGAGCAAUGACCCAUCUAAAGGUACGUACCUAAAUGACUUUUUUCUAAGAGGAACCCAAAGCCCCCAUUGGUUGGACUAGUUGUCUUGGGUUGUAUUUAACUAUGAUACUCCUUUGGUUAUUUCCUUCUUUGAUAGACAAGGAUAGCACAAAAUUCGUGAUAAUCAAAUAUGAAAUUGUCUAAUGCGUGAUAAAGUUUAAUUCAAGACCUUGCAAAAUUCAAAUAUGCACUUUCCAUCCACAAGAUUUAGCAAACUGAUGGGGCCUCUACCUUCUCUGUACCCUCCAACCGUACUCUGGCGUUUUGUGCUAUGGCACUAUAGACCUUCCAGGCUUUUAGUGCUUCAGGGAAUCCCAUUAUUCAUCUUCUAACCAUAUUUAAGAAAAUAUUUUGUUUUUUGUUGUGCUUUUUUAAGUGGUAUUUGCUAUCAACUUAGUGAUACGAGUCUUUCUUAUCUUGAGAUGUUUCCUUUCAAGGCAAAAAACCUAAAACAAAAGUUUGAAGAGCAACCCUUUUACAUAUUUUUUGGACAGAACGAAGAGAAGGAAAACAAAGGUCUUUUGAUAACGUAGAGUAAAUGUAUCUUUCUUUAACAAAUUCUCUUAUUUGUAAUUCUUUCUCAAGAAAGAUUUUUUCAGGUGAUAUUUGUUUUUUUAACUUUUUACUGAAAAUAAUUUAUUUUUAAAAUUUAGGUUGUUUGUUUUUCUAUUUUUUCAUGACUUAUUAUAAAUUUUUUACUAAUUAGAAAAAACUAAAAUAUAUAACUUUUUUUGAAUAAAAAAAAAUAAUAUAUUGAGUUUUUUUACUUUUUAAUAUUUAAUAGAAAUAAAAUACUAUAAAAAUAAAUAACCUAAUAUUUAACAUUAUAAACAUUAUAGUUUUAUUUAGAAUUAAGUAAAAAAACAAACAUCACCUUAGUAUCUUUGCUAAGUGAGGAAAAUUGUUUUUUUAGUCCUCUCCCUAUACAAUGGUUUACCUCGGUGCAUUUUUAUUUUUUAUUUUUUUAUAAAAUUCUUUUCAUUUGCCUACAUUAAUUUGGAUCUACUCAACUAUAUUUACAUGUCCUUCUGAUGUUUUUCUAAAUGCUUUUGCAGGAAGUGUAUAUAUCACCAAAAGUUAGGGAGAGAAAACGACGAACUGCGGUGGUGCGACGGGUUAAAUGAGAUUGCAUUUAGGCUGGCGUUCUGCAGCUUAACCCAACUGAAACUUGAUCGCAUAGUGACUAUCAUCAUUAUUGAUCACCGAAAACUUCGGUAUGUAUAGGCCUAUUGACACUGACGCUGAUACAAUAGUCAUAAAUAUUAUUUAUUGUUAUAUGUCUUCGCACACAGAGGACAUAUUUUCUGAUCAACAAGUGGCAAUGGCAUCUAGUUAACAUAAUUUUUGUAACAUAUAUCACAAAUGUGAUUCAUCACUCUUCCCCUUUGGAGAAGUAGUUGUGUGAUAGUGCAGCACCCCAUAAAGAGAACGCAAUGCUAGAGAAAAAAUUGGUACCUGUUUUUAUGAGACAAUGGGGCGGCGAACAUAUAUAAAAAAGAUAUGAACCCAUAGAGAUAUUGAAAAAAAUAAAAACGAUAAAGAUAACGUGGUAUAAUUAGUGUCCAUAUAUUUGGCACAUUUUUAAUGAUUUUAUACUUUUCGAGAUCGCCACAUAAAUAAAAAUAUCUUUUAGUCAAAUGAUCAUUUUUACAUUUUCAUGAUAUUGUUAUUAUUUUAUGAUAUGUCUUCUAAAAGCAUUUUUAAUGAGAAUUUUAAAUAUUUUUACAACAUAUUUAACAUUCUUAAUCUAUCAUUAUUAUUCUAUAAAAAUAUGAAAUUUUAUUUCAUAAUUGAAGUAAGAAAACAAAAACAUGUGUCUUAAGGAAAGUAAAAGAAAAAAAUAAGUAAAAGUAAAAAGUAAAUUUAAAAUUAAUAAACUAUUUCUAUAUAUUUAUUUAUUUAUAAUUAAAUCAUUUAAAUAUAUAUAAAGUUGUCAAAUUAAUUUAAAUUAUGUGUAAUCUUAUUUCCAAAAUUCUACCAUAAACCAAACCCCUGAACAUCUUUUUUUUUCCUUUAUUUAAUAUUAUUGUCUGAAACAAUAUUAAAGAAACAAACCACAACAUGAACCAUAGUAAGAAAUAUGGAAACAAGGCAGGAAAGGUGCAAAAAACUAGAUUGGAAAGUUGAGAUCUAGAGAAGCACUUGUUCAAAUAUUUUCUCCAAAUUCAAGUAAGAUGAUCCAUCUGGACCAGUGGUAGCCACUUCUGCCCUAUGCUUCCACUCCAUGGUUUUCUUUUUCAUUACUUUGCCUUUCUCUCCCACCAUCAACUCUCUCACAAGCUUUGCAACUUCAUCCCUCUUAACAUCACUGUCUAUCUCCAUUCCUACGCCCCACUCAGUGCAGCAGUAACGACAGUUGGUUUGCUGCUCUGCAAAAAAUGGCCAACAAAUCAUAGGCACUCCAGCGCAUAAACCCUCAAUUGUGGAAUUCCAGCCGUUAUGAGUUAAGAAGCCGCCAAUGGCCUGGUGCGUGAGAACUUGCUCUUGAGGACACCAACCUGCUAGUAAACCCCUGUCUUCUGUUUCUGCCACGAAUUCUGGUGGCAGAAUGGCCGACUCACCAGACACGAGAUCUGGCCUAAGAAUCCACAAGAAGCUUUGAUUGCUAUUUGCAAGUCCCCAAGCAAACUCAAUCAGUUGCUGGGGAGUCAUGACUGUGAUGCUUCCAUAAUUAACGUAAACAACAGAGUUGGGUUCUUUGGAAUCCAGCCAUUUGAGACACUCAGGCUCUUCCUUCCACAGAUUUGAUCCAAUCAACUUUAGUUCGCUAUCGUGAAUCUGAUCCGGAAGUAGCUGAAGAGGACCAAUGGUGUAGAUUGGGGGAUACAUGGGAGCAAUUGCAUCCAAAACCUCCUGCUCUAAAGCGUCAAACGUAUUGAAAAUGAUGGCAGAAGCCUUGCGAGCCCUUUCAAGCUCACCCAUGGCAAAGUCCAGCAUGAUAUCAUCUGGAUCGGUAGUCCGAAUGAAGCUCGGGAGAUCCUUCAAACGGAUACCUUUCAUGCCCGGUAUCCAAUCAACAACAGUAUCCAAAUACCCAUUUGUUAGAUAACUCUCAUCUGCAUAUCACAGAAGAAGGAAAAAUGAAAAAUCAGAGUCGGUAGGAGACUGGGAUUUGAAAAACUUGUAUUCAAAGCCGAACUUGGAAUAAUACCUUUGAGUGGUGUAAAACCCUUGUCGAUGAGACUGCGAUACUGCACAUAGGCCAUGAAGCCACAAGCACUAGCUGUCCAUAAAAGAAGGUCGGGAAUGCCGAGUUCUUGAGCCGCGUCUAAAGUGAAGCUCAUGACAGCGUCAGAAAAUAUGCAAGUGACGGGAGGACCUCUGUCGUUGAGUUUGGCGAGAAGGCGUCUAAAGGGAGCCAAACAGUUUUUUUUGGUGGAUGCACAGAGGGAAGGGAUGUCUUGGGUUGCGUCGACAUUGGACGGUGGGAGACCAUCGGGAAUGGUUUCGAACUGAAAGGUGGGGAGACCAUUGAGGGAGUUGGGGCCCUGGGCCUUGAGUAAGCGUGUGUGGUUGAACUCUGUGUUGACAAAGGUGAUACGAAAGCCUCUGAAAUGGAGGAGCUUUGCUACUUUUAGCAUAGGAUUGAUGUGCCCCUGAGCAGGGUAUGGAAUGCAAACUGCAUGAGGCUUCUCCAUGGAACCCAUUUUUGCUUUGGGAUGCCCUCCCGAUACAUCUGCCUCCAAUUUUAUAGAGUUUUUGAAUAUGGCAUCUAAGCUGUUUUUUUUUUUUUUUUUUCAAAAAAAAAAAAUCAUUGAUAAUACUGAUUUAAUCUAUGAAAUAAAACCGUCUCUGUCUAUAUUGGUUUUUAUUUGAAGUUGAAUAAAGAACCUCCGUCAUCGGUUUUGGUUCAAGUGUUUUUUAAAAAUCAACUUAAAAUCGCAUGUGCCAAAUCGAUUUAACUUUUUUCGAAAAGUCAAUUUCCGAGGCCACAGAAAGGCGGAAAGCAAGGGAGGUUGGUGGAACACCCUUUCCCUUUUUAAAACGGUACCGAACUCACUAAUUUAAUUGCACGAUCGAAGCUGGAAAUAUUUUGUUAUAAUUAAUCAAUCCUGUGCUGCAGCAACGUCUUCCACCUACACUUUUUAUCUUCAAAUCACAGUCGACUGGAAGGAUUAAGUCAUGCGGGAUCCCUUGUUAUUCAUGUAAAAGAAAAAGCCCGCGUUGGAGCCAGGGACUUCCUGUUUGUUUUUCCUGUCACGAUUGAGUGACCGCUAUCCAUGAAAAGUACGAGAAAGAACGUGACAAACUAGGAUCUUGUCAUGAGCCUCUAUCAUCUUCCGUUGAGAAUAAUGAAUUUACCACCUAUAUAUGUUAAAGCUGAUGCUCUGUUUAAAAAUUUUGGACGGCCGCUGCCCUUCCUAGCAUCAAUAUAUUGCACUGCCACGAAUCCAAAGCAAAUCUUUCUCGUUUGCAUCAGACUUUGUUUAAAAAAUGGAACUCAUAGAACUCCGCAGCUGCCCAACUAAUUAAAUCAGAGGACUAAGUUAUCGUCCAUGAAUUUAUUACUGAUAUGAACGUUAUAUAAUAUAAAGAUAAGAGAAGUGAGAGGGUAAGUUGACCAUGCACUCUCAUCUAGAUAUUAUAAUCUUCAACCAGCUCAUCCCUAAUAGGCCUCCCCUGAUAUUGGCUUCUGACUUCUGUGACUGUCUUGCAUAAUGCAUGAUGUCAAGCGAAGAAAGUGUUGGUAAUUUUUUUACUGGAAUUCAAAGAAUUGGAGAUUCGAACAAAAGAAAUGAAUGAUGAAUGAAAACCAUGUUCACGGUAUAGGAACUGCAGCCAAGUAUUGACUAGCAGGUGGAAUGAUACCAUCAGCGCCGAUUGCCUUGAAUAGUUAGUAUGCAUCCUUACUCCUUACCCAUCAUUAUCCAUCAAUUAUCUAGUAUUUAUUAUGAGUGACCAUAUAUUCGCCCACUUGUGCAGGCCCUGCAGAAGAAUAAAUUGAUGAUAUGAACUACUUUUUUAAAAAUAUCUUCCGAGUCUGGCUUGACAUCGAAAUUGAAACAGAGUAAUAAAUUGUACAAUGCCCAAUUCUCUUGGUCUGUGUGACAGAACGGACAUCUUGCUGAUCACUCCAAAGAAAAGAAUACGCAUUGCACCAUAAAAUAAUACAGUCAAGUAUUAUUGCGUCCCUCUUACGUACAUUAGAUUGAUACACUUUUGGAUAGGUUUCUGAAUUGAGAUACUUUGGAUAGUUUGGGCGGCUGGCUGACUCUCUCGUGCUUGGCCAAAUCCUUAAAACCACCUAAUAAAAUACAAACUAAAUUAAUUCAUGAUAAAAAGAAAAAUAAUAAGAGAAAUAGAAAUAGAAGGAAGAGACAUAUUUUCUUACCUAUGUCUUUAGAUAUGAUAAUUAAUUCACUAAUCUUCAAAAUCUAAAAUUGGCUAAAACUCCAACAACUUUGUAUAAAGUCAUUUUUAUACCCUUUGACUAAAGGACUUAUAUAUUCAUAAUAUCCCGAACUUUACAAAAUCAAUUCAUAAUCCUUGUGGGACAAGGAAUCGUAAAAUAUCAUAUCUUAAUUGAGUUCAAAAUUAACAAGCCAAUGUUAUUAUAUUGAUAUGUUUUGUAGCAUUUUCUAGAUGGUUAACGAGGGAUAUGAAUUUAUUUUAGGGGUUCAAAAAUAAAACAAAAUGGGCAUGUAACAUAAUGGGAACUAUGGAUUUGAUGCAAAUGCCUUUCGAAAUAGAUCAAAUCAUCAUUCUUGCUGUAUAAGGAAAUUUAGAGAAAAAAAUAUGGGUUAAACUUCUUUUAACUUGUCUUAUUUCUCAAUUAAUUAUCACUUAUCAUUAACUACGGAUAAACAUGAAAGGAAUAAAUACCCAUGUUGUUAAAUGAAGAUUUAAUCUCUAAAUUUAGAUAGCAUAUAUUUUUAAAUUUUGAAAAAAAAAAUGUCCCAAAAAACAUGAGGGCCAAGUCUAAUUAGACUCAAAGAUGUUGACAACUUAGAAUAAUAUUUCGAAUAAGAAUUUAAUGCAUCAAUUUGCUUUAUUAUUUAUUUGUCAACAUGUAUGCAGUAAGUUAUUAUUAUGACUUAAUUAUUUUCAAUCAAAUGUUCUACUAUAUGAUUGGAUUUAAUAUUUACAUUUGAGUGGGUGUAAUCCCCAGGAUUCGAACUUGGGUCCAAGCCUUAAAGUUUAGGACGUUGCCCUCCUAGUACCAUCUGGGCUACUAGCUCAGAUGGUACCAAGAGGGCAACGUCCUAAGCCUUAAGGCUUGGACUCAAGUUCGAAUCCUAGGGAGACCACUCUGUGAUGCCCCUGACUGGCACAUAGACUUUUUUUGCUCUGGUGCCCAACCAUACCAUCGAACUGUGCCAGACGAGGGCAUCACAGGAAUGGGCCGGACAGCGUAGAGUCUUAUAGGGCCAUUUGUUUAUUUGGCCCUUGGGUGACGUCUCCAGGAUUCGAACUCGGGGCCUUAACCCAGACAGUUGCCCUCCUGGUACCAUCUAGGCUACUAAUGUUGAGGUCUUGCGUCAUGAUCCACAUAACUACCAAAUGGACGCACACUUUCAACCAAGAUAGAGUUCUGGUUCAGUUUUCCCUGCAAAAGAUGUCCGGACAGGGUGUCCAGACACACCCUCCAAUGGUUUUUUCAGUCAUGGUUAGAGAGAUUAAGCAGUUGGCCUUUUACUAGGUAUAGCAAGCUUACCUUCCUCCUUAUGUGAAGGUCCUUAUAUAUAGUAUCAGAAGUUCUGCUUCCCUCUUUAAUGGUAGGGAGACUUUUUGACUCGUCAUGAUGCCUCUAGGUGGUGGCAGGGCUAUCAUCACCCUACAGGUGGCUGUCAGAGAUCGUGGGAAGUGACUUGCCAUCAUUCAUGUCCUUUCGCUCUACAGGUGGCGGAACGUGGGUUGUGGCAGGCUGUCGGAAUGAUGUAGUAAGACUUACUUACUUUAGUCAACGAUCCGGACAACAUAUCCGGAUAGGAUAUGCUAUCGUCCGGAUGUGAUGUUUGCGAGUGCCGUGUGCUUCUCCCUGAGGAAGUCCGGAUGGAGUCACUCCGGACAGCGAGGCGCCCACGUAUCAUAAGGGGGAGGGGUCCCUACAAUGAUGAGCAGUGCAUAAAUACAUUUCCACUUUAUUCACCUUACUAAUACUACAUUUAAAUAUGGUGCACAAAAGUUCAUCAUAAAACAAGGAAAGGAACGUGCGGAUGCUAAGUUUUAACUUGUUGGAAUGCUUGGGAUUUGGAGAAACACUUGAUUUAUCAUUUUGUCCAAGUUGGAGUAAGAUGAGCCAUUUGAAUCAAUGGUGGCCUUUUGUGCCAUCUUCUUCCACUCCAUGGCCUGCUUUUUCAUCUCUUUGCCUUUGUCUCCCUCGAUCAAUUCUCUCACAAGCCUCUCAACUUCAUCUCUCUUAACGUCACUGUCGAUCUCCGUGCCUAUGCCCCAUUCUGUGCAACAGUAGCGGCAGUUGGUUUGCUGCUCUGCGAAAAAUGGCCAGCAAAUCAUGGGCACUCCUGCACUCACACUUUCCAUAGUGGAAUUCCACCCGUUGUGAGUUAAGAACCCACCAACGGCAGGGUUGCUGAGAACUUCCUCCUGAGGACACCAACUUGCUAGCAGACCCCUGUUUUUGGUCUCUGCCAAGAAUUGUGGCAGAAGAAUGGCCGACUCACCAGACACAAUAUCCGGCCUUAUUAUCCAUAAGAAUGUUUGAUUGCUAUUUGCCAGUCCCCAAGCAAACUCAUUGAGUUGAUCUGUUGUCAGGCUUGUCACGCUUCCAAAAUUCACGUAAACAACAGAGUUGUGUUUUUUGGAGUUGAGCCAUUCGAAAAAACCCCAUUCUUCUUUCCACAGAUUUGAUCCAAUCAACUGCAAAUCAUUAUCUUGGACCUGAUUCACGAGUAGACUUAAAGGACCAAUGGUGUAAAUUGGAGGAAACAUUGGUGAAAGUGCAUCCAAAACAUCCUUCUCGCAUCAAACGUAUUGAAAAUGAGGGCAGAAGCUUUGUGGGCUCUUUCAGCCUCAUGCAAUGGAAAGUCCAGCAUAAUUUCAUUUGGGUCUGUAGUUCGAAUGAAGCUCGGGAUGUCCUUCAGACGAAUACCUCUCAUACCAGGUAUCCAAUCAAUAACGGUGUCCAGAUACCCAUUUGUUAAGUAACUGGGGUCUUCAUGUCACAGAAAAAACAGAUUCAAAAAAAAAAAAAAAAAAAAAAAAUACAAGAAUCGGUACUGCUAACUCGGAUUUGAAAAUGUAUAUGCAAAUUGGGGUUUAGGUUGAUACCUUUAAGGGGUAUAAAACCCUUGUCGAUGAGAUUGCGAUACUGCAAGUAGCCCAUGAAGCCACAAGUACUAGUUGUCCAGAAAAGAACGUCAGGAAUGGCCAGUUCUUGGGCAGCAUCAAGAGUGAAGCUCAUGGCACCAUCAGAGACUAUGCAAGUGACAGGAGGCCCGUCGUGGUUAAGUUGGGAAAGAAGGUCUCGAAAAGGAUCUAAGCAGUUUUUUCUGGUGGAGGCGCAGAGGUAGCGGAUAUCUUGGGUGGCGUCUUCAUCGGACGGAGGGAGACCAUCGGAAAUGGUUUUGAAUUGGAAGGAAGGCAGAUCAUCAAGGGAGUUGGGGCCACGGGACUUGACCAGGCGCUUAUGGUUAAACUCCGUGUUGACGAAAGUAAUAUGUAAGCCUUUGAAACAGAGGAGCUUUGCUAAUUUUAGCAUAGGGUUUAUGUGGCCUUGAGCUGGGUAUGGUAUGCAAACUGCAUGAGGCUUCUCCAUGGAGACAACUCAGCUCUUUAUCUUUGCUCUCUCUUCCAGUCUUGUAUAUCAUCGUGCCGACCCAGCUCCGGUCUUAUAGGGCGGGAGAGAGAGGGUCUCUACACAAUAUGUUUAACUCUCGAAAAAUAUUAUUAAGGAAAAAAAAUUAUUUAAAAAAAUAUUUUUUUUAUAUUUAACUUUACUAUAAAAAAUUUCAAAAAAAAAAAAUCAAAUACAAUUAAAAUUAAUUAAACUUCAUUUAUAUUAAAUUUAUUUAACUUAUUAAUAAAAAUAAUUAAAAAAUAAUUUAUUAAUCUUAAAUUUAUUUUUUACUUUUUAUUAUUUUUUUCUCUUUCAAAUUUUCAGAACCAAACACAGCGUUAAAGAACACGCAUGCAGUCAUUUUUCACAUGCGAGGAUGUUGAUGGGUGUUGUCGACCACCUAACUCUCACAGUUUAAAUAAUAUAUAUAUAUAUUUUAAAAUUUUAACUACUUUUUUUUUUUAUGUAAAAGAACCCUACUUUUACUGUACCAGAGGUGAUGUCUUUUUGUUGGAAUUAGUAUCAAAUGGAUGCUUCAUUGUACCUAAGUUAAAGCAUGCUUAAAUUUUAAUUCUUGUAUAUCUUGUUUUCUGCAGGAUAUUAGAGUAAAACAGGUUUCACGCAUUAUUGGACGAUCACGCCAUUUCUCUUCCAGAGUUGGAAAGUCCAACGGAGAGCAGAACUCGUUUUCAAUGACUCAAUUAUUUUCCGUUGAUUCCGUUGAUUAGACGGGAUAGCAUCAUGGUAGGCCAGACGGGAUUUAGUCGGACUGAAAACUCAAUAAUUUAGACGUACACAACUUUAGAAAAGGAAUUGGGUUAUUGAGGACGAGGUUCGGAAAGGAAGUGGAAUUAGGACAAAAAUAGAAGACGAGUGAAAGACUCGGUUGAGGAACUGAGAACCAUGUUGAUGAGUAAUGCUGCGCGCAAGGCAAAGAACAAAAAGUAUGAUACAAGCACCCCGAAUCCUUGCGGUUUCUCCGUGUACCCGUCUUUUGUUUCCAAGGAAAGUGACGUUGGAGUAGUGAUUAUCCUGAGGCACAUUGCGACUCCCGUAAAGAUAACAAACUGCACCCUUUCUUGCUCUUGGUAUACCAUUUCUGAUUUCCAUGAUUAGCAAAAUCAGAAAAAUUUCUCCUGUUAUAGAAUAGAUAGCUAAAUUAGAAAAGUCAAUCUGUACAUAGCGUGAUGAGGUCCCUCAAUUUCUCCCAUCUCUUUUUACUCACUCUCAAAGCAGUAGGAAAAAGUAAACUGAUCCCCAUGCUGUCGUCGGCCUUACCCAGGAUAAAAAACUGUUGAUGUGGAAUCGUGUACUGCAAAUAAAUGAAGCACAUGUUCCAUGUGGUUUCAGAUGCGUUUUGCAUGCGUAUGGACACGACAAAUUGGCUUUCAUGCAAGUAGGAUCAAUUAUAACUCAAUCUUUAAUGAAAUAUUCUUAAUAGUUUUUUUUACCAAAAAAUUAUAUACUAACUAAAAGUUUGAAGUACUUUUUAUAUGAAGAACACAGCAUUACAAAAUAUCUUCAAUAUUCAGGUACAGCAUGAGUAUUUUUUUAUUUCGUAAACAAUACGUCAGACUAUUGAAAACAACAAAUGAAGCAUCCAGAGCAAAAUAAUAGACGAGUCAGAAUUCGCUGAGUUGGGACAUUCGAGAAAGGAGUGUCUAGGGUCUAGAGAAGAGCUUGAGUGAUCAUUUUGUCCAAGUUCGAGAAAGACGACCCCUUGGGACCUCUAGUGGCCUCUUCUGCUAGAGUCUUCCACUCCAAGGCCUUCUUCUUCAACUCUUUGCCUUUCUCUCCCUCCAUCAACUCCUUCACAAGCCUUUCAAUUUCAUCUCUCUUAACAUCGCUGUCUAUCUCCAUGCCUAUGCCCCACUCAGUGCAACAGUAGCGGCAGUUGGUUUGCUGCUCUGCAAAAAAGGGCCAACAAAUCAUAGGCACUCCAGCGCUCACACUUUCAAUUGUGGAAUUCCAUCCGUUGUGAGUUAAGAAGCCGCCAACAGCCGGGUGACUGAGAACUUGCUCUUGAGGACACCAACCUGCUAACAGACCCCUCUCUUUCGUCUCUGCCACGAAUUCUGGUGGAAGAAUGGCCGCGUCACCGGACACAAGAUCUGGCCUAAUUAUCCAUAAGAACGUCUGAUUGCUAUUCACAAGUCCCCAAGCAAACUCAUUGAGUUGCUGCGAUGUCAUCACUGUGAUGCUCCCGAAAUUCACGUAAACAACAGAGUUGGGCUCUUUGGAGUCCAGCCACUCCAGACAUUCCGGCUCUUCUUUCCACAGAUUCGAUUCCAUCAACUUCAAAUCGUUAUCUUGGAUCUGACUCAUGAGUUGGUGCAGGGGACCGAUGGUGUAGAUUGGGGGAAACAUCUGAGAAAGUGCAUCCAAAACUUCAUGCUCUAGAGCAUCAAAUGUAUUGAAAAUGAGGGCAGAAGCCUUGCGAGCUCUUUCAGCCUCCCGCAAUGGAAAUUCCAGCAUAAUUUCAUUUGGGUCCGUAGUUCGAAUGAAGCUUGGGAUAUCCCUCAAACGGAUACCUUUCAUACCCGGUAUCCAAUCAAUAACGGUAUCCAGAUACCCAUUUGUUAGGUAACUCUCAUCUGCAUUUCAUAGAAAGGAGGGGAAAAAAAUAUGAGAAUCCGUAUUGAGCUUAGCUUUGAAGUAAUUAAAUGCAAAGUUGGUCAGUAUUUGAUUCAUUUGAAUGAUACCUUUGAGUGGAGCCAAACCCUUAUCGAUAAGAUUGCGAUAUUGCACGUAGCCCAUGAAGCCGCAAGCACUAGUUGUCCAGAAAAGAACUUCAGGAACGCCAAGCUCUUGAGCAGCAUCAAGAGUGAAGCUCAUGGCGCCAUCAGAAACUAUGCAAGUGACUGGAGGGCCAUCGUGGUUGAGGUUGGAAAGAAGGUCUCUAAAGGGAGGCAGGCAGUGUUUUCUGGUGGAGACACAGAGGGCGGGAAUGUCUUGGGUGGCAUCAACAUUGGAGGGAAGGAGACCAUCGGGAAUGGUCUUGAAUUGGAAGGAGGGGAUGCCCUUGAGGGAGUCUGGACCCCGAGAUUUGAGCAGGCGGUUAUGGUUGUACUCUGUGUUGACAAAGGUAAUGUGGAACCCUCUGAAAUGAAGGAACUUAGCUAGUUUUAGCAUAGGGUUUAUGUGGCCUUGUGCUGGGUACGGUAUGCAAACUGCAUGUGGCUUCUCAGCUGAGGCUAAGGAACCCAUUCUCUCUCUCUCUAUCUCUCACUUUCACUCUGUCCUCAAUUGGUAUAUGCCCAUGACAUUGGAAGUAGCUUGGGUUUUAUAGCCCCAGGAGAGAGGGUCAAACAAGUUACUUAUAUUUAUAUAUAUAUUAAAGACAGAAGUCAGAAGUCAAAUAAAUGCUGCAAUAUUAAUAUAUGUACAGCUGUAUCAGAGAGUAACUAAAGGUCAAACUUGGCUCUCUCCUUUAUCUAGGUUAACCCACCUGUCCUCCAUACUUCACGGCAGGUGCCUAAUGCUUUUCAUAGGAGAUGUACAACAGAUUCAAUAUUUACACAAUUAUCAACUUUUAAUUACCUACCCCUUUAAUAUAUUACUCUUAAGCAAUAUAAACGAUAUACAAAUACCUAUUUUUGUAAUGCAGUAGGAUCUUGACAAUCAAUUAUUUGGUCCUGAUCCUGGAACCAUGUAUCAACAGCCGGUCACCCUUUAAAAAUCAUGAAUUAGACAACCCAUGCUUUUUUCGGACAAAAAACAACCGACAAGGGAUUUCCACAACUUUUUCUAAUGGAUGAACAUACCUUUUCUGUAUCUCUUUAUGUACAUAAACCAAUAAUUUGGGCAGUCCAAAAGCUUUGCGGAUUCUAUGUGGGGCUAAAUGGUAUCAUUCAUCUUCUGUGUUGGCCCGCAGUCGACAUGGCACAAGAACUUCACAAUUUGUACUGGUAUGGAGUUUAUUUUCUUAUUAAGAAUGUUUGUCCAAACCGAUAUGAUAUAUGGUUUGUAUUUGUGAAAGAAAUAUCUUCAAAUUCUGAAAAGGCAUAAACCUAACCCCGCCGCAAGCUAAAAGUUGACCAAAGAAAGUCGAUAAGCUUUUAAAACUCGUUCCAAGUUGUCGGAUGUCCACACCUAUAUAUUAUUAUUUAUAGGUGUGCGAAUGGAUGAGAAAUCUAUUAUAUAUGAUGUUAAUGGUUAAGUCGGACCCAUACAAACAAAAGAUGAAGUCGGUAUAUAUAAUGGAAACAAAGAGGUGGAAACAAAGAGGUGCUAAUCGCUAUGAAUUGAAGACAGAAUGCAUCCACCCCAUACAAAAAUGUCGACCAUAAGAUGAAAUAAAAUAUUUAGAGAAGAUAAAUGUGAGGGCGGUGACAAGAUUGAGGAGCUUAAAACAAUGAUUAAAAUAUAGGGAUAUUUCAACGAUGUGUCUGUGUCGAUAUGAGCUAUUUACAUGCUGUCCGGCGAGUUGAAGCUUCAACCAUCCACAUUACUGUUGAGGCAAGUUUUCCCCUUGUUAAUAAUCUUACACUAUAUAUAUAUAUAUAUUAAAAGUUUUCAUAUACACUAAAUAUUUAAACAAUUAAUUAAUUAUAUUUAUUUUAUAAUUAAAUACAAAAUUUUCAUUUAAUUGAGUAAUAAAAAGUUUUUAAUAUCAUUAAUAUAUUAAUUAAAUAUUAAAAAAUUAUACAUUUAUCAUCAUUUAUUUUAUAUCAUUUAAUACAAUUAAAUUAAAUAUAUUAUAAUUUUAAUAUUAAAUAUAUUUUAAAAUUAAAUAUAUUAUAAUCAAAUAUCAUAAUAUUAUUAUCGAAUAAUAUUUGAUGUAAUUUAAUAAUUAAUAUACACUUUUAUACAUAUGUAUUAAUUUAUUCAAUAAAACAAAUUUAAAAUAUCUAUUACAUUUCUAAUUUAAUUUUUAAAAACUUUAUUUUAUAUUUUUAAAAGUUUUGAUCAAUUUUAAGUCGAUCAAUUUUUUGUAUCAAAAUAUCCAUCAAUAUAUUUUCGAUAUAUCCGUAAAAUCGAAUUAUCGAUAUAUUAGUGAUUACCGAUAAUUUUAUCAUUGGCUUAAAAGAGAAGUGAUGCUAUGGGACCAAAAAAAAAAAAUCUGAUCCUGUGAGAGAUUCCUUGGGGGGUCUGAAUGUUUUUGCUGGCUUCCUUUGCCAUUCUUUCACGUACCUUAUGUUCGCAUUCCUGGAAAGACAACUCCCAUUUUCAUUCUUUCCUUUCAUUCAAUCAUUACGAAGACCACAAACUUCAGUAUUGUACGGCUUUAUCUGGGUCUAAAUUUUCUGGUCAUUUUCUUGAUCCUUCCGUGAACCAUUGGAACGCCAUGGAGCUUAACUUCUUGUUUAUAUAUAUAUAUAUAUAUAUGAACAUCAAAUGCAGGUAAGUUAGGACAUUGUAGGGACCCCUCCCUCCGAGACACGUGGCACGCAUCUUACAGUGACACGUGGCACGCAUUGUCAUCCAGGUCAUUUUCAUCCGGACCUUCUCAUAAAGCACAAUGGCACGCUUUUCCGGACUACCUCAAGGAAGAUCAAACGACACUUAUAAGCAUAUCAUCCGGACGAUUUACACAAUGCAUCCGGAUGAUCAACAUAGGCCGUCCGGAUACAAUGGUCCGGACCACUAACUAAAGUAUAGCGAGUCUUACACGCUAUCACGACAACCAGCCAUGGCCCACGUCCCAUCACCUGCAGAGUGAAAGGACGGGUUGAGGUGACAACAAGUCACUUCCCACGAUCAUUCUACAUGAUCACUUCCCACGAUCAUUCUACAUGAUCACUUCCCACGAUCUCUAAGCAGCAGCAUCACCUACCACGGUUUCUGACAGCCGCCAGUAGGGUGGCGAUGACCAUGCUGCCUCCGAAUGUCAUCAUGACAAACAUAAAAUAUCUCCUCGCCAUUAAUGAGAGGAACAAUACUCCUAGCACUAUAUAUGAACCUUCGCACGAAGAAGAAGGUAAUCUCCAGAUACCGAGUAAAAGGCCAACUGAUUUAUAUCUCCCUCUCUAGCCAUGGCUAACAAAACCAUUAGAGAGUGCGUCCGGACACUCUGUCCGGAUGCCUUUUUGCAGGUAUAACGACUGAAUCAAGAACCUUUGUGUGUUGAGAUCGCGUCUCCAUCCAUUUGGCAACUACGUGGAAGCCCAGGAGUGCGAGGUAUUAACAUUGGCGCCGUCUGUGGGAACAUUUUUACUUUGAUUCAGUCACCAAAAAAGAUGGCUACACCUUCCCGAAGCCGAUCAUCUGGUAAAGGAGUGGAUGGAUGAUAAUUUUGAAUGACGUCAAACCAUCGAAAGAAGACAGUUGGCAAGCGAACGACAACUAAAAGCUCUCCUCCAAGAGACAGAAAGAUUGAGAGAAGAAAACACUGUAUUACGUAUCCAGGUUUCAACAUCAGGGCCUCCUCGACGUCGGCAUUCAAGGGGCCAAGUAGCAAACUCGAGGCCUCAGUAAGAGCCGGAAUCAAUAUAUCCUGGGACAACAGGGGCUAUCCCAGGGGCAUGCAACGUAAGGCCUCACGAGCCACGCACGCCUAUGCCUCGAGCUCCCCGUGAUGAAAGCUCAGACUCUACUCACUUUUCAGCAAAAAGACAACGUGAUAAAAAAUCACAGUUGUCAAAUUCGAUGCGCGCAAGACUAGGCCCGCAAGAGCCUAGAAGAUCAAGGCCACCAAUGGCCACAACCUGGGCACCACGCCCUGACCCCAUGGCCACCCCCAUGGUGCAAAACGUUCACCCGCAUCGUGACCCCGUAGUCACCCUCGUGAUGCGGAACGUUCAUUCGCACCCAGCGGAACGACCAGCUGGGAGAAACAUCCCAAACGAGCCGAUCAUUGGCUCCAUCAGCAAAAGGCUGGAUGACAUGCUCUCCACGCCUUUUUGCUCUCAUAUCAUUAAUUACGAGCCCCCAAGGGGAUUCCUCGUACCAAAGUUUUCCACAUACGAUGGAACCAACGAUCCCUUCGAUCACAUCAUGCAUUAUCGACAGCUUAUGACGCUCGAUAUUGGCAACGAUGCACUGCUAUGCAAAGUAUUUCCCGCCAGCUUACAAGGACAGGCCCUCUCAUGGUUUCAUCGCCUACCUCCCAACUCUGUUGGCGAUUUCAGGGACCUGUCCGAAGCUUUCGUGGGACAAUACUUGUGCUCCGCACGACACAAGCAAAAUAUCAGCACCCUGCAGAACAUAAAAAUGCAAGAUAACGAAUCCUUGAGGGAAUUCGUGAAGCGAUUUGGCCAGGUCGUGCUUCAAGUAGAGGCUUGUAGUAUGGAUGCUGUCCUACAGAUCUUCAAGCGAAGCAUCUGUCCAGGCACUCCAUUUUUCGAAUCACUGGCUAAAAAGCCUCCUACAACGAUGGAUGACUUAUUCAGACGAGCCAACAAAUAUUCAAUGCUCGAAGAUGACGUACGUGCAGCCACCCAGCAAGUUUUGGUUGCCGGACGGCCAUCUAGAAGUGAUGCGGAGAGAAAUACUAAGCCUUCGGAUCGACCAAAGCCGUCUGACCGAAGGCAGGAAGGGCCAAGUCGCUCGGAAAGGCCGCCUCUCACACCUCUUUCCAUAUCAUAUGAAAAACUUCUCCCCAUGAUCCAAGGCUUGUCUGACUUCAGGUGGCCAAGACCCCAAGGAACAGACCCCUCCACAAGGGAUCAUAGCAAGAGAUGUGUCUUCCACAAAGAUCAUGGCCAUACAACAGAGACAUGCCGAGCUUUCCAGUUUCUGGUCGAGAGGCUUAUAAAAGCAGGGCAUUUGAAGCAAUACCUCCGAUCAGAUAAUGGAGAAAGGGACGCAUCCCAACAUCACAACCCCGGGGCCCCUAGGGCCCCAACUGCCCCCAAGGCCAUUAUAAACUAUAUUAACGGAAGUCCAUCUGAUGAGGAGUACGACUCUAGGCGAAAGAGACAAAAAUUGUUGCGGGCCGCAUCAAUACGCGAACGCAUCAAUUCCAUCCGACCUGGGCUAACUGGAGGGGGCCCUCGCCCCAUAGAUGGGACAAUCAUUUUCCCACCAGUAGAUCCCACCAGGACACUGCAACCACAUCGCGACGCCCUCAUCCUGUCCCUGGAAAUUGGGGGCUUUGAUGUGCGGCGUAUCUUAGUUAACCCAGGCAGCUCGGCCGAUCUUAUACAAGCAUCAGUCGCUAGCCACAUGGGACACAGUCUCACAGUCCUUGAAAACCCUGGACAAAUCUUGUCCGGAUUCAACGGAUCGUCAACUAUAUCUUUGGGAGACAUUGUACUGCCGGUCCAAGCUGGCCCAGUCACUCUCAACGUGCAAUUCUCGGUAGUACAAGAGUUAUCACCCUUCAAUAUCAUCUUAGGGCGCACAUGGCUACACUACAUGAAAGCCAUCCCCUCUACAUAUCAUCAAAUGGUGAGUUUCAUCACCAGCGAGGGGCAGAUUGACCUGUAUGGCAGCCAGUUAGCCGCUCGCCAAUGCUAUCAAAUAGCACGAGAGGCAGGGGCCAACCAGGAGGAUGCAUCUCCCCCUGAACCCAACAUUGCACAUGACCAAUAGCAAUUAUUGGGUCGGGCGGACAAAGAUCCCCCGGCAGCAGAUCCUUUACAAACAAUCCAAAUUUCGAAGGAAAGCACUCACCUUACAAACAUCAGCUUCCUCAUGACAGCCGAAAAAACUCAGUGUAUGCAAAACAUUCUCAGACAGAAUCAUGACAUCUUCGCAUGGGCACAUUCUGAUAUGAAGGGAAUUCAUCCCUCUAUUGCAUCUCACAGGCUUAACGUCUUUUCAACUGCCAGACCCGUCCGGCAGAAAAUUAGGCGUUUUCACCCGGAUAGACAAAAAGUCAUCCGAAAUGAGAUGGACAAAUUGCUCGAAGUCGGAUUCAUCAGAGAAGUUUCUUAUCCGGAGUGGUUGGCAAAUGUAGUGGUGGUACCCAAAAAAGAAGGAAAGUGGCGAGUUUGUGUAGACUAUACCAAUCUCAAUAAUGCAUGUCCAAAAGACAGUUUUCCCUUGCCACGAAUAGAUCAGAUUGUGGAUUCCACGUCCAGGCAAGGGAUGCUCUCUUUCUUGGAUGACUUCUCCGGAUAUCAUCAAAUCCCCAUGUCCCCGGACGAUGAAGAAAAGACAGCAUUCAUAACGCCACACGACCUCUAUUGCUACAAAGUCAUGUCAUUCGGACUCAAAAAUGUUGGUGCCACUUAUCAAAGAUUGAUGACUAAAAUCUUCGAACCUCUAAUAGGCCACACGGUAGAGGUAUAUAUUGAUGAUAUCGUGGUUAAAAGCAAAACCCGAGAGCAGCAUGUCCUUCACUUACAAGAAGUUUUUCACCUCUUACGAAAGUAUGGCAUGAAGCUAAAUCCUUCUAAAUGCGCAUUUGGCGUAAGUGCUUGCAAAUUUCUGGGAUUUAUGGUCAGCCAAAGGGGCAUAGAAGUCAGCCCGGAUCAAGUCAAAGUAGUCAUGGAAACACCCCCUCCCAGGAACAAGAAGGAGCUACAACGACUCAUAGGCAAGCUCGUCGCACUAGGGCGUUUUAUAGCCCGCUUCACUAAUGAAUUGCGACCCUUCUUCUUGGCAAUACGAAAAGCUGGAGCACAUGGAUGGACGGACAGUUGCUAGAACGCUUUCGAAAAGAUUAAGCAUUGUCUUACGCAACCGCCCAUCUUGAGCAGCCCCAUUCCAAAAGAGAAAUUGUAUAUGUAUCUGGCGGUAUCAGAAUAGGCAAUCAGCGUCGUUCUAUUCCGCUGCCCCUCGCCCAAGGAGUGAAAACCUAUCUACUACGUCAACAGGGCAUUGGCUGACGUAGAAACCAGAUAUUCAAAAAUGGAGCUAACAGCCUUAGCCCUUCGAAACGCUGCUCAGAAGCUCCGCCUUUAUUUCCAAGCUCAUCCAGUGAUCGUACUAACUGACCAGCCCCUUCGCAAUAUUCUGCACAAGCCAGAUUUAACCGGGAGAAUGCUACAAUGGGCCAUUGAAUUAAGCGAAUUUGGAAUCGAAUUCCAACCUAGGUUGUCCAUGAAAGGCCAGGUAAUGGCUGACUUCGUGCUAGAAUAUUCCCGAAGACCCAGCCAACACCACGAAUCAAGUAAACAAGAAUGGUGGACUCUGCGAGUUGACGGAGCCUCACACUCAUUCGGCUCUGGAAUUGGGCUCCUACUACAAUCCCCAACUGGGGAACAUUUGGAGCAAGCCAUCCGGCUGGGAUUCUCUGCCUCUAACAAUGAAGCAGAAUAUGAGGCUAUCUUGUCCGGAUUGGACCUCGCCCUUGCUCUAUCCGUCUCCAAACUCCGAGUCUACAGCGACUCACAACUCGUGGUAAAGCAUGUCCAGGAGGAAUAUGAGGCUAAGGACACACGCAUGGCGCGAUACUUAGCUAAAGUAAGAGAGACUUUGCAGCAAUUCACCGAAUGGACAAUCGAAAAAAUCAAGCGAGCUAACAAUAGGCGCGCUGACGCCUUGGCUGGCGUAGCUGCCUCCCUCCCUAUCAAAGAAUCCAUUCUAUUGCCCAUACAUGUGCAACUCAACCCCUCUGUCGCAGAAAGUUCCACCUGCAAUACCAUUGAGGCACCCCAAGCGGACGGCCAAGAAUGGAUGAAUGGCAUCACAUAAUAUAUCCGGACUGGAACUUUACCAGGAGAUCUCAAACAGGCACACAAAGUCCGGGUGCAAGCUGCCCGUUUCACCCUGAUUGGGGGGCACCUAUACAAGCGAUCCUUCACAGGACCUUACCUUCGAUGCCUAGGGCAUUCAGAGGCCCAGUAUGUGUUAGCUGAGUUACACGAAGGAAUAUGCGGGAAUCAUUCAGGAGGACGAUCUCUGGCACAUCGAGCCCAUUCACAGGGAUAUUAUUGGCCAACAAUGAAGAAGGAUGCGGCAACAUACGUCAAAAAUUGUGACAAAUGUCAAAAGCAUGCUCUCAUUCCACAUAUGUCAUCAGCAACAUUGAAAUCAAUAUCAAGCCCAUGGCCCUUCGCACAAUGGGGCAUGGACAUAGUAGGACCUCUCCCAGUUGCGCCUGCCCAAAAGAAAUUUUUGCUCGUUGCCACAGAUUAUUUCAGUAAGUGGGAGGAAGCUGAAGCAUAUGCUAGCAUCAAAGACAAGGAUGUCACCAAGUUCGUAUGGAAAAAUAUUAUCUGUCGUUUUGGAAUUCCCCAAGCCAUCAUAGCUGACAAUGGUCCACAAUUUGAUAGCAUUGCAUUCAGGAACUUCUGUUCGGAGCUAAACAUCCAGAAUUCAUACUCCACACCGCGAUAUCCUCAAAGUAAUAGGCAAGCAGAAGCCACAAACAAGACCCUAAUCACUGCCUUAAAGAAUAGGCUUGAACAAGCCAAAGGAAAAUGGGUCGAGGAGCUACCCGGCGUCCUAUGAGCCUACCGAACUAUACCCAGACGGCCAACAGGAAAUACUCAUUUCGCUCUCGCAUAUGGAAUGGAUGCAGUCAUUCCUACUGAAAUAGGUCUUCCUACUAUCCGGAUUGAUGCAGCAAAACAGAGUGAUGCAAACAUGGAAUUAGGAAGAAAUUUGGAUUGGACGGAUGAAGUGAGGGAAAGCGCGGCCAUCCGGAUGGUAGAUUAUCAACAAAGGGCAUCAGCACAUUACAAUCGCAAAGUGAGGCCAAGAAGCUUAAAAAAUGGUACGCUAGUCCUUAGAAAAGUUUUUGAAAACACUGCUGAAGUCGGUGCAGAGAAAUUCCAAGCUAACUGGGAAGGACCCUAUAUAGUGUCUAAGGCAAGUGAAAGUGGAGCCUAUUAUUUACAAAAGUUAGACGGGACUCCAUUACUUAGACCAUGGAAUGUGUCCAAUUUAAAACGGUACUAUCAAUGAAAAAGAGAGACAAAAACAAAUAGAAGAAAAAGACAUAUUUUAUUGAUAUGUAUCAAUGAAUGUACAAAGAGGUCUUCGGACCACGAAAAUACAAAAAAAAAUUACAACAAAAAGUUGCAAAAAGACAAAAGCUAUCAGGGAGCAGCCUUAAAGUUUCUUCUCUUCACCCGGAGGAAUUGAAGGGACAUCCCCCUUUAUGCCAUUCUUCUUCAUACAGCAGCGAUAACCGAAGAUGAAGGUGUCAUCCACUUGUUUUUGGUAGUCCGCUUCAAGUUCCUCCCUCUCUGCAGCAAACUCCCGUUCUAGCUCUUCUUUUUGCGCUGUUAAGCGUAGCUGCAAAUCUUCUUUUUGCUUCUUUUCAAUAGAAGCCUCUGUCCGGAGUUGCCUCACUUCCCCCCCCCCCCCCCCCCCCAUCCGGGCUAUCUCAUCCUCUGCCUCAUGCAGACGGGCAAUCGAUGAUUCCUCCCGGUCCUUAGCCUCAGCCAAUUUCGCCCGAAGGGCUUCAUUGUCCUCUCGAACGGUGGAUAAGCUGGCCUCAGCCUCCGCCAGUCUCAGGCGCAACUGAUCUUCAGCAUCUUUGCGCCGAGUGGCGAAGNNNNNNNNNNNNNNNNNNNNNNNNNNNNNNNNNNNNNNNNNNNNNNNNNNNNNNNNNNNNNNNNNNNNNNNNNNNNNNNNNNNNNNNNNNNNNNNNNNNNUUUUUUUUUUUAUUGUUCAAAAGAAAUCCAAAAGGGUUUUUUGGCCCCCGAAAAUAAAAAAAAAAAUUCACAAAAAAAGUUGAAAAAAAAAAAAAGUUUUUGGGGGGCCCCCUUAAAUUUUUUUUUUUUCCCCCGGGGAAAUAGAAAGGGCCCCCCCCUUUAUCCCUUUUUUUUUUAAAACAGGGGAAAAACAAAAAAAAAAGGGUUCCCCCCCUUUUUUUUGGGGAUCCCCUUAAAAUUCCCCCCUUUUGGGCAAAAAACCCCCUUUUAAUUUUUUUUUUUGGGGAGUAAAGGGGGGCCCAAAAUUUUUUUUUUUUUUUUUUUAAAAAAAAACCCUUUUCCGGGGGUCCCCCCUUUUCCCCCCCCCCCCCCCCCCCCAUCCGGGCUAUCUCAUCCUCUGCCUCAUGCAGACGGGCAAUCGAUGAUUCCUCCCGGUCCUUAGCCUCAGCCAAUUUCGCCCGAAGGGCUUCAUUGUCCUCUCGAACGGUGGAUAAGCUGGCCUCAGCCUCCGCCAGUCUCAGGCGCAACUGAUCUUCAGCAUCUUUGCGCCGAGUGGCGAAGGUCUUCAUAUAAUCAGUGGUCCGCAGCAGGUCAGUGAAAAGAUCGUAUUGAUUGGCCAUACCACGGAGACCACUCACCAGCUGCAGGCAAACAGACAAACAAGAAAAACAAAGUUAUAAAUCACACCACAAACACAUAUCAGAAUGAGAAAGAUUCAAGGAACACAGAAAAGUAUACCGACUCCACCAUCUCGAACAUCUUGGCUGAAGGCAUAAUACUGGUCAAGCUGGGUGGAAUCUGUUUCAGCUUAUCUUCCAACUCCGCAUAGCUAAAAGGGCUAGCGGAGGUGCAAGACGCAUCAUUAACAGGAUCCCCGCCUGAUGAGGCAACAGAAGGAGACUCUGGUUCCGGAUUCGGUGCCUUAACAUUUACGACCGAAUGGGUCUCCCCGGGUGCAACCUCAGCCGGGACCAUUACAAGGACGACUGGAGGCUCAGUUGUCAUCUCCACUUCGCCCCCCUCCGGAUGAGCGUCGUGAGCGGAUGAGCAACUAACUUCGAUCUCUUGUUAACGAUCUUGAAGCCACCCGAGGAGUCCGGACCUCUGAUUGCGCGCCGAGCGCGGCCUCUUCGAAGGUGGCCCCUUCACCAGAACAAGAGUCAGACGGUCCGGAUCGUCCGAGGGCUGACUCUGGCUUUCGAUCCCCGCUUCCUCCAUCGGGUCCGCACAAACGGCUUCAACUGCAUCGACAUCCGGAUUAGGGGAGUCCGGAUGGUUGAUGGAUGCAGCUUCCUCAGCCAGAUUAGCCAGACGGGCAACCGCUGCCAAUGAGGUACUUGAGUGGUUCAGCCCCACGACGUGUCCGGAACCGCUUGAGAUAGAAUGAGGAGCAGGGUUCACUAGCUCCUCUAUUAUUACCUCCGCCUCGUGGAUAAUUGGCGGAGGAGCAAAUUCUUUGGGAGGAGUGGGCUCCUUCACUCCCUUCCCAUUCUUCACCAGCUUCUUCUUUUUCGCUGGAGCUUUAUUUGGCGGAGAGUCUGCGUCGCAUUUCUGUCUGGGAGCCUUCCGAAGGGUCCCUUCGUUUUUCUUCUUCUCCUGAUUGUCCAAGAGCGCUCGGCGUUUUUCAGCGUCAGCCUCUUUUAACGCCUGGUAAAUCGGGAGAUCUUUCACAAUGUAAUGCUCCCCAGGCACUACCUCCUUUGGCAUCUUCUUGGGGAGAAUGUUGAUGACAUACUCUUGGGGCUCUUGGACGACCGCCAUCAGGUUCCGUGCAGUCAGCAGCAUCUUGCACUGCCUCUCCUUGGCGUCUAUUUCAAAACACUUGCUGAGACAGGCAAAAGACGCAUUUCCACCCAAUCCACGAGGUAGCCCCUUUUUUCCGGACCUACAUUAACAGCAGCAAAGGUUGACAAUACCAUCCGGAGAUAUCAACAAGAAAACAACAAGGUAAAAAUCCGGACAAAAGUCGCAAAGCAAACUUACCCGGAAUCGCUAAGGAAUAGUUGGGAGAGAAGGGCCUCACCGGAUGCCUCGACCCCGCCCACGCACCCCGGACCAUCACGUGUCUCUUCGCCCCUCCAUUCGUCGAGUCUGGCAGUUCCGUCACCAAUUGAAGGGAGGGCAGGUGCGCGGACAGGCUGAAGAUGUCAGUUUUCGCCUUCUUCAGCGAAUACACGAAAAACACCUCCAGCAGCGUGAGGUCAAGGUUGUACAGCAUGUUUAUGAUGUUGCAUCCCAUCAGCACCCGGACGAUAUUGGGGUGAAUGAAGACUGGUGGAAUCUUGGUGAAAUGGAGGAAUUCCUUGAACAACGCCGGCAGAGGCAACCGGAGCCCCGCAUAGAAUUGUUCCUUCGAGAAGAUGACGGUAUCUUGUUCAGCUUUCUCAGUAGAUACGACAUCUUUCCAAUUCAAAAAUUCCACAAUCACGCCAUUUGCAAUGCAGAAUCGAUCCCGGAACUCCUUUACGCUCAGUUUGUCUGUAGGUUUCUCAUGAGCGUCGCUGGAGUGGGCAGAUGAAGUAGCUUUCUGCUUUGAAGACAUUUUCUAGCCCGAGGUUGAACUGAAACCUACAUGCAAGAAAUGCAAUAGUCAAACACAGCCAACCAACCCCACAAACCCUAAACGAUAACAAACACUCGGAAAACCUCGCACCAACAGUAUACCUAUUCCAAAAUCUUUGACUCUACCCCAACAAGAAACCCCCGACCUACAAAAACCACAGGGGGGCAACUGAAACCCUUAAAACACCCAGUCACAAACAACACUCGCCCAAACAAGCCAACAACGCCAAAGCGUACAAAAGGAAAGAACAAAGCAUAAAGAAUACGUACCGAAUGUCAGAGAGAAGCAAAGGUUGCAGAUCGCAAGGCAAGCACCGUCAAAGCGCAACAAAUCACCGUAAAAAAUUCUAGGGUUUUCACUCAAAAGAAGCAACAAUACGCACAAGGUUGACGAAGAAAGCUAUCUCAGAAAAACGCAGUAGAAAAAAGCAACAGUGAGCACAGUAUGCUAUUUAUAGGGGGACAUCCCCUCGGAAAGCCAAACGUCCAACAAACGUCAUCAUUGAAACGACAUACUGCCUGGGAAUACCCAGAGUCGGCGGCUCAUCAUAAAUGCCUUUUUGGCUCUCGCACCCCCACUCGCCACGUGGCCCAACCAGACAAAAAGUCGAUUUCGGUUUCAAAAAACCAAUUAUUUUUAACCCGCCCAUUUUUGCUCGGGCAAAAUAGGCAAGUUAAAAAGGGGGGCAUUGUAGGGACCCCUCCCUCCGAGACACGUGGCACGCAUUGUCAUCCGGGUCAUCUUCAUCCGGACCUUCUCAUAAAGCACACAUGGCACGCUUUUCCGAACUACCUCAAGGAAGAUCAAACUGCACUUAUAAGCAUAUCAUCCGGACGAUUUACACAAUGCAUCUGAAUACAAUGGUCCGGACCACUAACUAAAGUAUAGCGAGUCUUACACGCUAUCACGACAACCAGCCAUGGCCCACGUCUCAGCACCUGCAGAGUGAAAGGACGGGUUGAGGUGACAACAAGUCACUUCCCACGAUCAUUCUACAUGAUCACUUCCCACGAUCUCUAAGCAGCAGCAUCACCUACCACGGUUUCUGACAGCCGCCAGUAGGGUGGCGAUGACCAUGCUGCCUCCGAAUGUCAUCAUGACAAACAUAAAAUAUCUCCUCGCCAUUAAUGAGAGGAACAGUACUCCUAGCACUAUAUAUGAACCUUUGCACGAAGAAGAAGGUAAUCUCCAGAUACCGAGUAAAAUGCCAACUGAUUUAUAUCUCCCUCUCUAGCCAUGGCUAACAAAACCAUCGGAGGGUGCGUCCGGACACUCUGUCCGGAUGCCUUUUUGCAGGUAUAACGACUGAAUCAAGAACCUUUGUGUGUUGAGAUCGCGUCUCCAUCCAUUUGGCAACUACGUGGAAGCCCAGGAGUGCGAGGUAUUAACAGACAUAGGACACGAAAGCUACAGGAAAAUGACAUUAGAUGAGAUUUUUCUCAAUUUGGAAAGCGGAUUAUACAAUCUUUUCCAUAGUUUGAGGCUAAAGAUAUUUUGAGCUUUAACCCUCGCAAUUGUUUUGAUCAUGUUUAAGAAAAUUAAUUAGAUGUGUUGAUCUAAUUCAAAUCUUCAAUAUUGUACCAACUUAUAUUGUAAUUAAGUAUUUUUGCUUUCUUUCUUUAGAAUUUUCCCUAAACCAAACACAACCUUAGCUAUUUGUAAUUCUACAAACCUAAAAGAGUUGAGAAUCUAAGCAUGAGUUUUUUUUUUUUUCUCUUUAUGGAAAUAGAAAAUCUAGUGGAAUAAGUGGCGAUUUUGUACCAUACCAGGUGUACAAAAUCUUUCCAAAUAUACAAAUUUGAAAAUAAAUUUAUUUUUAUUAAUUUAAAAUUUUGAGAAUACGACCCUUAUUUUAUCUUCUAAUUUUUUUAAUAAUUAAUAUCUAACAAUUAAUUAAGCUUAGGCUUUGAUUUGGGCAUAUGACACAUGUCAUGAUCCUAUUUAAACACACAGAUGAUAUGUCAUAAUUAGUAACAGAAGGAAUUUAAAGAACUUUAAUAUGUUAAUAAAUGAACAAAAUUUUAAAUUUCUUAUCUUUUAAAAAAAAAUUGCUUUAUUUAGUUUCUUUUGAAUGGACUCUAUAUGACAAUUUUUUUAGUGGAAUAUUUAUCUUGGAUUUUAUAGAACAAAAUUUAAAAUGUUUAAUUGAUAAUAUAGGAUCAUAGUUGAAACAAUAAAAUUUAUUUAUCACUUAAAAGAAUUAAUUAAAUAAAUUUAAUAGAAUAAUAAAAAAUUUGUUAGGAAUAUUUGAAUUUGAAAAACCUUUAAAGAUCCAAAGUUUGUUAUGAAAUAUUCUUAAUAGUUUUUUUUAUCAAAAAAAUAUAUACUAACUAAAAGUUUGAAGUACUUUUUAUAUGAAGAACACAGCAUUACAAAAUAUCUUCAAUAUUCAGGUACAGCAUGAAUAUUUUUUUAUUUCGUAAACAAUACGUCAGACUAUAGAAAACAACAAAUGAAGCAUCCAGAGCAAAAUAAUAGACGAGUCAGAGUUCGCUGAGUUGGGACAUUGAAGAAAGGAGUGUCUAGGGUCUAGAGAAGAGCUUGGGUGAUCAUUUUGUCCAAGUUCGAGAAAGACGACCCAUUGGGACCUCUAGUGGCCUCUUCUGCUAGAGCCUUCCACUCCAAGGCCUUCUUCUUCAACUCUUUGCCUUUCUCUCCCUCCAUCAACUCCUUCACAAGCCUUUCAAUUUCAUCUCUCUUAACGUCGCUGUCUAUCUCCAUGCCUAUGCCCCACUCAGUGCAACAGUAGCGGCAGUUGGUUUGCUGCUCUGCAAAAAAGGGCCAACAAAUCAUAGGCACUCCAGCGCUCACACUUUCAAUUGUGGAAUUCCACCCGUUGUGAGUUAAGAAGCCGCCAACAGCCGGGUGACUGAGAACUUGCUCUUGAGGACACCAACCUGCUAACAGACCCCUCUCUUUCGUCUCUGCCACGAAUUCUGGCGGAAGAAUGGCCGCGUCACCGGACACAAGAUCUGGCCUGAUUAUCCAUAAGAACGUCUGAUUGCUAUUCACCAGUCCCCAAGCAAACUCAUUGAGUUGCUGCGAUGUCAUGACCGUGACGCUCCCGAAAUUCACGUAAACAACAGAGUUGGGCUCUUUGGAGUCCAGCCACUCCAGACAUUCCGGCUCUUCUUUCCACAGAUUCGAUUCCAUCAACUUCAAAUCGUUAUCUUGGAUCUGACUCAUGAGUUUGUGCAGGGGACCGAUGGUGUAGAUUGGGGGAAACAUCUGAGAAAGUGCAUCCAAAACUUCAUGCUCUAGAGCAUCAAAUGUAUUGAAAAUGAGGGCAGAUGCCUUGCGAGCUCUUUCAGCCUCCCGCAAUGGAAAUUCCAGCAUAAUGUCAUUUGGGUCCGUCGUUCGAAUGAAGCUUGGGAUAUCCCUCAAACGGAUACCUUUCAUACCCGGUAUCCAAUCAAUAACGGUAUCCAGAUACCCAUUUGUUAGGUAACUCUCAUCUGCAUUUCAUAGAAAGGAGGGGAAAAAAUAUGAGAAUCCGUAUUGAGCUUAGCUUUGAAGUAAUUAAAUGCAAAGUUGGUCAGUAUUUGAUUCAUUUGAAUGAUACCUUUGAGUGGAGCCAAACCCUUAUCGAUAAGAUUGCGAUAUUGCACGUAGCCCAUGAAGCCGCAAGCACUAGUUGUCCAGAAAAGAACUUCAGGAACGCCAAGCUCUUGAGCAGCAUCAAGAGUGAAGCUCAUGGCGCCAUCAGAAACUAUGCAAGUGACUGGAGGGCCAUCGUGGUUGAGGUUGGAAAGAAGGUCUCUAAAGGGAGGCAGGCAGUGUUUUGUGGUGGAGACACAGAGAGCGGGAGUGUCUUGGGUGGCAUCAACAUUGGAGGGAGGGAGACCAUCGGGAAUGGUCUUGAAUUGGAAGGAGGGGAUGCCUUUGAGGGAGUCUGGACCCCGAGAUUUGAGCAGGCGGUUAUGGUUGUACUCUGUGUUGACAAAGGUAAUGUGGAACCCUCUGAAAUGAAGGAACUUUGCUAGUUUUAGCAUAGGGUUUAUGUGGCCCUGUGCUGGGUACGGUAUGCAAACUGCAUGUGGCUUCUCAGCUGAGGCUAAGGAACCCAUUCUCUCUUUCUCUCUCUCUCACUUUCACUCUGCUCUCAAUUGGUAUAUGCCCAUGACAUUGGAAGUAGCUUGGGUUUUAUAGCCCCAGGAGAGAGGGUCAAACACUUUACUUAUAUAUAUAUAUAUUAAAGUCAGAAGUCAAAUAAAUGCUGCAAUAUUAAUAUAUGUACAGCUGUAUCAGAGAGUAACUGAAGGUCAACUUGGCUCUCUCCUUUAUCUAGGUUAACCCACCUGUCCUCCAUACUUCACGGCAGGUGCCUAAUGCUUUAAACACUUUACUUAUAUACAAUAUUAAUAUAUGUACAGCUGUAUCAGAGAGUAACUGAAGGUCAAACUUGGCUCUCUCCUUUAUCUAGGUUAACCCACCUGUCCUCCAUACUUCACGGCAGGUGCCUAAUGCUUUUCAUAGGAGAUGUACAACAAAUUCAAUAUUUACACAAUUAUCAACUUUUUACUUUUAAGCAAUCCAAGAUUCCCAACGAUAUAUGAAUACCUAUUUUUGUAAUGCAGUAGGAUCUUGACAAUCAAUUACUCUAAAAACUCGUUUCAAGUUGUCGGAUGUCCACACCUAUAUAUUAUUAUUUAUAGGUGUGCGAGUGGAUGAGAAAUCUAUUAUACAUGAUGUUAAUGGUUAAGUCGGACCCAUUCAAACAAAAGAUGAAAUCGGUAUAUAUAAUGGAAACAAAGAGGUGCUAAUCGGGACUUUUCUCAAUAGUAUAGUAAUUUUAAAAAGUUAUGCUUAAAUUAUUAUAGUAGAAGAAGUUAUUAUAAAUAUAUGGUAGUUUUUGCCACAUAGGAGAGAGGAGAGAGGGUGAGAGAGAGGAGAUAGGAGAGAGGAGAGAGGGUGAACGGAUAAAUUUUUUAAUUCCAUGAAAAAAAAAAUUAUAUUUUUUUAAAAAAAUAUAUAUUCUUUUUAAAAAAUUCCUAUUUAUUCAAGGGAACUCGUCUCUUCAAGAGACGAGUUCCAUGAAAAAAGACAAGGGAAAGACGAGUUACCAGGGAAAAAAAUAUAUAUAUUUUUUUUAAAUAUAUUUUUUAUUUAAAAAAAAUCCUAAAUUAAAUUUAAAAAAAUUUCCUAAAUGGAACUCGUCUCUUUGGGAAAUUUUUUUUUUUUUUAAAUAUAUAUAUUUUUAAAAAAAAAAUAUUUUUUUUUACAUGGGAACUCGUCUCUUGAAGAGACGAGUUCCCUUUAGGAAUUUUGAGGAUUUGUUUUUUUUUUUUAAUAUAUAUAUUUAAAAAAUAUUUUUUGUUUUUUUACAUNNNNNNNNNNNNNNNNNNNNNNNNNNNNNNNNNNNNNNNNNNNNNNNNNNNNNNNNNNNNNNNNNNNNNNNNNNNNNNNNNNNNNNNNNNNNNNNNNNNNAAAAAAAAAUAUAUUUUUUUAAAAAAAUAUAUAUUUUUUUUAAAAAAAUUCUAUUUAUUUAAAGGGAAUUGUCUUUUCCAAAGACGAAUUUCCUGAAAAAAAACCAGGGGAAGGGGGGUUUCCCGGGGAAAAAAAAUAUAUUUUUUUUUUUAAAAUAUUUUUUUUUUAAAAAAAAUCCUAAAUUAAAAUUUAAAAAAUUUUCUAAAAGGAAAUUGUUUUUUUGGGAAAAUUUUUUUUUUUUUAAAAAUAUAUAUUUUUAAAAAAAAAAUUUUUUUUUUUUCAAGGGAAAUUGUUUUUUGAAGAGGCGAGUUUCCCUUUGGAAUUUUGGGGAUUUUUUUUUUUUUUUUUAAAUAUAUAUUUUAAAAAAUUUUUUUUUUUUUUUUCCAGGGAAGGGACGAGUUUCCUUUGAAAAUGUUUUUUUUUUUUUUUUUUUUUUUUUUUUUUUUUUUUAAUUUGGGAUUUUUUUAAAUAAAAAAUAUAUUUUUACAAAAAAAUAUUUUUUUUCCCUAAAGGAACUCGUCUCUUUUUAAUUUAGGAUUUUUUUUAAAUAAAAAAUAUAUUUAAAAAAUAUAUAUAUAUUUUCCCAUGGGAACUCGUCUCUUCAAGAGACGACUUCCCUUUACGAAAUUUUUUUUUUUUAAAAAAAAUAUUUUUUUUACAUGGGAACUCGUCUCUUGAGGAGACGAGUUCCCUUUAGGAAUUUUGAGGAAUUAUUAUUAUUAUUUUUUUUUAAUAUAUAUAUAUAUAUAUUUUUACAUGGGAACUCGUCUCUUGAAGAGACGAGUUCCUUUAGGAUUUAUUUAUUUAUUUUUUUUUAAUUUGGGAUUUUUUUAAAAUAAAAAAUAUAUUUAAAAAAAAAUAUUUUUUUCAAGAGACGAGUUCCCUUUAGGAAUUUUUUUUUUUAAAUAUAUAUAUUUUUUUAAAAAAAAAAUUUUACAUGGGAACUCGUCUCUUGAAGAGACGAGUUCCCUUGAGGAAUUGUUGUUGUUUUUUUUUUUUUUUUGGGAUUUUUUUAAAUAAAAAAAAUAUUUUUUUUCCCAAAGGGAACUCGUCUCUUGAGUUCCUUUAGGAAUUUUUUUUUUUUUUAAUUUGGGAUUUUUUUUAAAUAAAAACUAUAUUUAAAAAAAAAAUAUUUUUUUUCCCAUGGGAACUCGUCUCUUCAGACGAGUUCCUUUAGGAAAUUUUUUUUUUUUUUAGAUAUAUAUAUUUAAAAAAAAAAUAUUUUUUUUUACAUGGGAACUCGUCUCUUCAAGAGACGAGUUCCCUUUAGGAAUUUUGAGGAAUUGUUUUUUUUUUUUUUUUUUUUUUUUAAUAUAUAUAUUUAAAAAAAAAAAAAUUUACAUGGGAACUCGUCUCUUGAAGAGACGAGUUCCCUUUGGAAUUGUUUUUUUUUUUUUUUAUUCAGGAUUUUUUUAAAUAAAAAAUAUAUUUAAAAAAAAAAUAUUUUUUUUCCUAAAGGGAAUUUUUUUUUCUUUUUUUUAAUUUGGGAUUUUUUUUCCCAGGGAACCCGCCCCUUCAGACAAGUUCCUUUAGGGAAUUUUUUUUUUUUUUAAAAAAAUAAAAAUUUUUUUUAAAUAUAAAAAAUUUUUUUAAAAAAAAUUUUUUUUUUACGGGGAAACCCGUCUUUUGAAGAGACGAGUUCCUUUUAGGAAUUUUUUUUUUUUUUUUAAUUGGGGAUGGUUUUUAAAAAAAAAAUUUAUUUUUUUUUUUUAAAANNNNNNNNNNNNNNNNNNNNNNNNNNNNNNNNNNNNNNNNNNNNNNNNNNNNNNNNNNNNNNNNNNNNNNNNNNNNNNNNNNNNNNNNNNNNNNNNNNNNGGUCCCUUUGGAAAUUUUUUUUUUUUUAAUUUGGGGUUUUUUUUAAAAAAAAACUUUUUUUUAAAAAAAAAUUUUUUUUUUUCCAAGGGAAAUUUUUUUUUUACGAAGGGUUCCCUUUGGAAAAUUUUUUUUUUUUUUGAAAUAAUAUUUUUUAAAAAAAAAAAAUUUUUUUUUCCAGGGAAAUUGUUUUUUCCAAAGACGAGUUUCCCUUUGGAAAUUUUGGGAAAUUUUUUUUUUUUUUUUUUUUUUUUUUAAUAUAUAUAUUUAAAAAAAAAAAAAUUUACAUGGGAACUCGUCUCUUGAAGAGACGAGUUCCCUUUGGAAUUGUUUUUUUUUUUUUUUAUUCAGGAUUUUUUUAAAUAAAAAAUAUAUUUAAAAAAAAAAUAUUUUUUUUCCUAAAGGGAAUUUUUUUUUCUUUUUUUUAAUUUGGGAUUUUUUUUCCCAUGGAACUCGUCUCUUCAGACGAGUUCCUUUAGGGAAUUUUUUUUUUUUUUAAAUAUAUAUAUAUUUUUUUUAAAUAUAUAUAUAUUUUUUAAAAAAAAUAUUUUUUUUACAUGGAAACUCGUCUUUUGAAGAGACGAGUUCCCUUUAGGAAUUUUUUUUUUUUUUUUAAAUUGGGAUUGUUUUUAAAUAAAAAAUAUAUUUUUUUUUUUUAAAAAAAAAAUUUUCCCAUGGGAACUCAUCUCUUGAAGAGACGAGUUCCCUUUAGGAAAUUAUUUAUUUAUUUAUUUAAUUUGGGAUUUUUUUUAAAUAAAAUAUAUAUUUAAAAAAAAAAUAUUUUUUUUCCCAUGGGAACUCGUCUAUUCAAGAGACGAGUUUCCUUUAGUUCCAAAUUGUUUUUUUUUUUUAAUUUGUGAAUUUUUUUUUUAAAAUAUAUAUUUUUUGUAAUGGGAACUCGUCUCUUGAAGAGACAAGUUUCCUUGAAGAAUUGUCUUUUUUUUUUUUUUUUUUAAUUUGAGAAUUUUUUUAAAAAUAUAUAUAUAUUUUUUUUCAUGGAACUCGUCUCUUGAAGAGACGAGUUCCCUAAUGGGGAAUUUUCUUUAAAAAAUAUAUAUUUUUUGUUUCAUGGAACUCGUCUCUUGAAGAGACGAGUUCCCUUUUUAAAAAAAAUUUAUCCGUUCACCCUCUCUCCUCUCUCCUAUCUCCUCUCUCCUUUCUCUCACCCUCUCUCCUCUCUCCUCUCUCCUAUCUCCUUUCUCCUCUCUCCUAUGUGGCAAAAACUACCAUAUAUUUGUAAUAACUUCUUCUACUACAAUAAUUUAAGCAUAACUUUUUUAAAUUACUGUACUAUUGAGAAAAGUCCGUGCUAAUCGCUAUGAAUUGAAGACAAAAUGCAUCCACCCCAUUCAGAAAUGUUGACCAUAAGAUGAAAUAAAAUAUUUAGAGAAGAUAGAUUAAGGGCGGUGACAAGAUUGAGGGGCUUAAAAGACAUGUCACUGAGUGAUGCUAAGGGCGACCGAAAAAAAGAAAUCUUAUCCCUGUGAGAGAUUCCUUGGGCGGUCUGAAUGUUUUUGCUGGCUUCCUUUGCCAUUCUUUCACGUACCUUAUGUUCGCAUUCCUGGAAAGACAACUCCCAUCUUCAUUCUUUCUUUUCAUGCAAUCAUUAUGAAGACCACAAACUUCAGUAUUGUACGGCUCUAUUUGGGUCUAUAUUUUCUGGUCAUUUUCUUGAUCCUUCCGUGAACCAUUGGAACGCCAUGGAGCUUAACUUCUUGUUUUUUUAAUAUAAUAUAAUAAGGAAAAGUGUGACAACCUCUAAAACAUGAACAUCAAAUGCAGGUAAGUUAAGACAUAGGACACGAAAGCCACAGGAAAAUGACAUUAGAUGAAAUAUUUCUCAAUUUGGAAAGCGGAUUAUACAAUCUUUUCCAUAGUUUGAGGCUAAAGAUAUUUUGAGCUUUAACCCUCGCAAUUGUUUUGAUCACAUUUAAGAAAAUUAAUUCGAUAUGCUGAUCUAAUUCAAAUCUUCAAUAUUGUACCAACUUAUACUGUAAUUAAGUAUUUUUUUCUUUCUUUCUUUAGAAUUUUCCCUAAACCAAACACAACCUUAGCUAUUUGUAAUUCUACAAACCUAAAAGAGUUGAGAAUCUAAGCAUGAGGUUUUUUUUUUUUUUUUCUCUUUAAGAAAUAGAAAAUCUAGUGGAAUAAGUGGCGAUUUUGUACCCUCAUAUGAAAUGGACCUUGUUAGAGUUUGGGAUGAAAACACGUCAAUCCCAUUCCAGGCCCACCUCAUCGCAUUGGCUAAAGAGGUUACAGGGAACCAAGUGGGGGUGACCUUAGAUGGGCCAAGUUCAGCCCAAGGUUGAUUUGCCCUAAAAUCACAAGACCAGGGCCCGAUCAACGCAGUUGUAGAUUUCACAACAGCGAUUAUCUUUAAGUAUUUGAUAUUAUAUAAUGGAAAAUUUUCUAAUUUACAAAAUGAUCAUGCGUGAUUUUACUAAAAAAUAGAUUGGAAUUUGGGCAUGAUCUUGGUUCAAUGUAUCAAGGAGAUUUUCCCCUUUUUCAAUGAUCAUGUAGAUUGCUGUUUUCAGUCAACAAAUACGGAUUACUAAAAAACUUUAAAACUAAAAAAUAUAAAAAUAAAAUAUUAGAUUUCACUUUGCUAAAUCACACUAAUUAAAAAUAUAAAUUCAAGAAAUAAUUGAAAAUACGAUGAGAGUAAAUAUUUAAUUUUGUUAUUUUUAAGUUUUUUGUUUUAAUUGUAUUUAAUUUUUCAACUAUUUUAGUUUUAAUUGUUAUAUUUAUUUUUAAAAUUUCUUAUUUUAUUGUUUAUGUCAACUAACAAAUUUUUUAUUUAAUUUAUUUUUUAAAAAAUAAGAAGAUGAAUGGAUUUAUUUAUUACAAGAUAUAAAAUCAAGAUAUUUUUUUAAAAUUAGGAUUUAUAUAAUACAAGAUAAUUUUUAGAAUUUCAAACAGAUUUGAAAAUCUAUUCAUAUUAAAGUUAUUUGCCCAUAAAUACAUCUCCAUAACUUCAAAAGAGUUGGAGAUCUAAAUUUAUUUAGAGUGAGUUCAUUUAAAAGAAAGCUUAAAUAGCCACAAGCAUUCAGGGGUUAUUGCGCCGCUUGCAAACAUGGAUCAUGUUGUCAAAGGUUGUUGCAUUGUAUUAUAGACAUGGUAUAGGAAGAGUAUAAAUAAUUUUUUUUAUAUUAUAUUUUUGGGAAGAAUCCUGUAAAUUUAUUUUAUUUUAUUUUAUUAGUUUUAUAUUUUUGGGAAGAAUCCUAUUGAGAUUGUGCUAAUGGAGUCUCAUUCCUUAUAUAAGUAAAAUCCCCUUCCACUUUGAGUCUGUUCUGAUUACAAGUAGAGUCUCAUUGGGAGUGUACAGGUCACCCCUCACUCUCUAAAUAUGAAUACCAAUUUUUCAAGAUAAUUUUUUAGAGAGUCUUUUCAUACAUCUAUUUGGAGGAAUUUUUUUUCAAAACUCGAGCCGUACAUCUCGUUUAUGCAAGAUCUAACUGUUGAAUUACACCGAGUUCGUCUUUGAGGAUGGUGAAUCUAUUUCAAGAAUAGUAUUUGUCACGCCUCAACCUAAGUUUUUCUUUUUAUUAAUUUUGUUCUUAUUUGUGUCUUUUGCACUAAUCAUUUGUUUCCAUACCUUUAAAUCUAACACAUGGAUCAAGUUGUAAAUUAAUAAACAUGCAUCACGUUGUAAGAGGUUGUUGCAUUGCAUUACAUAUAUUCAUCAAAUUAUAGGUAUUAAAAGUGUCAUGUAGAUGUGUAUAAAUUUAACUUUGAUAUAUAUACAAAAUUUAUUUCCAAAAUACUUUCCAAAAAGUUUUUUUAAACACGUCUGAUUUGAAUAUUAAUAUUCAAAGAAUAGACUUUGAAGGAGGUUUGAGUUUCAUGAAGGAAAAGAAAAACACUUUCCAAAAAUUCUUUUAUAAGCACGUGUCAUUUGAAUAUUAAUAUUCAAAGAAUAGACUUUGAAGGAGCUUUGGGUUUCAUGAAGGAAAAAAAUGAUGUUGGAGAGAAGACCGCUUCUAAUACCACCAGGUGUGCAAAAUCUUUCCAAAUAUACAAAUUUGAAAAUAAAUUUAUUUUUAUUAAUUUAAAAUUUUGAGAAUACGAUCCUUAUUUUAUCUUCUAAUUUAUUUAAUAAUUAAUAUCUAACAAUUAAUUAAGCUUAGGCUUUGAUUUGGGCAUAUGACACAUGUCAUGAUCCUAUUUAAACACACAGAUGAUAUGUCAUAAUUAGUAACAGAAGGAAUUUAAAGAAUUUCAAUAUGUUAAUAAAUGAACAAAAUUUUAAAUUUCUUAUCUUUUAAAAAAAAAUUGCUUUAUUUAGUUUCUUUUGAAUGGACUCUAUAUGACAAUUAUUUUUAGUGGAAUAUUUAUCUUGGAUUUUAUAGAACAAAAUUUAAAAUGUUUAAUUGAUAAUAUAGGAUCAUAGUUGAAACAAUAAAAUUUAUUUAUCACUUAAAAGAAUUAAUUAAAUAGAUUUAAUAGAAUAAUAAAAAAAUUUGUUAGGAAUAUUUGAAUUUGAAAAACCUUUAAAGAUCCAAAAUUUUGUAUAACAAGAAUUUAAAAGAUUUAAUUGGCAAUUAAGAAUCCUAAUGGCAAAAGGAUUUGAGCAAACAAAAUUUAUUGGCAAUUUUUUUUAUAAAAAAAAGCUGAUAUAUUUAAUUUAAUAUUUAUAAAUUCAAGUAUUAAUAAUAUUUGAAUUAAAAAACAUAAAAACAAAAAAAAAACAAAACAAAACAAAACAAAACUAAACUGGAAGACUUAUAUUUUGAAGGGUUUAUGUUGAUUGGCUUUCAAACACCACAAAAGUUUUAAUUUGAAUCUUGCAGAUUUUUGUGUAGAGCAAAUUAAAAUUUUGAUUGGUCGUUUAAAUUUCAAGUGUCACAAAAAAGUUUUGCUUUAAUUUAUGUAAGUGGCGCCGAAUUUAUUUUAUUUUAUUAUUUUUUGCUAUUCAAAAAUGAGUGAUGUUAGAAAUAUGUUUAUAAAUAAAGUAAAGAAUUAAAUAGGAGACUUCAAUCAAUGAAACUACAUCUUUUAAAGUUAUUUCAUAAAUCUAUUUCUUUAUUUUCUUCUUUUUUUCAUUAUUUUCUUUUCUAUUAUCAACCGUAUAAAAAGUAUAUGAUAAACCUACACUUUUAUCUUUUAUUUUAUUUAUAUGUAAUAAAAUUAUACUUUAAUUUUAUGGUAACUUUGAUUUUAUAUUUUAUUUAUAUAUGAUAAAAUUAUACUUUGAUUUUAUAUUUUAUUUAUUUUAUUGAAGCGCAUAAACAUACGUGGAUAUCAAUUAGAAAAUAUGUUUUUCUUUCUAGUAAAAAAUUAUUUAAAAAAUAUCAUAAUUAGAUAUUAUGAAAAAUAAGUGCAAUCCUCAUAACUGAAAGUUAUGAGAUAAAUAACAAAAUUACAAGUAUACAGUAUGCAUAUGACUUUUAAUUACUUUUUAAUUAUAUUGUAUAAUUGGAAGUCAACAAUAUUGUGUAGGUAGAAGCUAUAGAAUGAAAUAGUUCAUAACCUAAAACUAUGUAUAAAUUUACACAAUGAAUUCAUAACAUGAAGUUAUGUACAAAUUUGCUCAAUAAAUAGUUCAUAACCUGAAAUUAUAUAUAAAUUUAUAUAUUUUUUUUAUUCUGACAAAAUAAUUUGAAGUUAUAAAAAAUAUUAAUUUUUAAUUUCUAUUUUGUAUUCAUACACUUUUAUCAUAUUUGUAAUUAACAACAAAACAUAGCAAAAUCUUAUAUCAUUAUAUUUUUAGACAUUAUUUAUUUGAUAAAAUAUUGUUAAAUAAUUUUAUUAAUUUGUUUAUAUUUUAUUUCAAUAAAUUGAAAUAUUUUCUCAUUAAAUUAUUGCAUAUAUAGUUUUCAAAAAAUGUCAAGCUUGACAAAGCUUAGGUUUGUUGUCCUUGAUAUUUUAAGGCAAAAACUACUUAUCAUAAGUUCUAGAUACUAAAAUUCACCUAAAUGUAAUGAAUCUUGGAAAUAUUACUAAAAAGGAAAAUGACACAUCCUUGCAUAAUUGUACCAAAGCUUUAAUAUUCCUUGUCAUCACAUUAACGAAGGAUUAAAAGAUGAAUACCUUAUGGUAAAAAUUCCUUUCAUCAUUUGGAAUAAUCUAAGUGAACGAUAUGACCACCAAAAAAUUACAAUCCUUCCAAAAGCAUGUUAUGAUGGGAUGUACUUGAGAUUAUAAGAUUUCAUGUUUUUUAGUGGCUACAACUUAGUUUUAUUCAAAAUUAGCUCACAAUUAAAAUUAUGUGGAGAGAAAGUCAUUGAAGAAGAUAUGCUUAAAAAGACAUUUACGACUUUUCAUGUUGUGAAUGUACUCCUAUAGUAGCAAUAAUGAGAGCGUCGUUUCAUUAAAUAUUCAAAAUUGAUUUAAUGUUUUCUUAUGGUUGAACAAAAUAAUGAGCUUUUACUGAAAAACCAUCAAUCUCGUCCUAUUGGAUCUGUGUCAUUACCUAAAGCUAAUGUCCCAUAUGUCCAAACUUCUGAACAUGGACAAGAACGUGGAUAUGGAUAAGGUUGAGGUAGAGGAUGUGGUCGCGAUUGAGGUCCUAGUAAAUACAAUCCAUCACAUUGAGUUAUAGGUUUUUUUUUUUUUUUAGAAUCAAUCAUUUUAAUUGAUGUAUUAGUGGACCUUUAGGUUAUAGUUUGGACAAAUGUGUCAUUGGCUUCAAGCAAUGACACGGUCCCAACAUGAUGAAAUUAAUGGUUUUUCGGUAAAAGUUCCCUAUUUUGUUCAAUCAUAAGAAGACAUGAAAUUAAUUCUAAAUAUUUGGUGAAACAACGCUCUUAAUAUUGUUGCUGCAUGAGCACAUUUGAGGCAUGAAAAGUCGUAAAUGUCUUUUCAAGUAUAUCUUUUUUAGUGAGUUUUUCUUCACAUAAUUUUAAUUGUGAGCUAAUUUUGAAUAAAGUCAAGUUGUAAUCAUUAACAAACUUGAAAUCUUAUAAUUUCAAGUGCAUUCGAUCAUAGCAUACUUUUUAAAGGAUUACAGUCUUUUGGUGAUCAUAUUGUUCCUCCAAAUUAUUCCAAAUGAUGAAAGGAUCCUUGAUCACAAGGUAUUCACCUUUUAAUCCUUUAUCAAUGGGAUGACAAAGAAAUAUUAAAGUUUUUACGCAAUCCUACAAGGAUGCGUCAUUUCCUUUUUUUUAAUAGUGUUUCUAAGAUUCAUUACAUCUAGAUGAAUUUUAGCAUUCAUAACCUUUUAAUCCUUUAUCAAUGGGAUGGUGAAGGAAUAUUAAAGUUUUGACAUGAUCGUGUAAGAAUGCGUCAUUUCCUUUUUUAAUAGUAUUUCCAAGAUUCAUUACAUCUUGAUGAAUUUUAGUAUUCAUAACCCAAGAUAAAUAGUUUUUGCCAGAAAUAUUGAGGGUAACAAAUUCAAGCUUUGCCAAUUUUGACAUUUUCUAAAAACUAUAUAUGCAAUAAUUUAAUUAGAAAAUAUUUCAAUUUAUCAAAAUAAAAUGUAAAAAAAUUAAUAAAAUUAUUUAACAAUAUUUCAUUAAGUAAAUAGUGUCUAAAAAUAUAAUGAUCUAAAAUCCUGCUAUAUUUUGUUGUCAAUUAUAAAUAUGGUCAAAAUACGUGAAUACGAAAUAGAAUUUAAAAACUAAUUUUUUUUUAUAACUGCAAGCUAUGUUUAUUUUGUUAGAAUAAAAAAAUGUACAAUUUAUAAAUAGCUUCAAAUUAUGAACUAUUCAUUAUGCAAAUUUGCACAUACCUUAAGGUUAUAAUCUAUUCAUUCUAUAGCUUUUAACCAUAUAAUGUUGUUUUAUAUAACUUUCAAUUAUAAAGUAUAAUUAAAAAGAAAUUAGGAAUCAUAUGUAUAACUUCUUACUAUAUAUUUGUAAUGAUGUAAUUUACCCCAUAACUUCUACUUAUGAGGAUUAUAUAUAUUUUUUAUAUAUAACUUCAAGUUAUGAUCUUUUUUCAUAAUUUUUUACUAAAAAAAAAACAUAUUUUCAAAAUAAUAUCUGCAUAUGUUUAUGUAUUUAUAUACGAUAAGCAAAAUAGAAAAUCAAAGUAUAAUUUUAUCACAUAUAAAUAAAAUAGAAAAUAAAAGUAUAGGUUCAUCACAUACCUUUCAUGUGAGAAAAAAGUUUUUCUGGCAGCAAAUUCAUCACUCUUUGUUAUCAAAAAGUUUUUCUAAGGGGAAUAUAAGUUGCUCGAGUUGAUCUUCAAUAAGUAGUUUAGUAUGCAUAAAGUACUUUUUCACGUCAAUCUCUCCUUAACUAAUCAACCAUUGUUUAAGAUAGAUUGUAGAGAGUUUUAUUGAAGUCUCAAUAAGACCAUUAACCAGUGCAUUACAUAUGGAAGAGUUGUAUUAUUGUUUGAAUUCAAAGUUUUCAUAUAAUUUGUGCAUCAAAUUGUUAUAGACAUUAUUUUCAUUAUUGGUAAGAAUUUAGUGAGGAACACUACAUAGAUGCUAGUCCAAAGGAAGUUAAUAGUUGUUUCAUUAUUAACUUCCUUUAGAGUCAGUUUUGCCCAUUUGAAAAAACAAUCUAUAGCCACCAAUACACAAAUGCCUGAUCAUAUGAAGAUUUUAGUCUAAUUGAUCAUAUGAAAUUAAUUAAGUCCUCAUGCAUCAAAGGACCCAAUGCCACCCUUGGAUGUAAUGGCUCUAAGGUAGUAUCUCAUUCUCUUUAUUUAUUUAAAAACGGAUUAUACCAUGUCUAGGCCAAGUAUAAGAGCUAUUAUUGGAGUAGUUUCUUGUAAGGUAAAACAAUACGGGACGAUGUUUCAUUUAGGAGUAACAAAUCCAACCUUGAUACUACUCACUCACAACAUAAUUAUUUUAUUUAUUUAAUUAUUAAAAUUUAUUUAUUUAUUUUGAAUCUCAUAUAGAUGAUAUGCGAAAAUUAGUGAUCGAAUAACUACAAUCAAAUAAUUUGUCAUACUUGUGCAAUAAAUUACUUUGUAAUAUUUUAUUAAUAAUUUAAUAAAGCUUUUUAACAUUUUUUUUAAUAUAAGAUCAGCAUAAAUGCCAACUGUUGUGACUUUCUGAAACGGGCCGAUUAUUCGGCCUGUCAUAGAGUUACUUUCUCUUUUCAGGUCUUUUGGGUUUGAUGAUUUGGAGUGGGUAUGAUAUGUAGAACACUUGAGAAAAAAAAAAAAAUUACGAUUAAGAAGAAAUUAGAAUAUCCACACAUGUACAAUCCACUAAAAGUCAACCUUGUCAAACAACAGUUGAGCACUGCGAAGUAGAAGGGUCAAGCACUGCAGGUAGGAGGUAUUUCCUGCUGUUUACACCCAGCGCAUUAUAGCUCGCACCGGUGCUGGAAUCCACCAACAGCUCUCCGGCGUAUCCCGGAUAAGCUCCUUUCCCAUAAAUUCCUGGGCAAGCUGAAGCCACCUCCAGAGGCGCCUCAGCUGAGCCCUGGAAAUAGCCGUUUCCAAAAGGGUUGGUUACAGUUCCGGCCAGAAGAGUCGCUAUAUUUUCGACCAUGCCAUCCAACCCCACGUCCCCGUUGGGUGCAAUCAGUGGUGUUGUCUGUGGUCCGUAGAUGGGUUGGUGGAAGGGCCACGCGCAUUGGCCAGGGCACUGAGUCUCCGAGUUCCCAACCCAGAUGAAGGCUGACCUCUUUCUAGCGUCCGACCCAUGAAACCCGCAGUUGCUCAUACAGAAGCCUUCAACUGCAACGUCUUUUGCUGUGAGAACCAGAGUUAACCCACUGGAUUUGGAGCUUACAGCACGAGCCAACUCGGAAAUCUGGGAUUUCUUGAGGGUUUUGCCCAUGGAACAGGACUCAUCUGAGAUUUGAUUGGACAGUUCAAUUUGGAUCUCCCUUUUGCCAGCCUUUUUCAAGUAGGUUUGGAUAGUUUUCCACCACUGCGAGGUUGAAGGUUUUUUAGAGGAGAGAUUCUCUGGUUGAUCAUGUGGGUCGAGGGAGAGAAGAAAGUCUGCAACAAUAGAUUUCUGAGCCGGUGAGAAUUGUCCGUACCAAAGAAUUGAUACUGGGAGAUGUCCUUCAAGCAAAGCGCCAUUAUGGUAUGUGAGAGCCAUGGGUGGUGGCUGGUACAAUGAAGUUAGCUUUCUUGCGCAGAAACACGGGCUAAUGAAGAACAAGUGAAAAAUAACAACGACAACAACAAGAGAGUGUGUUUUGAGGGAGAGAGAGAAAGCCAUUUCAGAGAUAAACUAAAGAGUGUUGAUGUUCGAAUAAAGGACAGAUAGUUUAAAAUUUUAGAGAGAAAGGUUUUGGCUUGAGUGGUGUGAGAGAGAGUCAGGGAGUGGUGAGAGUAUAUGUAGGCGGGAAGGUGCAUGCACCGUGCCGAUAAACUGCCCUUGUACCUUUCAUCACCAGCUUAGCAGAUAAAAAAAUUAGAGAGAUCACGAGAAUUUGGAAAGAUGAGGUGAACGGGGAACAUCUGGCAAGAAUCUCUCUCUGUGCGUAAAGUAUUUUUUGUAUAGAGAUUAGGAGACUCUGCUGACGCUUACAUCGAUUUCAUAGAUGGUAAUGUGGCAUGCAAGGAGGGAAGUACAACCGCGACUCUUAAUGGACAAAUGGGUGGAGCUAUGGGCUGCAUGUGUUUGGAGCUGUUUCCUAGGCAGUUUCACAUUUCUUCUUCAUUAAUUAUAAUCUUUUUUAAAAGAGGAUAACUCAGAUUAAUUCAAUUGAUUUAAGGGCACCCCAACAAUUAAGAGCAUGUCUUAGCCAAGAGAGAAAUGUCCCAUUUGUUCAGACUAAAGUUGUCCACAUCAACUUGGCUUUGUCUUCUAACAUCUGCCUGAGGGCUCAGGACCUCGUUGUUGUUGCAUAAUAAUAAGUGUUUUGCAGUACUGCUGUUGGGGAUUAUGAUUUUGGUGUUUUCAAAACUCAUGUGUCCAAAUGGAGGUAGCCCAGGUUCAUAUGUACUGUAGUAAUGAUCAGAAGUCUAUCCUCAUCUAACAUGCAAUGCACUUGCCCAUACAUCAUGGGCAUUCCGAAAGUUUAGGUUCAUAUUGCAGAAAAAAUGAUGGCAGGCACUAAGCUUGCCAUGCUCUUGUGGGUCCUAAUGUUAUGUCACAUGCCUCUCUUCAUUGGGAGUGGGUGGGGUAGCUAUAAGUUGGGUAUUCUGCAAUCAACCUGGGAUAUAUAAACCUAUAGCCCAUUUCCUAUAUGCAUGUAGUAUAGUUGAUUACACAGCCUAUCCUUUUGGAAUAGGCUUUAAACUCACCUAACCAACACGGAUUAAAUUUCAUCAGCAGUACAGUCCCCUUGGCCGGUCCGUCAAAGGGUUCCCCAUCAGAGCAGUUGAAUUAAAGCAUCUCAUUAAACAUUGUUAUGGUCAUCAUUUGAUUUGACCUUUGACCUAAAAGGUUCCUUCCCAAACUUUAGUUGGAGAAUAAUGAUGGAAAUCAGAUUAAGAUUAGGAUCAAUCGAAUUGGGAGUCAUAGGAAAAAUCUCAUGAAAACAAACUGACUUGUUUUAAUUAUCCACAUUUGCAUAUCACUAAUCUGUUCGAUCUACUCAAAAGAAAAUUCAUUUAAUUCUAAAUGCAUCCCAGCGAAUUGAGACAAUGACCACACAAUGAUCACAUGUAUUUUUACUUUUAUAGCAGUCACAAACACGCUCACAUGACCCUUUUUCUAGUGUGAAAGCCUGGUACUUGGUCGGCAAGCAGACUCUGGCAAGAAAAGUGGAAUCAUCCAUUUCUUAGAGGGCGUCCGAAAUCCAAAUAGACCGUGAAGCUUACAUUUCCCAAGCACCACUCGUGCAGCUUCAAUAUUAAACUAUUCAAACUUUCAUUAAUUGGUGAAACCAUCCUCGCAAGUAUAGAAAAUAUAUGUUGAACACAUCAACUAUCAGCAGACAGGCUGGUUGCUCGGAUCGAGUUUAUUGGAAGCUGGUGGCUUAGGAGAUUAGAGGGUGUCUUCUGAUGAUGCUACGAAUUUGAUAUUGAAAAUGUCACGAUGAUAGCUUUACUUAUUCAAUGGACGCCAAAUUCAUUAAGAAAAUGAUAGUCAAUUUGUCGCCCGUCUUCUACACAUGAUUUAUGAUCAAACGGCUUAAAUUUCAUGAUCAUGAGUCAUCAUCAUUAAUUACCCUUGAACCUAGAUUUUGAGCACUUUGAAAAUGCAGAAAUAAUGGGAAGAUUGACUGUGUGAGUGUAUUAUUGAUCUUCCAGGAAGGUGGGGCAUUGACUGUUUUACAAGCAUAUCCCACAAGGCUUGCUGCCAUCUUCUCAUACAGGAAUGAUUUUUUGGAAAUGGCUUUGAAGUGAAGGCAUCUAUGUUGAAUGGGGGACAGGAUAUACAGACCAUCCAUAUUCCUCCGGUCUCCUGCUUACCUGCAUCAAUGACUUGUAACUUCAAUAAUUGUUUUUUAAAUUUCUUUCUUCUACAAACAACUUUUUCCCUUUCUUAUAUUUGAGAAUUUGAAGAAUGUUCAAAACUAUUACCAAAAAUUACAAACUAUUAUGUUAUUUAUUCAAUAAUGUUGCAUGCAGGGAUGCCACCGGGUAUGUUUUUUUGGAUGCUUGUCCUUAAAAUUUAAAUAAUAAGUUGGGGACGGAUUUAUGAUUAUUUUUUAAAAUUGGGAUGGAUUCGGACAGGUUUAGAUAUUGUUUGUCCCACCUGCCUGAUUAUUUUUCAAAAUUAAUUUUAAAUUUUAAUUUAAUUUUGAUUUUCCCAUUUUAAAAAUAUAAUAAUAAUAAUAAUAAUAAUAAUAAUAAUAAAUUACUUUGUGAUAAAAUAAGGUAUAAAAAUUAUAAUAUUUUAAUUAUUUAUAAAAUAUAUUUAUUUUAAUGUAAUUUAAAAUUUUAAAUAAAAUAAAAUAAAAUAAUUUUACAAAAAAAAGUUAAAUAGACCUAGUGGGGCAGAAGAGAGAAAUGCAUACCUAUUUUGUCCAUCCCUUCUAUUUAAUUUUUUUAAUUGGACUGAAAUAGGAAUAAUUUUGAAUAAGGGGAAUGGAGUCGGGAUGGGAUGGCCGCCCGUUACCAUCCCUGGUUGCAUACUUGCAUGUAAAUGAAUAUAAGGCAAUAGCAGCAAUUCCCACACUCACCGAAUAUUUUUCAAAUAUUGGUUCAUCCUCUGCAUGUUGGUCAAGUCAGAAUCCUUUUCUUCUGUGUAUGCCCUGGCGCAGACACUUUAAAAUUUUUUAAAUCAUUCAAGGUCUGUUUGGUAGUUUCCAUUUUGGAAAACAAACAGUAUUUUUUUUAUAUCUAAACAUAUAUGGCCAUAGAAAUGAAAACAAACACAAUUUUUUCUUUAAUUAUUUUUUCCUUUUGAAAAAACUAUAUAGUCUAUAUUUUAUAGUUGAUACUUUCUUGAAUCUCAUCUCUCAAGAAAAUAUUUCUUUUGGAAAAAUAUGAGGAUAUCGUUAAAAAUUUGAAUUGUAAGACAUUCAAAAAUUUUCAUUUGAAUUAUUAAGAAUUUCUUAUAUGGAGAAGAAGACCACCAUUUAUAAUAAUACAUGAAUUAUUGGUUAAUUUAGAUGCUUAUCCAAUUAGCACCUCAAUUUUUCUUUGAGUUUGCAAUAAAUUAUAACUUUUAGUUGACCAAUGUAUUAAUAUGAUAUUAAAUUAUCAAUUAAUUUAAAAUUUUAAUUUAUUAGGUAAUUGAUUAAUAAUAUAUUGUAAAAUAAUGGAGAAUUUAUAGAAGCCAACCCAUCAAUUUUCACCAGACAAGCUGUUUUGCUUAGGAUUAUGCAAUAUCUUCCCAUAAUAAAUUAGAAACUAUUUGGAUGUUCAGCACUUAAUUAGGUUACAAAAAAUAGCUUAAUUUUCAUUGGCCGUGGAUGAAUCGCUUAUCAAUAAUUAGUCUCUGGAGCCUGAUUUUCAGUACUUUCAAUCAGAGAAAUAGCAAGAUUGACUCAGUCGAGAUAUUAGUUGUGUUAUUGUCCUUGAAUGAAGGGAGGGCAUGAACCCUCAACAUAUCCACAAGGCCUGCUUCCAUCUUCUCAUACAAAAAUUGAUCUGUAAAUUGCUUUAAAAUGAAGCAGUUAGGUUGAAUGGGGGACACGAUGUGCAGGCCAUUCAUAUUCUUCUGGUCUCCUCUUCGCCCGCAUGCAUGACUGGUAACUUCAAUUAUUGAUUUCCAUUAAUUCUUCUUGCGAUAUAUAUUUUUUUCCCAUCUCUUCUAUUUGAGGCUUUUAAGAGUACCCAUAGCUUUAGGAAUCAAAAUAAUUCAAAAACAAACAAACAAACAAACCCAUCCUUCCAUGUGAAUGAACAGCUUCCAUAUUCUUCCAGCUUCAAAUUGAAUUUUAGAUUCAAUUAAUUGAAAAACUAUGGCAUACUUUCAUGCCCAUCAGACAUCCAAGCAAGAAUGUAAUCUUGCUCUGAUCCAAAGGGAUGAGAAGAUGAGUGCAAAUGGACAAGUACAGCUACAAGCUCUCCACAUUACAGACAAAAAGAAUCCCUUAUGAGGUGAAAGUCAAGAAAAUGAGCAAGCAAUCUAGGCUUAGAUUCACGAGACACACCACCCGUGCCCCUACAAAGCCAUAUUAAACUGAGGAUAAAGCCUGCACCACCACCAGACACGGCGUCGAAUUUAAGAAGAGUAAUGCAAAUGGAUGCAUUAUCAAAACAUUUCAACGUUAUUAAUAUAUAGAGUUGAGAUAAGGUAGUUUUAUAAUCACAUGGAUUAAUUAGGAGUGAAUGCCUCGUGGCCCGUGGGUGCUAGCUUUUGGAUAAUGUUUUAAGAUAUCGUUGCCUGGCUCGUGAAUUCUAGGUUUUAGUCUUUUAGAUAGGGUGACGACUGGCCUCCGCCCUCCGCCCUCCGCCCUCAGCUCACCUUUCUCUUUACUUUGAUUUCCACCUAAUUUGUUUUUAUCAGGCACAAAUCCAAAGUCCAACUAAGAAGCUUCCAUUCACUAUGUCAAGCUAUCCAAUAUCAUCAUCAUAGAUUCAUAGCUUCCCUUGUCUAUUUCUUGGAAAAAUCUUUCAGGAUUUCAUUUAUUUUAUAAGAAAUUUAAUGUUAAAAAGUUGUAAAACAGUUUAAUAAACCAUACUUAAUUGCCACAAAACACCAUUCAUACGUCAUUCAUAUUCUAAUUAAAAAAAAAAUAAUUUCUUCACUGAGAAUUGAGAUUGCAAACAUUGUUUUGAUGAAAGAAUGUAAAAUUAUAUCGAAAACGAUGGGAUAAAUUUUUUUAUGCUAUUCUGAAAAUCAUUACCAUAUCAAAUUAAAAAUAUAAAUUUAAAUAGGAUUAAAAUUUUAACUAUGAGUAACUUUAAAUUUUCAAAUGUAAUUUGAGAAGUAAAAUUUAAUUUAAUAUAUUCAUUUGUAUAUCAAAAUUAGAAAAAAAUAAUCUUUCACAACAUGUUUAAAAUUUAUGUCUAAAUUAAAAAAAUUAUCAGGUACUUAUAAAUUAUUUUUCAAAUCAAUACUCCAUUUAAAUGAAUAUAAUGAAUUUGCUAUUUAUUAAACUUUCAUUUGGGUACAUUUUUAUAUUUUUACUUAAUUUCUAUCUAUAAAAUGUAGAAACUUUAAUAGAAAAAAAAUUACAAAUUUAUUUUUUGUUUUAAAAAAUUAUUUUUUAAAAUUCUAAAUUUUUAGAUGGUAAUUUUUUUUAAUACCUCACAAUUUCCAAUCAAUUUUUAGAAACCUUUUAAGAUUUUUUUUAAUAUUUUAUAUGUAAGUUACUAUUGUUUUUUGUUUUUUGUUUUUAAAUUACAUCUAAUACACUAACGCUCAUUUAGACGCAUUUCCUUCUUUUUUUUUUUUUUUUUUAAUGAUAAUAACUUUUACAACAUAUUAUAAUAGCUCCUAUGUAAAAGAUAUACACAUUUCUUGUGAUUUUUUAAAAUUUUGAGAUAAUAAUUUUUUUAGUGGCUCUAAUUUCAUAAACAAAUUUUUAAGUAAAUUUCUUGUUACAGAAGUUAUUAUUUUAUGUUUCUAAAAUAAAAAAUUGACAAAUGUAUCCAAAGUACUCAUUUACAAACUCCAUCUAUAUCAACAUUUGGAAUAACAAAAAAUAAAUUAAUCUGGGUCUUUUGGUCACAUUUUUAUUCUUUUAACUUAAAAACAAAUUUAAGAAAACAUGGUUAAAUGACCCAUGUUUUCCUUUUGAUUUUAAAAAUUGAUAAAAAAAUUUCUACUUAUUUUUAAAAAUUAUUUUUAAUUUCAUUUUUUUUAAAAAAAAAUUGUUUAUAAAGAAGAACAACCAAAUAUUUUUUUUUUUAAAUAAAGCUCUUUUUAAAUCACCAUGAAACAUGCUUUUAUUUACCACAAAAUAAAAAAACUUUUAAUUUCUUAAACAGUUUUUCAUUUAAAAAAUUUAUCCGUGUAUAAAUUUUGAAAUUGUUAGGAGCAAUGGCUUUUAAUCAUUUUGAUGACAUGCCCCAAAAUCUAAAAUUUUUAUUAAGCAAUUAAAAUAUCUCUGAGAGAUAUUUUUGUUCAAUGAAUCAAUGGAAUGGAGUGCAUGAGAAGAUAUUCAAAUGGUGUACAUGAGAAGACAUAUCAUGUUUGGUUCAAUGUUGGGGAUUAGAAAUGACAAUGAAACGAAUUGUCUCGUCCCGUCUCCAUCAUUCAAGCAUAGUAGUUUCAUUCCCACCCAAAACGCCAUCCUUACCCUGGACUACACAUCUUACUUACCCUCCACGCCUUUUACAGCUCAGCUCUCUCAUAGACAAUGAUUGGCAUCAUUAUUUGGAAAAGAAAAAGGCAGACAAUAAUCAUCGAGACAAAAAUUAAUAAAACAUAUGUUAAAAAUCCAACCUGUAAGGCUGUAACCCACCAAAAGUCCCUGAGAAGGUGCAGGGGAAAUGCUAGUAUGAUUUUGUGCACACAGUUGAUUGAGGAUUGCCAUGAAACUUAAUGUGUAAGUCAAAAUUCUAACCACUACGGAAAUAAAUCUUAAAUGGAAAAUGAAAAAUGAAAAAUAUUUGAAUAAAAGAUAUGUUUGGAGAAACAAGUCUAUCAUAAUUCUGCAUUGGUAGCAUUAUUUGGAAAAAAAUAUAAACCAUGGCUUAUCUUUUAUUAACCUGCAUUGCUCAAAGCAGUAGUAACCAAUUUUUUUUUCUUUAUUUAGAUUGGUCAAUUUUAAAUCUUGAAACACGUAGCCCCACACGUGACCAGCAAAAUGGCUUGGUACUAGGAAAAGCAAUUUGUGCCCAAAACGUGGGAGUAACAAAAUGGGUAUGAGACUUUUAGUUUUAGUCACUGGGGAGAGAAUUUUGGCAGCAACAAGUUUCUUCUUUCUUAACAUUACAGUCUUACAGAGUAAACUUAGGGCCAUGCUACCAGGGAGAGGCAAGGGAUUUGGCCCCAAAAUGUACGAUUUUUCUUUGUUAAAUCAAUGCAAACAACUAUCACCCAUUAAUUUUAAUGAGUGAAAUCAUUUUACUCCAGAAAUCAGAAGUUGCAAUAGAGUAGUAAUAGAAGGCGUUCAUAAUUUUGGGUUUAAAGUGGGAAGUUAAUUAAAAUUUGGGCAAAACGUGCUUACUGGGGGUAGUGGGCAAUAAAGAAGUGAAUAGAGGUGGUAGGGGAGCUGUCAUCCAGCUGGACUCUCAAAUGCAAAAAUGGGUAUUCGUUUAUCCCAACUCACAAGUCACAAGUCACGAGUAGUAUGUGAAUUGGCAAUGGCAGCUAAUGACUCAUGAGAAAUGGCAGAGCGCGUCAUCUCUCCUUCUCGCCUCGGAUGCUCACUGUCACACUGUUUCCCCACUCUUUUAUCAACCUCAAGGUCCCAAUGCUGACUGCCAGUUGGAUCGUCCGCGCUUCCCGAUAUUAUUUCUAUAUUGAGCCCCAAGCCCCUUCCAGCCUGUCACCUUUCCUACCUUCUCCAACGUCUCUCUCUGCCUUUUUUGCUUUUCCCAUUCAAUGCCCUUCACUCUCUCCACCGCUACGGCUCCACAGUACUCAUUCUGAGGCCUACUUUGGUCAAAUCAAAAGUCCUCUCAAACUGUAUCCAAGCUGUAUUUAGGUUUUGUCCUGUAGCUAUAAAAAUUGAAAAGGAAAGGAGAAACUGACUUUAACAGGGGCACUCCUCUGGAAACUUUUAAAAAAGUGCCGGCUGGCAUUGCCCUUUGUGUUCUUAAUGCAUACAAAAGUGCAAAUGGCUUUGUGAUUUUUCUGACUGGAGCGUGUUAUUUGGGGCCUCAGGUUUUUUAUAGAACCGCGUUGGAGAGUACCGUUGCCUCUCUCAAACUUCAACUGCCCCUUGCAUCUUUCUGAGCAGGUUCGAACGAGGCCCCACCGCACAGCCCACUCCUUCGAUUUAAAAUUGUGACACCAGACGGUCUAUAUAUAGAGACUCACACCCCUCUUGUCUCUACACAGACUCAAAACCACAUCAGCAGCCUCUCCUCCUGCUUCAUUUUCCUUGUCCACAACAUUUCUCUAUCUGCGUUCUAAAUAUGGUUUCUUUUAUCUCUAUACGCCAUUUUCUGCCAUUCCUCUUUGUGAUCUCUCUGUUCCAUGUGAGCUAUGCUGCGAGGAAGCUCAAUGAGCUGGUACAACAGCAGCCUCUGCUCUUGGAAUACCAUAAUGGCCCUCUCCUCUCUGGAAAAAUCUCUAUAAACCUAAUCUGGUACGGCAAAUUCAAGCCUUCCCAGCGGGCUAUCGUUUCAGAUUUCAUUACCUCCCUUUCUUCUUCUUCCCUGUCUCAGGACCAGCCUUCCGUUGCCACCUGGUGGAAAACCACAGAGAAGUACUACCACCUCACCUCCAAGAACCCAUCUUCACUCAAGCUCUCCUUGGGCGAACAAAUACUCGAUGAGACCUACUCGCUCGGGAAGUCACUCACAGGGAAGCAAAUCGUUCAGUUGGCUUCCAAGGGUGAACAAAUGAACGCCAUUAACGUGGUUUUGACCUCCUCUGAUGUGGCCGUGGAAGGGUUCUGCUCCAGCCGCUGCGGGACUCAUGGAUCUUCUUCGAGUUCCAAGAAUGUUCAAGUCAAGGGCAAGAACUACAAGUUUGCAUACGUCUGGGUUGGGAACUCUGAGACUCAGUGCCCUGGCCAAUGCGCCUGGCCCUUCCACCAGCCCAUCUACGGACCCCAGAGCCCACCGCUAGUCGCACCGAACAACGAUGUGGGUCUGGAUGGCAUAGUCAUAAACUUGGCUAGCCUCUUGGCUGGAACUGCGACCAACCCUUUUGGAAAUGGCUACUUCCAGGGUCCGGCGGAGGCGCCCCUAGAAGCUGCAUCGGCUUGCCCUGGGGUUUACGGGAAGGGGGCAUACCCUGGGUAUGCUGGGGAUUUGUUGGUGGAUUCAGUGACUGGUGCUAGCUAUAAUGCCCAUGGUGCCAACGGGAGGAAGUACUUGCUUCCUGCCUUGUAUGAUCCUUCUACAUCCUCGUGUUCUACUCUGGUCUGAAGCAGAUUAGUGUCUUGACGACAGAAACUUCGUAGAAUUUACAGGCCUUAGAAAAAUCCAGAGAGAUACUGUUAUUCAUUCAUUUAUUUGUUCUUCCCGUGGUAGUUUCAAUAAUAUCAAAGCAAAUUGGUUUGGUUUGCUUUUUUCACUUGAAUGCAUCUUUCCAAAUUACAAUGCCUCAACAUGAAUGAAUGAGGUGAUUUGUUGCAGUGUUGAGGAUAUUCCCAGUGAAAUGGGUUCUACUCAUUGAGAAUUACUUUAAUUACUCUUAUGUCCUUCCUUCUCAGUGGUUGUACCUGUGCCAGCGCUUAAAGCCGUGUGCAGUAUGUAUAAAGGCGUGGCAUAUGGAAUUUUAUCUCUUAACAGGGUAUUGGAUCACAAGCACCCCCAACACAAUCACGGGAUUGAGGCGAAAUAGACAUAAUAGCAUCCUCCCACGUAGAAAUUGUUGACUUUGAUCCUCAAACAAGAAAUUGUUAAUACCUAAAUAUAAGAUUCUAACAAUUUUAAACGGAUUUACAUAAUUAAGAAAAAUUUAUACAUAAUUAAAAAACGUUUAGUCACGUCUAAAAUUUCCCGUUGGAUAGAAUUAUUAUUUUAUCAAGAGCUUUCAUACAAUACCAAUGCCAUUUAAUGUGCCGAUAAUAAUAACAUUAUCUUAGCAAUGUAUAAUAACAUUUGGCACUUUCAUCUUUACGUUUGCCUUAAUGAGUAAAUUACCAAUUAAAAAUAUUGCUAAGAAGCUCUAAACGGCAUUUUGCAUUGGAGAUGCUCUAAAACAUGUGUUAAUCACACAUUUCUAAGUCUCUUAACUCUGGAUCUACUUCAUUAAAUCAGGAAUUGUGAGGUUACCAUUAAUAGUGAAAAAUGAGACACACACUUCCCAAUUAUCUUACUAUUAUAACCUCGGAUUCUCCGCCGGCUUGGCUGAAUCUAAGUACUGGGUGUGAGGGUUUAUAAGUGGAUAUACUCAAGGCAACUAAGCCUUUUUUUUUUUUUUUUUUAUGAAGUGAGAUCUUAUACUUUGAAAAGCAUUGGAAGAUCAACUAAAUCUAUUUUUCUACGGAAGAAGUGAGAUCUUAUAUAUAUAUAUAUAUAUAUAUAUAUAUUCUUGUUUUGUAUAAGUGGAUAAUUUAUUUUCCUAAGAUAAUUUAUUCCUAAGAAAAUCUUACUUCAAGUAUUUUAUGGAAUCUAAAAAUUUAAAAUUUUUAUUUUUAUUUAUAAUCUAAAUGUUAAAUAAAAUUUUAAUAUUAAUUUUAUAAUUUUAUACAAAUUUAUGAUUUCUCAUUUUAGUAAGGGAAAUUUUUUUUAAAAUUAUAUAAAUAUGAAUUUUUCUUCAUUAUUUAGAAGCCGUUAAUGUUCUUUUGACUCACACGCAUAUAAUAUCUAUCCGAUUAAAAUUGCACCAUUAAUAUGUUUGUAAUAUCUCAUGUUAAUGUUCUUUUGACUCAAACGCAUAUAAUAUCUAUCCGAUUGAAAUAGCACCAUGAAUAUGUUUGUAAUAUCUCAUAUUGAUCGGGGAAAAUAGAAGAUAUUUUUUUAUGCAAACCUCCACAACCCGCUUAAAGAACGAAGAAUCGAAACCAUUUAAUGUACGCGUCCGGACAGAUAGUAAUGGAGCAGAGCCAUUUCCAUUUCUCUUUCUUCAGGUAUGCACUAACCAGGAAGCACCCAACUUUCUCCCUUCCCAUUUUCCUUGUUGGAGUCAGCUGUCUUCAGUGUCCGUAUCUAGUUUUUGUUCCGCUAUCACACUCCUUUUUGUUCCGCUAUCACACUCCAUCUAGUUAUGUGCCAUAAUUCCCUUUGUCAUAUUCUGACGGAAAAACCAAUUAAAUCCUUAAUCAUCAAGCUAAAACAUUUGUUCUUUGAAACUACAAAUUUAGGCUCUAUGUGGACCCCGCAUUUCGGCUUAAUGCGUUUCCCACUCGAUGACGAAACUCGAUUUUUAUUUGAAAAAAAUUGAUUUUUAUUGAUUAAGAAAAAUGACUUGGAGUCGUCACUUAUUUUUGUUUUAUUUUUAAAGGGUAAACAAAAUAAGAAAGAAAAACCCUAAGUGUAACUCCUUAUUUUGGAAAAGGUGGUCUGUGAAAAACCGGAUCGGGUUCGGGGGUUAGGUUACUUAUCGGGAAGGUACGGUAAAGACCAUAGCACCCCUCUAAGUCCCUAAAAACGGGUCUCUACUAAUAAAAUGAAGCUAACAUGGCAACCAAUGAGAAAGUCAAUGAAUACUCAAAUCGAUCAUGCACGUAUGAGUAUCAGAAUAUGCAAUAGAGGAUAACCGAAGUGAAAGUGGAUGCGUACCUGAUCAGCAAACGGCAACGCGCUGAAAGAACCCUUUUCCAGUAAGGCUCUGUUUAGCUGUCAAUGCCUUCAAUCCUCCUCCAAUGUCGACAAAGCCAACCAGCUUACCCUUCUGAACAGCACCCCCUCCUCCUGCAGCUCCAAUGAACCCCUCCGAAGCUCCCUUCUCCUCUCCAGCUCAAGAGAUCACUCUCUCAGCCAAAAGAUUUCUCCUCUGCCCCAAAAACUGCAAAACCCCCACAACCUUCCAAAAGCAACCUCACUUUCUCAGAAUCCUUCCUCCCUUCCUGCCUCAAAAUGACUAAACAAAAGCUCUCCCCUCAAAAGAUCUCUGCAGCCUCCAACUUCUCUCUCCCCUCGUUUUUCCCCUCAACCCUCCGUGUCAAGAUAUCUUCACCUCUUUUACUAAAAGCCCAUCUCUGAAAAGCAUCUCCCUCUCUGAAAAAAAAUCCCCAACGGCAGCCCAGACCCCUUCUCCUGCAGCUGGCCUGCUGCUCCUCAACAGAAACGUACCUCCUCUCUAACGGCCAGAAUAUCUCCAUGCCACGUGUCAAACUCUCACUCGCUCCUCAAUUCCACCAUCUGUUUCUAUGACCACCAACCACGAGGCGACACGUGGCUCCUUGAGAGCCCUCCACCUGCAAAGAAUUAUAACCUGUAGAGAUGCAAAGGAAUGAGCCCCAAAUGGGGGUCUACACUCUAAUAUUAAAAUUUAUUUUUAAAAUAAAAAAAUAGAUACUAUAUCUAUUAAUGUUUAUUACUUAUUUUUAAGAGUUUUGGGUCAAAAUGGUCAUUUUAAAAAAAAAAAAUUGUAACAUCUAACCACUCUUUGAAACUUAUGUUCAAAUUAGGCUCUUUGGUACCACGUAGACGCCGUCUUCAUUAAAAAAUAUUUUUUUCAUCAUUUUAGUUAAAGUCGCAGUUGAUAAUCGCGAUUUCAUUUUUGAACUAAAGUCGCAGUUGGCAAUUGUGGCUUCAUUUUUAAACUAAAGUCGCAGUUGACAAUUGCAGUUUUAUUUUUGAAAAAACUGUAGUUGUCAACUGAGACUUUAGUUAAUUUUUUUUUAAAAUUUAAAAUUUAAUUAAAAAUUAUUAAAUUACAAAUUUAUGAUUGAAAAAUUAAAAUAUACUUAAAUAAUAAAUUAUUUAUAUUUAAAUUUAAAAAUCUAGUAUUACUUCAGCAAACAUAAAUUGAUAAAUAGAAUAUAUUAUAAAUGAAUAUUUUAUUUAUUAAUAAAUUAAUAAUCUUAAAAUAAUAAACUUGUAUAACAUAUAAAUAAUAUAUAAAAUUGUAUAAUUUAUUAAUUUAAGAUAUUUAAUUUGUUGUUUUUUAAAAUAUUAAUUUAUUUGUAUUAUGAUAAAUUUAUCUUUAUCGAAAUAAUUGUAUACUUUUAAGCUGCAAUUGAUAACUAAGAUUUCAAUUAUAAUUUUUUUUACUUUCAAAUUUAAUUAAAAACUAUUAAAUUACAAUUUAUGAUUGAAAUUUAAAAAAUAUACUUAAAUAAUAAAUUAUUUAUAUUUAAACUUAAAUUAUUUAUAAGAACAUGUUCAUAUUUAAAUAUAAAUAAUUUAUUAUUUAAGUAUAUUUUUUAAAUUUCAAUUAAUUUUUAAUUAAAUUUGAAAGUAAAAAAAAAAAAUUAUAAUUGAAAUCUCAAUUAUCAAUUGCGGGUUAAAAGUAUAUUAUUAUUUUGAUAAAGAUAAAUUUAUCAUAAUACAAAUAAAUUAAUAUCUUAAAAAACAAAAAAUUAAAUAUCUUAAAUUAAUAAAUUAUAUAAUUUUAUAUAUUAUUUAUAUGUUAUAUAAGUUUAUUAUUUUAAGAUUAUUAAUUUAUUAAUAAAUAAAAAUAUUUAUUUGUAAUAUAUUUUAUUUAUCAAUUUAUAUUUAUUAAAGUAAUACUAGAUUUUUAAAUUUAAAUAUAAAUAAUUUAUUAUUUAAGUAUAUUUUUAAAUUUUAAUCAUAAAUUAUAAUUUAAUAAUUUUUAAUUAAAUUUUAAAUUUUUUUAAAAAAUUAACUAACAGUUAACAAUUACGACUUCAAUUAAAAUGACGAAAUUUUUUUUUAAUAAUAUAAUAUUUAGGUGUUACCAAAAAAAAUCAAUUUGAACAUCAUAAGUCUCAAAGUGGCGGAUGUUACCAUUUUUUUUUUUUAAGGUUCAUUUUGACCCAAAACUCUAUUUUUAAAAUCUGGUUUUCAAAACAAUCAUGGAGGAUGAUGAGUUGUUCUCCAAAGACGUUCAAAUAAAUGUAUUUAUAAUUUAGAAAAUGGUAAAAAAAAAUAACAAAAUGGAAGAAAAAUAAUAAAGAAAAGAAAAGUUUGACGAUGAUAAAAAGUCACCCCUAGGCUCUUAAUGUCCUUAGCUGUAAACGUAGGGUUUUUGAUUUUUCACAGCGAAAGACAGAUCCGCACUCAACCAGAUUAAUUUCGAACGCGCUAUUGAGUAUUGAGCUGGCAUUUGCUUCGCUUUUCGCCUUUUCCCUUCCUUCUCGGCACUUUCAUUCAUACCCUCCCCCUCGCUCCUCUCACGCUGUUGGUCACACUCUCCCCACUGCCUAUUUUACUAUAUAUAUGAAACCCCCAAUUCAUCUUCUCCUCACUCCAAAGUUCCAAACCCCCACCAAAGCCAUCUAUCUCUACAGCUUAGCUUCACUGCACUCUAAAGUCCUAACUACCAUGGCAUCUUUCGUUCCUACUCAAUGCCUUUUACAACUCCUCUUUGUGGCUUCUCUGUUUCCAUUCAUCUCAGCAGCCAGGAGACUUGCUCAAGACCAGCAACCUCUGCUUCUUCAAUACCACAAUGGCCCUCUUCUUUCCGGAAAAAUCUCCAUUAAUCUCAUCUGGUACGGAAAGUUCAAGCCUUCCCAACGCGCCAUUGUUUCUGAUUUCAUUACCUCCCUCUCUUCCUCCAAAACCACCCCCCACCAACCCUCUGUUGCGGCGUGGUGGAAUACCAUCGACAAAUACUACCUCCUCAUUAAGUCCAAGAAAUCCACCUCCCUCGGUCUCUCCCUAGGCACCCAAAUCCUCGACGAGAACUACUCUUUGGGUAAAUCACUGACCAGUCGAAAUCUCAAACAGUUGGCAGCAAAGGGGCAGCAGAGCAACGCCAUUAACGUAGUCUUGACAUCUUCUGAUGUAGCCGUUGAAGGGUUCUGCUCCAGCAGGUGCGGAACACAUGGGUCUUCUCCCAGCUCCAAGACUGCUAAGGUUAAUGGCAAGAUCUCCAAGUUCGCAUACAUCUGGGUGGGUAACUCCGAGACUCAGUGCCCAGGUCAAUGCGCAUGGCCAUUCCACCAGCCCAUUUACGGACCCCAGAGUCCACCCCUGUCCGCACCCAACAACGAUGUGGGUAUGGAAGGUAUAGUUAUGAACCUGGCUAGCCUCUUGGCUGGAACUGUUACGAACCCCUUUGGAAAUGGAUACUACCAAGGUUCCGCAGAGGCUCCCCUGGAGGCUGCAUCGGCUUGCCCUGGGAUUUAUGGGAAGGGCGCGUACCCUGGCUAUGCCGGAAAGCUGUUGGAGGAUCCCACCACAGGUGCUAGCUAUAAUGCCAAUGGUGUGAAUGGGAGGAAGUACCUGCUUCCUGCAUUGCUUGAUCCUUCAACUUCCACCUGUUCUACUCUGGUCUGAUAGACUGAUACUACUAUGCUUCUCUAAAUUCAUUUAGUUGUAUAGCACGGAGAGGAUAAGCGAUUCUUUGUUUGUAUUUGAUUAAUUACCAUUAUGUAUUCUUUUUCCCGUCUGAAUAAAUGAAAUUCCAAUGUUUUCUUUCAUAUCCAAACCAGCUCAGCCUUCCUCUGAUAUUUUUUCUUCACAUCCCAAUCCCAAUCCCAACAAAAGCCGCACUGCGCCCUCCUCUGCUAUUCAAACUCGUCUGUGGUCAAAAUCAUUAAUGAGAUCCACCAUUGGAGAAAGCUUUAUAAUAAGGAAAGUUUUAAGCAAAACCUUUAGGACAUGGAAUGAUCUGCUGCUUUUCUCGUCCUAUAUUUUUAAUUUUUAAUUUAAGACUUGAUUUUCCAACCUCCUCUACAUGCCAUCAUUAUUUAUUCUGAAGUUGCAAUUGAAAGAAACGUUUAUAGCACGUUUUGCAGGAAUAUUAUUAAUAAUUUAACUAUGUAACAUUCUCAAAAGGCAGUCUAAGAAGAUGUAUACUUCCAACCUUGGAUUUUGUCACAAUUAUUCAUGGCCCGGCCUCCACAUGAAAUUCUAAUAGAUGUUCAAUAAUUCAAACGGAAAUGUGCAAUAGAAUAUGUCAACCCUUCAAUGUGAGGAUGGUUUGGCUAAAAUUUUAGCUUAAAUUAAGAUUUUAGAGAAUAUAACAUCAUAAUUUUUUUUCAUGUUUGUCGUAAGGAAGAUAUAAAAAGGGCCUUAUCACGUUUGUGAUAUAAAUUUUCUAAUUUAAUUUGAUAAUUUCUUUUUUCUCAUGAAAAAAAAUUUCCUCAGAAUGAAUGCAAGUUGGUUUUUGAGAUAACAAUACGUUGGCUAGAUGUGUAAUAUAUGAAAAAUUAGAAAAUAAAAUAUUUAACAAAUUUUCUCCUGUUAAUUCAACAUUUCUCAAUAUUUUUAUAAAAUUAAAAUUAUUAUUUUUAAAAUAUUAUUUAUAAAUCAAUUUAAAAUAUUUAAUAUUAUUAUUCUAUAACAAAAUAACCUAUUAAUUUUUCUUUUUAACUUUUUAAUACCUAAUAAAAAUAAAAUAUUAAAUCAACAAACUACUUAAUACUAUUUAAUUAUAAAGUCUAUUUAAAAUUAAAUUCGAAAAAAAAAAAGAAAAUACCAUCUUAAUCAUUUCGAAUCAAUUCUCCAAAUUAGAUUUUGAGGGCUUAAUUUUUUAACAUAGCAUCAUUUGAAAUUUUGAAUCGAUACAACUUUUAUAAUAAAUAAGUUUUUGGCUAAAAAGAGUAUAUAUAAAAAUAAUUUAAUUUCACACCGUCUAUGUAUCUUUGUAAAAAGUUACUUUAUAAAAGUAUUUGAUUCUUAACUUAAUUUUUAGAAAAAGCUCCUUAAUCACGAAUCUCUCAUUUUUUAUAUAUUUAAUAAAUUUGUUUUAUAAAAUUUCUUGAAUUGUUUGAAACAUAUGCUAUAUGAUUUCAAUGAUAUUUAAAGUAAAACCUUGAUCAACUAACUUUCUAGAAGACAUAAAUUUUUUAGAAAUCUAGAACUUUAGGUGUAGCAAUAACAAAGAUAUUUAAGUGGCAUACAAGUCAGAUUGUUUUUGAGGAGUUUCAAACUUCAAAUCAUAACCGGUCCAAAUGUUAUACAUUUGAGCAGGAAACAGAAAGACUGUCACUAAUUUGGGGUGUUAGUUUAGCCAAAUUAAGCUAGGGCCAUAAGAUGUUUGGGACCACCUCGAUUUUAAGUCAUUUUGCCAACAACUAUGGAGGCAUUAACAACUAACUAGGCAGGCCGGACCCUUAUCCAUUUCUAUAAAAGACAUCAUCUGUAUGGCUACCGACCUAAAUUUAUUGCAUGCCAAAUGAACAAAUUUCAUACCCAAUAAUCACAUGUAACUUCUAAUUAGCUGGGUGUAAUUGUUUUGUCAUUAAAAUUGCUGUCCCGGUCCCAUCACAUGGUGCGAAUACAUCGUGAUUUGUUAACUUAAUUGGAAAUAUUACAAUCCAAACAACUAAGAUUGUGGGUAUUAAUGGAAAAUCCAAUAUUGCAAUGUUGAUGGUUGCAACUUGCAGCUUGGAUCUUAUACUUAUAGUCUCACACUUGUUUCACACGUAGUCGAUAUGAUCAUGAAUAACGGGGUCCAUCCCCUAGGGCCCCGUGAUAACAACAGAGCACCUAAAAAUUAAAAUGGUGUGCAUGUAGCCGCCGCCAGGAAAACCAUGCCAGUGUUCGGAAUAAUUUUGGCUUUUGUGUCUUUCAAGCUAGCCGCUUCUCCAGAGAGAUGGAAGCACGGUAUCGAUCGAAUCAAGUGGAUCAGGGCCCGGAGUUUUAAAUGGCGCACACCGAUGUUUUGAGCCAUCUAAAACCAUGAGCAUUAUUGAUUCCUUGAGUUAUUUAGAAAAUGGGGAUGUGCUUUCAGCAUAUACAAACUCACCUGUGACUAUCUUACUCUUAAAGCAAAUAAUCACGGACGAGUGCUAACCCUAGGAUCGUUAUCUUCACAUGCAAGGAUUACCUACUUGUUAUUCCCCCUGUCCCUUGACUUUGGGUUUUAUAUUUUUGGACGAUCAGAAAGAAGGAGACACCUACCCUUGAUAACCACGUCAUCAGACACAACCUGGCGAAAACUGCCACGCGUUUGACACUAAAAGUGGUCAAUUAAUCAACGCGGCACGAUUUCAAUGUUUCUUCCAUCACCCCCUUUUGGCCAGCGCCACACGCGCACGCCAUGACGACACUACCUUUCUAUGACUAUAAGUAUCGCAACAAUCGAACUCUUCCUUCACACUCAUUCCUCACCAAUCCAGCUUUUCACACUCUCUGCAUCACCUUCACCCCACUACUUUACCUUCUCAAUGACUUCUACUUACCAUUUCUCCAUCUUUGUUUCACUUCUCCUACUCUCCUUCCUUCUCAACCCCACCUCCGCCACACCUCGAAAACUCUUCUCUCUUGUUCAAGAGCAACCUCUCAUUCUCAAGUACCACAACGGGCCACUCCUUAAGGGCAACAUCACCCUCAAUCUCGUUUGGUACGGAAACUUCUCCCCCAUCCAACGCUCCAUACUCGUCGACUUCCUCCAGUCUCUCAAUUCCCACACCACCACGCCCCACUCCGUCUCAUCGUGGUGGCAGACCAUCCAGAAGUACAAAGGAGUCUCCUGCACCCUCGCCGUUGGGAAUCAGAUCCUCGAUGAAGACUACUCUCUAGGGAAGUCAUUGCGAAGUUCAGACAUCAUUUCCUUGGCUUCUAGAUCAAACCAAAGGAGCGAAAUAACCGUGGUGUUCACGUCGGCAGACGUGGCGGUAGAAGGGUUCUGCAUGAGCCGGUGCGGGACUCACGGGUCAACUCAGAGUAAGUGGGCCUACGCGUGGGUGGGUAACUCGGAGACUCAGUGUCCGGGUCAGUGCGCAUGGCCAUUUCACCAGCCCAUGUAUGGACCACAGACUCCGCCGCUGGUGUCUCCAAACGGGGACGUGGGAAUUGACGGAAUGCUGAUCAAUUUAGCGACUGUUUUGGCGGGAACGGUGACUAAUCCGUUUGAUAACGGCUACUUUCAAGGGUCGGCUAGCGCGCCGUUAGAGGCGGUGACGGCUUGUACAGGUAUAUUCGGGACAGGAGCUUAUCCAGGAUAUCCCGGCGAAGUUCUGGCGGAUGGAACGACUGGGGCUAGCUAUAAUGCUGUUGGGGUGGAUGGGCGUAAAUACUUAUUGCCGGCGAUGUGGGACCCUCAAACCUCCACCUGCAAGACAUUAGUCUGAAGCCUGAACCUAAUGGAUGAUUUGUGUUCUGUGUGGUACCAGCAAUUGUUUGUUUGGAGGAGCUUUGUACUCCCAGCUUUGAAGUUUGUUCUUUUUUUUCAUCAACCUUAUCAUAUGUAAAUGUUUAUGUAUCAUUAAUUAAAUUUGUUUCAUUAGUCAACCAAUCCUCUGUCUCCUUUGCCUUCUAAAAAGUUUCAAAUUUUUUCUAACAAUUUUGGGUCAUUAGGUUUAGGUGGAAGUUUCAAGUUGACUAACCAGUUAGCUUCUGGAUUUAACUUAACCCCAUAUUAAGCUGAGGAACCAAUCUGGUUUUAGCACAUGUGCAUUGAUUGGUAUUCUUUAUAAUGGAAUGUAACUGCUUUCUUUUUUACCCCAUGAGAAGAUUUCACCAUAUUGUCCUCCAUUCUUGCACACAACCGUAUCAUCUGACUGAAUUUUCUAUGAAAUAAUAAUUAUUUUGGUUUUUUUUUUUCAUUUUUCUUUUUUCUAACACAUAUAAAGUAAAAAAAGAAAAAAUUAUUAUUAAAAUAAAUUACAAAAUUUAUUUAUAAAUUAUAUUUAUUUUCAAUAGAAUUAAAUUAAAAAAAUUAAAGAGAUAGGACGAAACCGGAAAUUCUCAUAUUUGUUUCAUUCGAAUCUUUUUAGGGAUAGAGUAACAAUUCUGUUGUCGCCUCGCGUAUCCGGUGGUCCACGUUGCUGCUAUAUGGAUGGACACGUGAUUCUCAACACACAAGGGGUUCUUGAUUUAGUGGUUGCACCUGCAAAAGGCAUCCGGACAGGGUGUCCGGACGCACCCUCCGAUGGUAUUGUUAGCCAUGGUUAUUUUAAUUGACCAUCCAGACGAUUUAUAUCCGGAUGGCUCAUGCUGAUCAUCCAGAUGUGUUGUGGAGACCAUCCGGAUGUCUACGCUCUGCCUGCGUCGUUUGCUCUUCCUUGGAUAGGGCUUGGCUUUCCUUGAGGUGGUCCGGAUAGGAUAACUGCACCAUGCAUACCUUUAGGGGAAUCCGGAUGAUGAUGGUCCGGAUGAUAAUAUGUGCCACGCGUCACCAUGAACUACGUGCCACGUGUUUCUCAAGGGGAGGGGUCCCUACAUUGCCCCCCUUUUUAACUUGCCUAUUUUGCCCGAAAAAAUGGGCGGGUUAAAAAUAACUGGCUUUUGAAAUUUGAAGAGGUCCCUUCGUUUGACUAGGCCACGUGGCGAGUGGCGGUGCGGAAGCCAAAAAAGGCAUUUAUGACGAGCCGCCGACCCUGUGUAUCCCCAGACAAUAUGUCGUUUCAAUGAUAUCAUGGCUGUUGGUUUGCCUUUCCGAGGGGCUGUCCUGCUAUAAAUAGGGCACUGUACCUCUUUUUGCAAUUUUUCCUACUGCAUUCUCUUGAGAGCCUUUCUUCUUACUGCUUUUUCUGCGCCCUUUGCUUCUCUGAGACAAACUUCGAAAGCUCUUUUGCACCGGUGUUUUUGUAUCGCGACUUUGUCUGUUUGCUGCUGGUGAUUUUGUAUCGAGGUAGUAACCGUUCUUCUUCUUCGGAGCUUUAUUUGGUACGUACGUCUUUGCUACUGUCACUCCUUUGGUUGCGUUUGCUGGUUCUUUAAUCUUGGUUUUUGGCUUGCUUGGGCAUUGUUUUGGACAGGUCGCUUGCAAUUGUUGUUGAAUGUUGGUAUUUUGCUGAUGUUCGGGGGUGUUUUGAGGGGUUUUUCUGACUGCUUUGGGUUAGGGUUUGUGUAUUUUCUAACUGCUUGGUUUGAACCGUUGCAUUGCUUUUGUAUGUAGGUUGUGGUUUAGCUUUGUGGUACGAAAUGGCUCCAAAAAAGACUGUUUCAUCUGUCCGGGUUAGCGAAGCUAGCGAAAAGGCGAUAGACAAAUUAAAUGCGAAGGAGUUCCGGGAGCGAUUCCGCAUCCCCCAUGACGUAUUGAUAGACUUGGUGAACGAGGAGGCGGCUAUGCCUACUGAGAAAGGUGGAAAAAACGUUAUCCUCUUCACAAAGGAACAAUUCAACGCGGGGCUCCGGUUCCCUCUGCCGGCGUUGUUCAAGGAAUUCCUCCACUUCUCUCAGAUUCCCCCCAUCUUUAUUCAUCCCAACCUUGUCCGGGUGCUGAUGGGAUGCAGCAUCAUCAACAUGCUGUACAGCCUCGACCUGACGCUACUGGAAGUGUUCUUUGUCUAUUCCCUGAAGAAAGCAAAGACUGAUAUCUUCAGUGUGUCCGCGCACCUGCCCUCCCUUCAAAUGGUAACAGAGCUGUCAGAUUCAACAAAGGGAGGGGCGAGGGGGCUGGUGGCAGUCCGGGGUGGAUGGGCGGGGCUAUCGCAGCAUCCGUCGAGGCCUUUUUCUCCAAAUUAUACCUUAAAAAUUCCGGGUAAUCUUGUUUUGCGAUUUUUUUGUCCGGAUUUUGCUUUGCUGACUUUUUGAUUUUUCCGGACGGAAUUCUCACCUUUUGUUGCUGUUAAUGCAGGUCUGGAAUUGAGGGGCCACCUUGUGGAUUGGGUGGAAAAGGCGUCCUUUGCCUGCGUCUGCAAAUUAUUCGAAAUAGAUCCCAAGGAGAGGGCCUACAAAACAUUGCUCUCCGCGCAGAAUUUGAUAGAGGUCGUCCGGGAGCCCCAGGAAUAUGUUAUCAAUAUUCUUCCUAGGAAACUGGCAAAGGAUGAGAUAGUGCAUGGGGAGCAUUAUACAGUGAAGGAGCUCCCCCUCUAUCAGGAAGCUAAAGAGGCUGACGCUGAAAGGCGGCGAAAGCUCCUGGAGGAUAGAGAUCAGAAAAAAUCUGAAGGCACUAUCCGGAAGGCUCCCGGACAGAAGGGGGGGCCGGACCCUCCUUCAAAGAAAAUUCCAGGCAAGAGGGGGAAGCUUGUGAAGAAGCAUGGGAAGGAUGUGAAGGAACCCACUCCUCCCAAGGAGUUUCCUUCUCCACAAACUACCUAUGAGGGGGAAGUAAUGAUAGAGGAGCCAGUAAAUGCUGCUCCGCACUCUAUCUCAAGCGGCCCCGGACGCAUGUCGGGGUUAAAUCAUUCGGGUCCUUCCUUAGUCGCGGCUGCGCGUCUGGCUAACGUGGCUGAGGAAGCUGCAUCUAUCAACCAUCCGGGCAACCUUAAUCCGGAUGCUGAUGCAGCUGAAACGACCCCGUUGGAGGAAGCGGGGGCAGAAAGCCAAAGUCAGCCUUCCGACGACCCGGAUCGCCUGGCCAUAGUCCUGGUGAAAGGGCCUCCUCUCAAGAAGCCGCGUUUGACGCGCGAUCUACAGUCCGGACUGUUUGAGCGGCUUCAAGAGCGGCAGCAAGAGAUUGAAAUUAGCUGCGCUUCUGCCCAUGACGCUCAUCCGGAUGGAGGCGAGGUGGAGAUGGCUACUGAGACCUCAGCCGCCCCGGCAAUAAUUCCGGAUGAGGAUGCAUCCGGACCUAUGCGUCCGAACGAAGAUAUGGGGGUUCCGAUUCCGGGACAAGAGUUACCUUCUGCUUCCUCCUCUGAGGAGGAAUCUGCUGACGAUGCCGCUCCUACUAGCCCUUUCAGCUACGCGGAGUUGGAAGUUAAGUUAAAGCAGAUUACUCCUGACUGGAAAGCCAUCAAGCCCUCUGCUAAGAUGUUUGAUAUGAUAGAAACGGUACACCGUUGUCUUGUGUUUUUGCUUUUUGACUUUUUGUUGCACUGGUGUGUUUGUUGUAGUAUAAUUUAUGUUUCUGCUUUUCUUGUUUGCGUGUCAGCUGGUGAGGGGCCUCCGCAGCAUGUCUCAACAACACGAUCUUUUUACUCAGUUGCUGCAGACUGCAGACUAUAUGAGGACCUUCUCCUCUCGGCGCCAAGAGAUUGAAAAUCAGCUGCGUCUGAGAAUGGAGGAGGCUGAGGCCAAUUUAUCCACCAUGCGAGAGGAAAAUGAAGCCCUCCGAGCGGAGCUGGCUGAGGCGAAGAGUCGCGAAGAAUCAACUGCGGGUCGCCUAUAUGAGGUGGAGGGUGAGGCAGCCCGGCUGAGGGAUGAAGUGAGUCAACUCCGGACCGAGGUAUCGAAUGAAAAGAAACAGAAGGAAGACUUGCAGCUGCGCCUGGAUGUGCAAAAAGAGGAACUUGAACGGGAGUUUGCUGUGGAAAGGGAGGAACUUGCAGCGGACUACCAGCAGCAAGUGGAUGAUACGUUUAUCUUUGGGUAUCGCUGCUGCAUGAAGAAGAACGGCAUUAAGCGAGAUACCCCUUCAAUUCCUCCGGGUGAAGAAAAGAAGCUAUAUGAGAAGCCCGCUCCCUGAUAGUUAUCUCUUUUUGCAAUUUUUCUGCUGUAAUUUUUCCUUCUGUCUUUUUGUGGUCCGGAGAUCUCUUUGUAAUUACAUUUAUUUAUAUCAAUAAAAAUAUAUUUCUUUCUCAUUUGCACUUGUGUAUACUUUUUACUGAUAGUACUGCUUUAAAUUGGACACAUUCCAUGGUCUGAGUAACGGAGUGCCAUCUAGCUUUUGUAAAUGAUAGGCUCCAUUUUCGUUUGCCUUAGACACUAUGUAGGGUCCUUCCCAAUUGGCUUGGAACUUUCCCGCGCCUACUUCAGCAGUAUUUUCAAAAACUUUUCUAAGUACUAGCGUACCAUUUUUGAAGUUUCGGGGCUUGACUUUUCGAUUGUAAUGCGCUGAUGCCCUUUGUUGAUAAUCUGCCAUCCGGAUGGACGCGCUUUCUCUGACUUCGUCAGCCCAGUCCAAAUUUCUUCCUAGUUCCGUGUUGGCGUCUUUUUGCUUUGCUGCAUCAGUCCGGAUAGUAGGAAGACCUAUUUCAGUGGGAAUGACUGCAUCCAUUCCAUAUGUGAGGGCAAAAGGAGUAUUUCCUGUUGGUCGUCCGGAUGUGGUUCGAUAGGCCCACAGGACGCCGGGUAGUUCCUCCACCCACUUCCCUUUGGCUUGCUCCAGCCUUUUCUUUAAGGCAUUGAUUAGAGUUUUGUUUGUGGCUUCCGCCUGGCCAUUGCUUUGAGGAUAACGUGGCGUGGAGUAUGAAUUCCGGAUAUUCAAUUCCGAACAGAAAUUCCUGAAUGCAAUGCUGUCAAAUUGUGGACCAUUGUCAGCUAUGAUGAUUUGGGGAAUUCCAAAGCGGCAAACAAUGUUCUUCCAUACGAAUUUGGUGACAUCUUUAUCUUUGAUGCUUGCAUAUGCUUCAACUUCUACCCAUUUACUGAAGUAAUCAGUGGCGACAAGGAGGAAUUUCUUCUGGGCAGGUGCUGCUGGGAGGGGUCCCACAAUGUCCAUGCCCCAUUGCGCGAAAGGCCAUGGGCCUGAGACCGAUUUUAAUGCGGCUGAUGGCAUGCGUGGAAUGGGAGCGUAUCUUUGACAUUUAUCGCACUUUUGGACAUAUGCUGCCGCGUUUUUCUUCAUUGUUGGCUAAUAGUACCCUUGUGAAUGAGCUCUAUGUGCUAGGGAUCGUCCUCCCGUAUGAUUUCCGCAUAUUCCUUCAUGUAAUUCAGCUAGUACAUACUGGGCCUCUGAAUGCCCAAGACAGCGAAGAUAAGGUCCUGUGAAGGAUCGCUUGUACAGGUGCCCCCCGAUCAGGGUGAAACGGGCAGCUUGCACCCGGAUUUUGUGCGCUUGUUUAGGAUCUUCAGGUAAAGUGCCUGUCCGGAGAUAUUCUACAAUAUCAUGCGUCCAUUCUUGAUGAUCCGUUUGGUUUGCCUCAAUGGUGUUGCAAGUAGAAUCUUCUGUGACAGAGGGAUUGGCUUGCACAUGUAUGGGCAGUAGAAUGGCUUCUUUGAUAGGGAGGGAGGCAGCUAUGCCGGCCAAAGCGUCAGCGCGCCUAUUGUCAGCUCGCCUAAUUUUUUCGAUUGUCCACUCGGUGAAUUGCUGUAAGGUGCUUCUUACUUUGGCCAAGUAUCGCGCCAUGCGUGAGUCCUUAGCCUCAUAUUCUUUCUGGACAUGCCUUACCACUAGCUGCGAGUCGCUGUAGAUCCGAAGUUUGGAGACGGAUAGCGCAAGGGCGAGGUCCAAUCCGGACAGGAUGGCCUCGUAUUCUGCUUCAUUGUUAGACGCGGAGAAUCCCAGCCGGAUGGCUUGCUCCAGGUGUUCCCCAGUUGGGGACUGUAGUAAGAGCCCAACUCCAGAGCCCGAUGAGCGUGAGGCUCCGUCAACUCGUAGUGUCCACCACUCCUGUUCACUUGACUCGUGGUGCUGAUUGGGUCUUCGUGAAUAUUCGAGCACGAAGUCGGCCAUUACUUGGCCUUUUUUGGAUAAUCUGGGUUGGAAUUCGAUUCCAAAUUCGCUCAAUUCGAUGGCCCAUUGUAGCAUUCGCCCCGUUAAAUCUGGUUUGUGCAGAAUGCUACGAAGGGGUUGGUCGGUUAGUACAAUCACUGGGUGGGCUUGAAAAUAGGGGCAGAGCUUUUGGGCAGCACUUCGAAGAGCUAAGGCUGUUAGCUCCAUUUUUGAAUACCUGGUUUCUACAUCUGCCAAUGCCCUGCUGACAUAGUAGACAGGUCUCUGCUCCUUUGGUGAAGGGCAGCGGAAUAGGACGGCGCUGAUUGCCCAUUCUGAGACAGCCAGAUACAUGUAUAGCUUUUCCUUUGGGAUGAGGCUGCUUAAGAUGGGUGGAUGCACAAGAUAAUGUUUAAUUUUUUCCAACGCGUUUUGGCAAUUGUCCGUCCACCCAUGCGUUCCAGCUUUUCGUAUUGCCAAGAAGAAGGGUCGCAACUCAUCAGUGAAGCGGGCUAUGAAACGCCCUAACUCAACGAGCUUGCCUGUGAGGCGUUGUAACUCCUUUUUGUUCCUGGGAGGGGGUGUCUCCAUGACUGCUUUGACUUGAUCCGGGCUGACUUCUAUGCCUCUUUGGCUGACCAUAAAUCCCAGAAAUUUGCCAGCACUCACGCCAAAGGCACAUUUGGAAGGAUUUAACUUCAUGCCAUACGUCCGUAAGAGGUGAAAAACUUCUUGCAAAUGAAGGAUAUGCUGUUCUCGAGUUUUGCUUUUAACCACGAUAUCGUCAAUAUAUACCUCUACUGAGUGGCCUAUCAGAGGUUUGAAGAUUUUAGUCAUCAAUCUUUGAUAAGUGGCGCCAGCAUUUUUGAGUCCAAAUGGCAUGACUUUGUAGCAAUAGAGGUCGUGUGGUGUUAUGAAUGCUGUCUUUUCUUCGUCAUCGGGAGUCAUGGGAAUCUGGUGAUAUCCGGAGAAGGCAUCCAAGAAAGAGAGCAUCCCUUGCCCUGAAGUGGAAUCCACAAUUUGAUCUAUUCGUGGUAAUGGAAAACUGUCUUUUGGACAUGCGUUAUUGAGAUUGGUGUAAUCAACACAGACUCGCCAUUUGCCCUCUUUUUUUGGUACCACUACUACAUUUGCCAACCAAUCCGGAUAAGAUACCUCUCUGAUGAAUCCGGCUUCCAACAAUUUGUUAAUUUCAUCUUGGAUAACUCUUUGUCUAUCCGGAUGAAAGCGUCUAAUCUUCUGUCGAAUGGGUCUGGCUGCUGGAAAGACGUUAAGCUUGUGAGAGGCAAUAGAGGGAUGAAUUCCUUUCAUAUCCGAAUGUGUCCAUGCGAAGAUGUCAUGGUUGCUUCGAAGGAUAUUUUGUAUGCUCUGAGUUUCUUCUUGCGUCAUGAGGGAACUGAUAUUCGUGAGGUGAUCAUUCUCUUCUGAGAUUUGGAUUGUUUGUAAGGGAUCCGCUGCCGGGGGAUCUUUGUCCGCCGGACCCAAUAAUUGCUAUUGGUCGUGUGCAAUGCUAGGCUCAGGGGGAGAUGCAUCCUCCUGGUUAGCGACUGCCUCACGUGCUAUUUGAUAGCACUGACGAGCGGCUAACUGGCUGCCAUACAAGUCAGUUUGCCCUUCGUCGGUGAGGAAACUCACCAUUUGAUGAUAUGUGGACGGGAUGGCUUUCAUGUAGUGAAGCCAUGUGCGUCCCAAGAUGACAUUGAAGGGUGAUAACUCUUGUACCACUGAGAAUUGCACGUUGAGAGUGACUGUGCCAACUUUGACCGGCAGUAUAAUGUCUCCUAAGGACGUGGUUGAUGAUCCGUUGAAUCCGAAUAAGAUUCGUCCGGGGUUUUCGAGACCCGCGAGACUAUGUCCCAUAUGGCCAAUGACUGAUGCUUGUACCAGAUCGGCUGAACUGCCUGGGUCAACCAAGAUACGCCUUACAUCGAAAUCUCCUAUUUCUAGGGAGAGGAUGAGGGCGUCGCGAUGUGGCUGUAGCGUCCGGGUGGGAUCUACUGGUGGGAAAAUGAUUGUCCCAUCUAUGGGGCGAGGGCCCUCUCCAGUAAGACCCGGCCGGAUGGAAUUAAUGCGUUCGUGUAUUGACGCGGCCCGCAGCAAUUUCUGCCUUUUACGCCUGGAAUCGUAUUCUUCGUCAGACGGGCCCCCAUUGAUAUAGUUUAUGACAGCCUUGGGGGCGACUGGGGCCCUCGGGGCCCCAGAGUUAUGACGCUGAGAUACGUCCCUUCCUCCAGUAUCUGAGCGGAGGUACUGUUUUAAAUGUCCUGCUUUGAUGAGCCUUUCAACUAGAUACUGGAGGGAUCGACAUGUCUCUGUUGUAUGACCAUGGUCUUUGUGGAAGGCGCAUUUCUUGCUGCGGUCUCUUAUGGAUGGGUCCGUUUCGAGGGGUCUAGGCCACCUGAAGUCGGACAACCCUUGGAUCAUUGGGAGAAGUUUUUCGUAUGAUAUGGAUAGGGGUGUGACGGGCGGCCUAUCCGGACGACUCGGCCCGUCCUGUCUCCGGUCAACUGGUUUUGGACGGUCCGGAGGUUUGGCAUGUCUGUCCGCGUUAUCUCUAGAAGCCCGUCCGGCAACCAAAACUUGCUGAGUGGCUGCACGCACGUCAUCUUCGAGCAUUGAAUAUUUGUUAGCACGUCUGAACAAAUCGUCCAUCGUUGUAGGAGGCUUUUUUGCCAGUGAUUCAAAAAAUGGAGUGCCUGGACAAAUGCUUCUCUUGAAGAUUUGUAGGACAGCAUCCAUGCUGCAAACCUCUAUUUGGAGUACGGCUUGGCCAAAUCGUUUCACAAAUUCCCUUAAAGAUUCGUUGUCUUUCAUUUUUAUAUUCUGGAGGGUGCUGAUAUUCUGCUUGUGUCGAGCAGAGCACAGAUACUGUCCCACGAAUGCUUCAGAGAGAUCCCUGAAAUUGUCAAUAGAGUUAGGAGGUAGGCGAUGAAACCAUGAGAGGGCCUGCCCUUGAAGGCUGGCGGGGAAUACUUUGCAUAGCAAUGCAUCGUUGCCAAUAUCGAGCGUCAUGAGCUGUCGAUAGUGCAUGAUGUGAUCGAAGGGAUCAUUGGUCCCAUCGUAUGUGGAAAACUUUGGUACGAGGAAUCCCCUUGGGGGCUCGUAAUGGGUGAUAUGAGAGCAAAAGGGCGUGGAGAGCAUGUCAUCCAGCCUUUUGCUGAUGGAGCCAAUAGGUGGUUCGUUUGGGAGGUUUCUCCCAGCUGGUCGUUCCGCUAGGUGUGAGUGAACGUUCCGCAUCGCCGGGAUGACCAAGGGGUCACGAUGCGGAGGUACGUUCUGCACCAUGGGAGCGACCAUAGGAUCGGGGCGUGGUGCCCGGGUUGUGGCUACUAGUGGCUUUGAUCUCCCAAGCUCUUGUGGGCCUAGUCUUGCGCGCAUAGAACUUGACAACUGUGAUUUUCUAUCGCGUUGUCUUUUUGCUGAAAAAUGAGUGGAAUCUGAGCUUUCCUCACGGGGAGCUCGAGGCAUGGGUGUGCGUGGCUCAUGGGGCCUUGCGUUGUAUGCUCCUGGGACAGCUCCUGUUGACCCAGGAUAUAUUGAUUCUGGUUCUGGCCUAGAGUUUGCCACCUGGCCCCUUGAACGCUGACGACGAGGAGGGCCUGACGUUGAGGCUUGAAUGCGUAACACCGCGUUUUCUUCCCUUAACCUCUCCGUCUCCUGGAGGAGAGCUCUUAGUUGUUUUUCGCUCGCCAACUGUCUUUUUUCGAUGGCCUGACGCCAUUCGUGAUUAUCUUCCUCCUUUCUUCCAGAUGAUCGACUUUGGGAAGGUGUGGCCAUCUUUGCUAGUGACUGAAUCAGAAUGAAAAGUAAAAGUCUUCCCACAGACGGCGCCAAUGUUGUCGCCUCGCGUAUCCGGUGGUCCACGUUGCUGCUAUAUGGAUGGACACGUGAUUCUCAACACACAAGGGGUUCUUGAUUCAGUGGUUGCACCUGCAAAAGGCAUCCGGACAGGGUGUCCGGACGCACCCUCCGAUGGUAUUGUUAGCCAUGGUGAGAGAGAUAUAUAUAAAUCAGUUGGCCUUUUACUAGGUAUCAAGAGGUUACAAGGGGAUCCCCCUCUUCUUCGUGCGAAGGUAUAUAUAUAUAGCUUCAGGGGUACUGUUCCUCUCAUUAAUGGUGAGGAGAUAUUUUAUGUUGUGAUGAUGACAAUAGGUGUUAGUAGGAGCAUUAUCGCCCUACGAACGACCGUCAGAAAUCAUGGUAGGUGAUGCGGCUGUCAGAGAUCGUGGGCAGUGAUUAUGUAGAAUGAUCGUGGGAAGUGACUUGCUGUCACUUCCCCUUGUCUUCUCACUCUGCAGGUGAUGGGAUGUGGGUCAUGGCUGCUUGUUGUGAUUGCGUGUAAGACUCGCUUUAUUUUAAUUGACCAUCCAGACGAUUUAUAUCCGGAUGGCUCAUGCUAAUCAUCCGGAUGUGUUGUGGAGACCAUCCGGAUGUCUACGCUCUGCCUGCGUCGUUUGCUCUUCCUUGGAUAGGGCUUGGCUUUCCUUGAGGUGGUCCGGAUAGGAUAACUGCACCAUGCAUACCUUUAGGGGAAUCCGGAUGAUGAUGGUCCGGAUGAUAAUAUGUGCCACGCGUCACCAUGAACUGCGUGCCACGUGUUUCUCAAGGGGAGGGGUCCCUACAAAUUCGAAUCCACCUCGCUAUCAUUCCUGGAUGUUUGAGCAAUGGGUCUGGUCGAGCAGCCCGACCUGUGGACACUGGGAUCCUGGAGCACAGCGCUGUCCUUCUAGUUAAUAAGUUGGAAUCAUGGUUCGACUUGGUUUCUGUUCACGUCGUAGCCAUUUGCGAUUUGCUCAGUAACAAUGGUGACUUAAUCAUGGGCCGUGGGCUGCUUUCAAGACUUGGGCUUUUCAAUUGGAUUCGGCCCAAUUGGGUUUGGACUCAGGUGAUGAAUGAGCCGGCCCAAUCCGGAGAAUGUUGAAUUUAAAGUUUGGACCAUAUUAUCUGUUGGAAGUUCUGAUUUCUUAAAAUUUUUAUGUUUUUGAAGGUUUAAGGAGUGAGGACUUGAGUGUGAAUUCAUCGCAGAGCAUAGUUUGGUGGAAUGGCUGUGUACAUUCGCCUGAUUCUUUGUAAUAUUAUGUAAAAGAAAAAAAAAAAAUUUGAGAUUAAAGAAAAACACAUGACCAAGCUGAGUCGCAGAAAAGAAAAAAGAAUCAAGGCUUUUUAAGGCAGAAGACGGUGAUCUCCUCAGUUUCCAGUUUCCAGUUUCCGCCAUCCACAGCCAAAUCUCAUGGAUCCCCAUCAACACCAACCCAUUGGACAAGCAGACGAAACCUCGCCCCCUCCCUCCAACACCGCUGCCACUUCAUGCCGCUGCUGCGGCGGCCCCACCACAUGCCCACCUCCACCGGCAUGGUCCGACAUCUCUCCGCCACCCUCCUACCGCCCCAUCCGCGCCCCCGCCAUCAACCUUCCUCCUUCCAACUCUCAACAAGCUAUCAUCCUAGCCCCCGUUCCUCAAGCCCAGAAGACCCCCGUUGUCUCUCCGCCCUAUCUUUUCCAAAUCCCCGUCAAGCGAAUCCAGACCCCAGACGACAUUCGCCAUUUCCAUGACUCCGAUUCCGGCAAGAACUUCUUAGGUUUCGUCGUUUCCCUUAGCGAAUCCAUUCGCUCCCACAAAAUUUCCGACCCUUGCCACCAAUCACCAAUCCUCAAUUCUAUUCUCUCCAUCCUUCAAUCUCUAAUCGACUGGGUCGACGAAAUACCUCCCGUUCAACAAUCUUCCCGUUACGGUAAUCUCUCUUUUAGGGUUUGGCAAAGUCGGUUGUUCGAUAAUAGCGAGCAACUGAUGCUCCAAUUCCUCCCCGAUGAUCUGCGGUCAGCUACCGUCGAACUCGUCCCUUACUUUGCCGAUAGUUUUGGGAAUUCGAGUCGAAUCGAUUAUGGAACCGGUCAUGAGACCAAUUUUGCUGCGUGGCUUUAUUGUUUGGCUAGAUUAGGGUUGCUCAAGGAAGAGGAUUACCAGGCUCUUGUUUCUAGGGUUUUUGUGAAGUACCUUGAAUUGAUGAGGAAAUUGCAAUUCGUCUAUUGCCUUGAACCUGCGGGAUCCCAUGGAGUUUGGGGUCUGGACGACUAUCAUUUUCUGCCAUUUAUAUUUGGGUCGUCGCAGCUGAUCGAUCACAAGUAUAUGAAACCCAAGUCAAUUCAUAAUCAGGAUAUUCUGGACAACUUCUCCAAGGAGUAUAUGUAUAUUUCUUGCAUUGCAUUUGUGAAGCAGGUGAAGAAAGGCCUAUUUGCAGAGCAUUCCCCAUUGUUAGAUGAUAUCAGUGGUGUACCUAAUUGGAACAAAGUGAAUAGUGGGAUGCUCAAAAUGUAUAAAGCUGAGGUGUUGGAGAAGGUUCCAAUUAUGCAGCAUUUCCUAUUUGGGUGGCUCAUCAAAUGGUAUGAUCACUGUUAAUGAGUAAUUAGCCCUGUAUGUGAUUCAUGCAUUUUUAGUUCAUUAUAAGUCAUCCACACUUUGCAUCAUGUUUAAUUGGGAAUCUUAAAAUUAUUACGAGUUUUUAUGGUGUUUUAUGAGCAUAAUGGUUAUAUUUAUAUCGUCUAUAUCAGUAGCCUAUAUGGAUAUUUGGUGCUAAACCUGAUAUUUUUGGUCCCUGUAUAUUCAUCUAUUAUUUCAAUGACAAUGUUGGUUGAGGAACAACUCUAGUGUUGAUACCUUGAUCCAUGGGUUUUGUCAGGCUGAGACUUUCAUUAGCUAUUUGAUCCUCACCACCACUGAUUGCUAUACUGAUUUUUUUUUUACCUAUGAUUUCUGUCAUCAUUUUAUUUAAUGCAUAGAACCCUACUUGUUAGCUAUAUGAUGUAGAAGUGAUGCACUGAGUCAAUGUUCAUGAUGAAAUAGAACCAAAGAGAUUGGCAUUAUGUUGGGUUGGUCCAUUUUUUUGGAUUCAUUAACCAAGUUACUACAUAUGUUCCUUUGAUAUUUAUUAUUUGAGUAAUGGCCAUAAACACACACAUAUGUGUGUGUGUGUGUGCAUGUGUAUAUAUGUAUGUACAAACUACAAUAAAUAUCAGCCUUUUCAUAAAAAUUUUGCUUGAGUUUUCCUUCUCUCUGCACUUUUAACAUGUGUUAAUGUUUCAACAGUCUGCUUUAGUCCUCAUUCUAAGCUUGUUAAUGUGCCUUUACUUCAAACAUCUUUUCCCACCUUCUGAGUCAUUUCUUUUAAGUCAUGUAUCUCAUCUUAUAGAAAUUCAAGUGUAAUCUAAUGUCUUGAGCCAUUUUAAUUAUUUUAGUUUGAUUUGAUUUAAAAAAAAAUUUUAAUGAUCAAAACUUUCAAAUUAUAAUGCAUUUGGCUAGUGAAUAUUACUUAUAAGCCCAAUGUCUCUAGACAAAUAUAUCUGGGUUUUUAAUACAUCUCAUGAGUUCCAUUUGGUAUUCUAACCCUUUUAGCUAAGUGGUUGCAUUUCUACAUGGGAGGUCUGAGAAUCUCUGAAAGCUAAAACUAAAAUAAAGUGAUUUAGUUAGUUAGUGCUUAUAUUCUGACUACUGGUUGUGUAAUAAGGGAUUUUUUUUGUGGCCAUUUCGGAUAAUGGCAUAAUUUCCUAUGUUUCUGAGCUUUUCAAAAUCUCACCUAUCAACAACUUUCAUAUGAAACUCUGAAUGAAGUUUUUUUUUUAUAAUCAUUAAUGGUAUAUUUUGGUAAUUGAAUAGCUGAUACUACUUAUGGGACAGGCAGCACAGUGGAAUCCUGGUCAAACCCCCUCCAAAAACCCCAGAAAGGGAUGUCUUUAGAACUGUAAUAGAAAAGAGAAGACAUUUUGAAGCUAUUAUAACCAUAUUAUUGCAUGUUACUUCAAUCCAUUGGGAGAUUUGAAGAACAGGUGUUCCAAUACUGAAACUGGUGCUUGAUGAGCAUGACGGAAUCAGUUCUAGGAUGGAUAAAACUGCAGGCUCACACACAGAAACACACCUGUGCACACAGUGAACAUGUGCACAUGUGCAAACACACAUUUGGUUGGUCUCCCCCAGUGGGUGUACUUCUGUAUGAUGAGAUCAAUGAGGACAUAUUGUGUCUUUGUUCCGGAUCCUGACCAUCUUAGUCCCAUACAAUUUGGUCCAAGUUGGCUUACAAUUACCCAAAGCCACAUAAGAACCACUUUGUGGCUUGCAUGAUAUUUGUGACAAUGAUUAGUAAAGGCAUCUUCUUUAUGGGGUCUUUGGGUUCAUCUUGGAGUCCUCCAUUUUGACUUGAUGUGUCAUCUAUAGCUACUUCAAGUAGGGAAUUGCCUACAUAGAGAUAUACAUUACUAAUUCGAUUAAAGUCUACAUUGCUCUCAACAUAGUGAAUCUAUUUCAUUCAGGAUAUGGCUUUGUCAGAACUGAUCAUCUUGCAAUUAUGCGUAUUGUUCAAACUUUUAUUUUUGGAUCUUUAGAACCUUGUUCAUGUAACUUUUGAUUUGUCUUCUAAUUUUUUCAUUUCUUGGAUUAUGACUUGCAAAGUGUCUGAUUGUUGUUUAAUUUUUAAGCCAUGCAUCUGGCAUAUUUUUUUCAAUGUCAUGAAUGUUUGAAAAUCCUGGCUUACAUAUGCAUAUAGGUUUUAGCACAUCAAGUGCUACCCUGAUUGGUCAUGGGUAAAUACAGGUAAUUGUGAUUCAUAGAAAAGGAUGAUAUGAUUCUUAAAACAUUGUCCAUUUUCUGUUGUUCAAGAAGAUUGAUAAAUUCUUUGUUAUUUAUAUUUUCCCCAGGGACUAAUUUGGUGUAUCUGCUCUGUUGAAACAUUUUCUGUGGAACAAAGAGAGUUCAUUUCCCACUAUGCUUUACAGAGAUGUAAGAAUGAAAAAUUAUUAAACCGGAAUCAUCUGUACUUCUUGGAUAGUAUAUAGAGUUUGAGUUCUCUGUUUCUUUAUGAUGUAUUUGCUUUCGGCUAACACAGAUCUAUUUCUGCAUUUUUUUUGUUUAUGAUAUUUGACAUCUUAAUGGAAAUCAGGCAGUUUUCUUUUUUUAAUAGCCAAGUAUUGAAACUGCAGAAUUUUUACAUUUGAUAUUGAUGUAAUAUAAAAUCCUAUGGAAAGACAGUAAAUUUUUCAAGUUUCCCCUGAAGCUUUGGUUUGGUUUUAAGACAAAUGUAUUUAUAAGCUUAGAAAGCAAUAAUUAAAAUGUGAUGCAGCUGCACAUUCUCAUCUGUUGAUAUGCAAAUAAUGUGAAAGCAAGUAAUUGCAAGUUUAUGUUGUACACCAUGUUUUGAUUUUGAGACUGAUGUAUUGGGCACAAAACAUUACUUAAUACUAGCUAAACUGCCUGUGGUAAUGAAGGAGAAUUGCCGAACAAGUUUCAAGUGUGACAAGCAGUGUCAUAACCUCAACUUGCAAUCUUGUCUGAUGUUUCUUACCUUAGUUGAUUUUCUUGUUUUAUUGGCCAUCUACCAGUUGGAGUCUAUGGUUUCCAAACUCCUCUUCAUUCAUUUAAUUCUUUGAGACUAAUGGAUUCACCUUCUCUAUUCUUAUUUUCAAUGGCAAAGAUACUCUUCUUUGUUUACUAUUCUACAAAAAAUUAGACAUUGUAUUUCAUCUUGUAUCAGUACCUAAUUUGAAAUGACUGACUUCCUUUACUCUGCAAAUUUUAGAUUAUUAUGCCAAGUGAAUUUCAGGCUCAAAACUUCCACAAGGUUGGUUUUAGGAUUUUGAGUUUGACUUCCAACUAGAUUCUUGCUAGUUUUGGCCUUUGGAAUUCCAUUUGUUAGUAGUUUGUGUCAAUAUAAACUAUAUGACUCCUCUUGGUUACUUAAAACCUCCAAUUCAGUUAGCCAACAUGCAUUAUUAUAGAACCCAGCUUUUGUUGUGGUACCCAGUUUUAGUGCAGAGGAUGGCUUGAACUUGAAUUUUUGUACUGGAAUGGAGGUUUUCUGUGAAUAUAAACAAGUUGUGCUCCAUUGGAUUGCUGUGUUCUCUGAAUGAAUUUGGAUCUCUGCCAGCUCCAAUGAAAUCUUGUCUCCUAGUCAACACUGGUAAUAGACCUUGUAGUUGUUCUGAUGAUUUAUUAUUUUGUUUGCAGAAUGUGAUAAAUGAAGAGACCUAAGGGUUCCUAGUUAGGUUAUAGGAUGAAGCAUUUAGUUUGUAGUUUAACAAUUGAAAAUUCUUGAAGCUUUGGAUCCAUGUCAUAACUCAUGUCAAUUAAAACACCCAUAGAUAUGUCAAGAAGAUAAUGAAAACAAAGGCAAGUAGGAAAUUGUUCACAUACCUGAAAAGCCACCUAUAAUACACAUUCAUUGCCCUGCUGCAUAGUUAGUUUCUCUAUCAAAACCCCACCCAGUCCUAUUUAUGGUGUCUUUUGUUUUUGUUUAAGCAGUUACUAAAAAUGCUGGUUCUUUUCUAUGUUUUUUCGCAUAAUGUUUUUACUUCAUCUGUUAACCCCUAGCUUGCCAACAAGGGUCGUUCUUUAUCACUACAACUACUAGUCCUAGAUGAGUCUGUUGCUGCUGUUGGUUUUUUCAUUUUAAAAGCUGCUGGCAUUUUCGGGUUUCAUUAUAGGGUAUCUUUGCAUAUAGUUAUUGAAUAUAGGAAGCUAUUUUAGGUACAUUAUAGUUUUAAUGCUUCAUAUUGGAUUGGUUUAUGCGUUGGUGUCAUUUCACCUUAACCUCUCUUACUUGGUUGCAAAGAAAACUGGAGGAAAAUAAUAGCAAAUGAAACAUUGAUUUUUAUGCUUUUUAUUUUUACAAUUUUUUAAUGUUCUUUUAGUUUCCAUGUGAUGGAAAAAUUCACCACACAUGAAUUAGAUUGUUAUGUUAGGAUACCAAAUGGAGGUUUAUGGUCUCUUUUGUCCCAAUUAAUGCAGAAUGUAGGAUUUGAAGUUUCAUAUCUUAUCUUUUGUUUUGUUUUCUUUGCAAUCAAAUGGAUCAUGUAGCGUGAUUGCCUUUUUUUUUUUUUUGCAAGAUUUAAAAAUGAAAACAUAUUAGCUAACAGAUUAUGGUAACUGAGCUACUAGAAUCUUUUGUAUUUGUUGCUCACUUGUUUCAAGCUGGAUUCAAUUUUGGGAAAUAACUGAUUGUGUUUACUUCUUACUGAUAAAAUUUAGGCAAAUGAUUGUAUUUAGGUUCUGAUGUUGUAAAUGGAUUGUAAGGUUCAAAUAAGAAAGAUUAUAAGAUCAAAUUGAGCCGUCUCAAAAUUAAAAAAUAGUCAAACAAGUGGAAUUUAAUUGUAUAAAUAUAUUCUUAGCAUGUGCAAGCUAACAAGGGUAAUUCCUUUGAUUCUCAAGGGACUGACUUUGGCCUCAGGACUUCUUAUAAAGACACAAUUGCUAAGUGGUUUCUUAUAACUCCUAAAAUGCUCGAAAAGGUUUUCCCUUUUGGUUCCUAAAAUCAAGAUGUGGGCUGAUUAGUUAAAGGACUAUUUUUUAUUUUUUUUUAUGUAAGUUGCUGAUUAAUUAAAGGACUUUGUUCUUUUGAGUAAUUCAUGGCCCAUAAAAUUGUUGUAUGUGUUGCAUAUGGAUGCUGAAAUUGUUUUUUCAUGCUUUUUUCUCUAAAAAACUAAAAAAAAAAAAUCCCUUUUUGGUGUUCUUUUAAAACCAAGUUUUGGUAUUUGAAUUUUGAAAUUUAUGGUUUAAAAAUUUGGAUAUGUUCUCUCCUUCUUCUAAGAUUGCAUGUUGAUUCUGAUCACCUAUGAUUUAAUAGAGGACACAGGGUCCUAUGUAGUUGGGGUGGUAGGCGGUUUAAAACUAAAUUCAAGGCAAUAGAGAUUUUUGGGCCUUUGUAGCAGUGAAGAAUACAGAGGCUGAAAUCACUUGCAUUCAAAUUUUGAAGCGAUUCUUGUUCUCUAUUAGGAAGUUUUGAGCAUUUAGAAUGCUUUCAACCAUUUUAUUAUUAUCAUUAAUGGUGCGAGGGAAUUAGGAAGUUUUGAGCAGCUAGAAUGCUUUCUACCAUUUUUUUUUGGGAAGUUUUUAAUAAAUAAAUGUAAUUGCCACGAAAUUGAGAUGAGCGCUUUUUACCUUUGUCAUCAUUUGACAGGGAAAAAAAUAAAAAGCCCACUUGUACCUGUCACCUUAUAUUUGGUGGUGUGAAAAUGAAAAUCAGUUGGAUGGCAUACCAAAUGGUGUGCUUGAGCUUUACUCAAUUCCCACCAACAAGUGGGUUAACCUUUUUCCAUGUAGGUUUGUUGGCAGCAUUAUUUUUUGGGAAAACAUUUGCAUGGUGCACCAGUAACAGCCACAGUUUUUACGCAUGCGGAACUUGCUCCUGGAUUUUGCCUUUUUACAUCAUUUACUUAACGGAGGAGAUAUUUCUACUUCUCUUUGUCGUUACUUUCUCCCACAAUGUUGAACUAGUUGCUCCCCUUCGUUUUAAUGCCUUCUUCACAUCUCACUGCUUCGUGGAAGUUAUCUCAAGAUUGUAAUUCCACCAUAUAUAUAUAUAUAUAUAUGGCAUCGAUUUCAGUCAUAGUUGAGAUCAACUCGAAGUCCUAUGUUAUAUCUAUGCUCUUUCAGGUUCACAGGGAAGUGCUUUUAGAUAUGGUUUCCCAUUAAAUUUCAUUUGAUUUUAGAACGUGGGUUCCUUUGUUCCUGGGUCUGCCAUCAAUCCAAGCUCUUGGUAUUGGUGGCCUCACACAUAAGUCAAUCGGUGAAAGUAAUAUUUGAUAAGGUUGGUCGAGUCUUGAUGUUCCUUAUGUAACAAUAAUCGUCAUUUAAAGGAAAAUUCUUUAUAAGCAUUUUUAUUAUCAAAAAUAUUUUUGAAAUGGUAAUGAAGAAUGGGUAUCCUGAUUUAGCCCUCAUGGAACCCGGGAUAGGACUGCAUUCUAAUUUUUUUCACUAGGAGGAAAUUUCGUUUUUAUAUAUUGUUAUUUUCUAGUGGUAGUUCUAUUUCUGCUCAAUUAGUGUAUAGCUUUCAACAAUCAAUAUUCGUUUCCAUUUUAAGGUUUUUAAAGAUGAAAUCAUAAGGCGUGAUGGAGAAGAGAAGUGGAUGCAGGUGGAACGAGGCCCAAUAUGCCACUACCGCCCAAGCUGCAGGCCAAGAGUUUUGGUACGUGAUGUCAAAACAGAACAGAUGUGAUCUCAAAAAAAAAAAAAUGCACUAUAUGUAAAAUCAAGGAUAUUUUGUCCAUCGGGGUGGGUGGGUAUAUUAACGUAGCGAAGCUCUUUGCUGUUUCACGUAAACAGCUCCCUCUUUUUAUUCAAACUUUAGAAGCAGCUUAUUUAAAUGAGUUGGUCUCCUGAUCUAAUCAUUUUGAGCUUUGUAGUUGUUGAGACUAUUGAAAAAUAUUUGAAAGUAUAUGGUAAAUAAUUUAAAUGCAGGUGGGGGAAACAUAUAUGAUGUAAAAUUUUGUCAAAUAUCCAGCAUCCAUUGGAGUUGCAUUUGAAUAGGAAUGUAGGAUUUGGGGGAUAAUAAAGACGACCCCGUCCCCACUCCCCCACUCCCACUCCUACUCUCACAUACAUAGUUUGCGUCUCCCGCAAGUGAAUUGGAAAAAGGACGAAUCCAUGUCCCACUUUUUUACUAUUUUACCUGGAAAAGUGUCAUUCCCUCUGUUCCAAACGACCCCACGCCCCACCGGUCACCGGUGCUCACCACUCACCACAACCACCUUUUUUUUCCUUUUUCUUUUUAACUCAACUCCAAUGUUAACCAUUUCGUAAAUUUAGAGAGUGAUGUAGCUGCUGAACCUCUUAAAUUAAAUCUUAAUGAACAACGGCUUUACCACCACUCAUCCACAUCUAAAGUCUUGGUUAAAGCUCCAUCUUCUAGUAAAAAUCCAUGUUCAAAGUCAGAUCAAAAUAGCGUUGGAAGUUGGAACCAUCAACUACAGUCUCAUCCUCUCUAUUAAAGACUGGUCAAUAACCAGCAAAACCAGAGUCUGAGUUCAAAUCGGUUUUAGGAGAUUCGGCUCUGACACCGAUAUUACCCUUUUUACCCUUACUCCUCCUAACCUACCACUCCUGUCGGUGCCUUCCUCCUUGGGACCCUAUUUGGAACUUGCAACCAUCUCUCACUGCCUCCCUGUUCCCAUUUCUCCUUCUCAACACCCAUCUUUCAUUGAAACGUGUAAAAGUAUAUUUCCAAUGCUGUUAUUAAAAUCUCUUACUACUAACACCAAUUUCUCACAUUUUCAGUAUCACGAUAAGAAGUAAGAACCACCCGUUUCUUAUUUUGCUCCAAACUAUAUAUAUAUAUACACACACGACCUUUUUCCCUCAUACGUUUUGUGGCUUUACUUUAUUUUAUCCUUGGGCGCUGUGGUUUAUGGCACGCCUGCACUGAGGCUAUGAGCUGGAGUGUAAGUGUAGUUUUAUAGCCUUCUUUCCCCCUUAUCCUUUUCUCUAUCUCUUUCUCUCUUAUCUAUGUCCUUCUUUGAUUCCUCCAUAUAUCCAAAGAGGAAAAAAGGGACAAAUUUUGGAUGAAAAUCUCACAUCUUGGGAGUAUAUGUAAUCCUUAUUUUCUCAUUCUUUUUCCUAGAUUUUAGUCCAGCUUGCCCACAUUAUCAAUGGAGUUGUUGAAACAGUUUUCCUUUAAAAUAAAUAAUAAAUGCAGUGUCUUCGGGGGUUUUCGUUUAUUUUCCCCCUCAUCUUCUUCUUCGUUUCUUCUGUAAGAUAAAUGCAAUGCUUCUGUGAACACUUCCACUGGAAAAUGGUUUUCAAGCGCAGUUUUCUCAUCCGGGUGAAUGCUUUUGAUCGAUGAAACUGGUGGAUAGCUUUCUUUCUGUGCUUUCAGUAUUGAUUUAUUGUCCGGCUUUGCUAUCAUCCUGAUAUGGGUUUUCCGUUAGUUUCUUUUAUUCUUCCACAAAGUUUAAAUCUUUGCUUUGUUAUUAUUAUCAGAAGAAAUGCUUUUCCCCCCUCCUAUUCUUGUGCAAGCUUCGUUGAAAUAUUUAUGGAUAUAUGUUUUUUGGCCUAUUUACUCGUUUAACCCAUCGUUUUCCCUUAUUUGUGGAUCAUGACUUCUUGAUAUUUGCUCUCGGUUUACAUGGAUUCAUAGUCUAUUUUAGGCGGGAUCAUUUGUAUUUACAGUGAAAUUGUUUUCCCCUCUGUGUUCUUCAUUUUUGAAGGAAGAAUAGAUGGAAGAGGAAAGUGAUAUUCGGCGCUGGGACGAGCUAAUACCCGAUGCUUUGGGUCUAAUCUUUAGAAAUCUUUCACUCCGGGAAAUACUGACUGUGAUUCCCAGGGUCUGCAAAUCAUGGGACGAAGCAGUGAAAGGGCCUUAUUGCUGGCAAGAGAUAGACAUUGGAGAAUGGAGUGACCAAUGGCCGGAGCACCUUGAUCGCAUGCUUGAAAUACUAAUCAGAAGAAGCUGCGGUUCCCUCCGCAAGCUCUGCGUUUUCGGUCUCCAAAACGACAGGCUUCUCUCUUUCAUUGCAGAACAGUGAGUAGAAUUGCACUCUCCAUGUUUGAAAGCGUUGAUGCCUUGCUUUUAAUCCUUAGCUUAGGAAGAACUUUUGGAAAACCAUUAGUCCAAUUUUGAUCCCAUUUUGGUACGCUUACACCAAUUUACUGGUUCAGAUAACAAUUUCUUGAACCAAUUAGCCUAAUUUGAUGCUUUAUUGGAGAGCAUUCCCAAUUGGAGGAUUUAGGCAGAAAUUAGAUAAAUCCUUUAGUCCAUAUUUAAAAAUUCACUGGAUCAGAAGAAUUCCAAGUCGAUCCACUGUCCAAUUUUUUUGCUUUCAUAGUUGGGUUGCUUGUUUGAUCCACACUUUGGUGAUUUCGCAUGUUAUUGUCUUUGUCUUUUGGUUUUGUAAGUGCUGGUUCUCUUCAGACCCUGCAACUGAUAAGAAGCGAAAUAAGUGAUUCUCUAGUGGAAGAGAUUGCUGGAAGGUUUUCAACACUCACUUUCUUGGAUGUGAGUUGCUGCAAUAAAAUGGGCAGCCGAGCUCUUGAGGCCAUUGGAAAGAACUGCAAAUCGCUUGUGGGGCUGUGCCGGAACAUGCACCCACUAACUACUGCAGGCAAGCUCUCGCAGGAUGAGGAGGCUCACGCCAUUGCCACCACAAUGCCCAAGCUCAAGCACCUUGAGAUGGCUUACCAUCUUCUCAGCACAAAAAGUGUUCUUGAGAUCCUCUCGUGCUGUCCCGAGCUUGAGCUUUUGGAUUUGAGAGGGUGUUGGCAUGUGGAACUUAACGUGAAGUUCCUCAAAGAGAAGUUCCCAAAAUUGAGGGUCUUGGGGCCUGUUGUUGUGGACUACUGUCGGUAUUAUGAAAUGAAUGAAUGUGACGAUUACUCGGACUAUGAUGAGAGUUCAGAUGGAACAUGGGAUGAUGAGGGCGGGCUGGAAGAGCUAGAGGUGCGAUUCUAUGAAGGAUUUGGCGAGCAUCCAGAGUAUGGUUGGCCUACAUCUCCUUAACUCUACUGUCUAGUACUUGGUUAUCUGAUGCUUCUAUUUCUCUUUACUUCCAUAUCCUAUGUUUUAAUGGAAAUGCAGUGUGGUGUUUGUUUCUCUGUCAUUAUUAAGCUCAUAGAGCUAAAUCUAAAACAAGCUUAAACUCACCCAGAAUAGAAUAUCAUGCAUAGAAAUUGAGCCUGGAAGCUAACAACCAUAAAACUAACUCUUCAGUUUAAUUCUUUUCAUGGCCAAGCACAAAUUUCUGAUUAUUACCCUGCGGACUAAAAGGGUCCAGAAUUGCCCAUCUUAUUUUGAAUUUGAAGGGAGAGGUUGGCCCUACUAAUAUUUCUAUAGGAUGGAUAACAGGUAAUCACUGCCCAUCGGGUUCCCAAGUGCUCAAUAUUCUUCUUCAAUUCUCAUCAAACGUCACUCAGAAGAGACAUUCACCAUAUUAUAGCAUAUGGGUCUCAACUCUAGAUAGUCUGCCAACUAGCAGAGUCAACAUAGAAGGCAAAUUCAUCCCCAUCUGACUGGGGUUAAAGAAUUCUCUUACGGCAUCUUUCAGAAAAAUGCUAAUUGACACACUAGGAAUAUAUGGAUGAUAAAAUCGAAGUAGUGCAUUCUGAGUCCAAGCAAUGCCUGAAAAAAUAUUGAACAGUUAUGGGUGGCUGGUUGAGACAGAGUACUUGAUGGGUUGGCUUGCCGUGCAGGUUAAUAAAAAUAUAUGCAGAGUCCUCAAUGUGCGCGCAUAAACUCGGGAGGCGCAGGCAGAGAUAGUGAGGGGCGCUUAUUUUGUGUGCGCCUAAUGCUCCUAGGAAUGUCUAUCAAACAUGUUCGUUUGUACAUUUGUUUGUGUUUAUAUUAUAUGUUUGUUGUUUGCUAAUCAUGAACUUAGGAGGAAGGGAUUCCAACUUUAUAUUACCUAGUUCACAGUCACAUGAUCACAUGUGAUUCAUGUCUUUGGAUCUUGUACCCCACCAUUUCAAAAUUUCUUGAUAUCCGCGUUUGACCAAACAGUUGGACAAGCCACUCUCAAAGUAUGUGUUGCACGUGUUGGAGGGAAAUUUUUGAAUCUAUUCUGAAGCAUGACAGUAAUACCAAGACUUCUUUAGAUGGAAAAAUAUACUUGCAAUGACCCAUAAGCUAUGGGCUUCCAAAAGUAUAGCUGAGAUUAGAUAAUGUUAGAAACAGGCUUAAGGUUGAAUUCAAUCAUCCGCCUAUGCUAUGCAUAUCCGAAUCGAGUCACCUUAAAGAUACCAGAAUUUUAUUGAAAUAUUGGCUUUUCCCAAGAUGCAGAUGAAAACCUUGUCUCUUAAUCAUCAUUGCAAUGGAUGGAAUUCAGUUCAUCUUUUUCCUCUCUUUUCCUGAAUCAGGCUCUGGCCAUGGACCCACCACCAACUGCAGCCCCUGUUUGUAUGUACCUUACGGUGGUUGUCGCUUUUUGUAAGGGUUUUUCAUUUUUGAAUGGGAGUAAUUGAGGACGUGUAAUGGCCCUACCCAGACGUGUAUUGAGAAGUUUGAUGAUAUCGAACAGCGGUCCCUCGUCCCUCCUUUCCAUCCCCGGAUACCCGUGCAUUAACAUGAUAAAUCGAAGGAGAGGCAUGCACAGACAGAUGAAGAGUACCCCAUUAACUGUGGGACGACCUUUUUGGAGAGACAUUGAGCGAGCUUUACAUCAUGGAAGCAACCACAUUCACCAAUGGGUUGCUGAUGCCCACAUAUUUCUAUAUGACAGCUAAUAUUACAAACACAUUCUUGGAAUUAAUAUUACAAACUGCAAAAAUAUCCAGGAUAUGAGUACUUAUUUCCCUACCAAAGGGUCGAUUUUGAUCAUUUGGUACUGUGGUCCCCCUCCUCCAUAUUGGAAGAUUCUCCCCCUUUUAGUUCCUACUCUUCAAUUUCAUUCUCCGUCACCAUAAGAAAAUCAUUGGUGUUCAAAUAGUGCUCCAGGUCAACCAAGGCAAAGGAAGUAAAUAAAUGGAGGAAAAACAUAUGGAACUGGAAGUCUCAAAAGAAAGAGCGGAUGAUGAAAGGGCUCCUGAUAUCAAAUUGGAGUCAUCUGUCGUGGCUAUAAUUAUCUGUGCUCCCAGAAGGCUUCAGUUUCAGCCUUUCAGGUCAACAAUCAAGAGGGGCUUGUUGGCAACUGGGAGUUGGUAUUUGAUGCUAAUUAGCAAUUAAUUACAAGCCAUGUGCAUGCAUCUGCAUAGCCUGUGCGAAACAUUUAUGGUACAAGGACAGCAUGGCUUCAUCAAUAUUCUCACAACUGUUUUUGCAUUACCCCUUGGAGGUGUUUUAGAUAAUCUCAAUCUUAUAGGAGGUGAUGAAGGAAAUUGGGAUCGUACCAAGAUUAAUUGUUUUACGUCUCUAUUGUAUGAAGCUGGUUUUUAUCUUGAAUUGGCGUGGUGUAUAAAAAUUAGAAAUUUUUUAACCAUCUUAUGAAAAAGUAGUCAUUAUUAUGUGAAAUGUAUUAUUUCAAUGAAAUUAGUAGUAUUUAAGAAGAUAUAUCCCAACCUCGUUCUUGUUAUUAAGAAAACUAGUGUAAACUUUCAAAAUCUUCAUGAAUAUGUGAUUGACAAGAACCUUCAAAACAAAAGACGUAAUAUUUGUUAAGUGGUUGAAAAAUAAAUUUGUUGAAUUUAUCAAACUAAUGAAAGAUUCAAAUUAAAAUUUGAUGGUUUAAGGAUAGAUGAUAAAAGUAACCCAGAACAAGUUAUUAGAGAAUAUAAUGAAAUCAUAAAAAUAAUAAGUAGGCAAAAGAUGAUGUUGGUUUGUUAAGAACAAUGAGUUUUUAAAUCUAGGAUUGAAGGCGAUCAAAAAACAAUAAUAGAUUGUUAUAAUAAAAAGAUUAAUAUUUCUAAUUUUAUUAUAUUAUUAAUAUAGGACAUUUAAAAGUUAAUUCAAGAUUUAAAUAUUUACAAUUAUUAUUGUAUUUAUAAGGAAAUAAAUAGAACAAGAGAUUUGUAGUAUUUCAAUUAAAGUUUUGAGACAACGGAAUGCUUUAAAUUAUGAUAUGUUCUCUUAAAAUUUUGAUUUAUGAAUUAAUUUUUGCAUAUUGAUUUAGAUCCUAAUAAUAUUUUGAAUAAAAUUAUUGAUCUAUCAAUACAAUUAGUUUGAUUAUUGAAAUACUUUCUAAUUAUUUUAUGUAUAAAUUACUCCACACUUAUAAAAUCAAAUGUACGAUAUAUUUAAGAAAUAUAUAACUUUAAAUUAUCUCUUUCAUAUUUGUUUUGUUGUGUUAUAGAUGUUUUUAUUGCUUUUACAUAACUUAUUAAGGUAAGUCAUCAUUGAUGACUAAUAUUUUUCCGUUAAUUUUAACUAUUUCUCUAUGAUAAUAUUUUUUCAACUGUAUAAAGGAGAUGUAUUAAUGACAUGUUUUAUGACUUGUUAUUUUGAUAAAAUUCUUGUCUUAUUAAUUGCACAACAUUGAUAACAAACAAUGUUAAUAUUAUAUCAGGUGAUAGAAACUUGAUUAAAGGCUCUAGAAAAGUUUAUAUUAUGUUAUUAGUAGUAUUUGAUUAUAUGUGAAUGACACUUUAUACUAUGCUAGAUUCAGAAGAAUCUUAUAAGACCAACCCGGUCCCCCAGAGUAAACAAUGAUACAUUAAUUCAUUGUAAAGUCAUAUGAACAUACAUUAUAAAAAACUAGAAGUUUUUAUUUAGUGAUUAAUCUACUUAUAUACUUGAAAGAUAGAAUAACAUGUUGUGCAGAUUAUCAUUUUAAUGAGACAAAUUUCUAAUCUUUAAGGAGAGAAGAGCCAGUUCUAGAUAUGGUGUGAAAUUAUUUGGAAUGUAUUGACUUUGACUUAUCUUGAUCCUCAUACUAAUAAAUUUAAACUGGAAGUUCAAAAGAUUAUUUAUUUGCAAGAACUUGUAAAUCAACUACCAAAUGCUUUAAUUGAUGCAAAUAAAGUGACAAAAUCAUUUUUACUGACUUAGAAUAUUCUAGUAUGAAUUGGUGUCCCUAGAAGACAAUUAAAUAAUGUGUUGAUGUCCGUGAAAGACAAUUAAAUAAUGAGUUGAUGUCCCUGAAAAACAAUUAAAUAAUAAGUCUAAGGCGCGCUUGAAGCAUGGUAGACCCUAAAGAGAUAAACAUAUUCCCUAGAAAAGGAAAACACAAGGAAAUAUACAUGAAAGGUGACACUCUUGAAGAGUUGCAUAUAAAAUGGGUUAUUAAAAUGACUGAUCAGUCUCAAGUAGUCCUUGAAGAGACAUAGUUUAAAUAAGUAGCCCUAGGAGAGACAUAUGUUUUACAAUUAGCUCCUAAAAAGGUACAAGUACCUAAUAAUGAUGAAAUCUCAAUUAUCUACUUGUAUAUGGAGAAAAAUGGGAUUGAAAUACUUUUUGUCAUUAACAAUAUAUUUUCUUUCCAAGUGACUAUUGGUAUUAUAAGAAAUGAUGAGGAUCCCAAAUUAGAAACUAUGGAUGAAUGACAACAUAGAAAAUAUUGGUCAAAAUGGAAAGAAUAUAUCAUAACAAAAUUAAACACAUUAGAAAAAUGUGAAGUAUUUGGACCUGUAGUCCAAACACUUGAAAUAGUCAAACUUGUUAGAUAUAAAGGAAUAUUUAUAAGAAAAUAUAAUAAGAAAAAUGAAAUAAUGAGAUAUAAAGCGUGACUCAUAGUUCAAGGUUUCUUGUAAAGACCUAAUAUUGACUAUGAGGAAACAUAUUCUCCUAUAAUGGAGACAACUAUAUUUAGAUAUCUAAUUUGUUUAGCAGUCUCAAAAGGACUGAAUUUGCGUCUCAUGGAUGUUGUUACUGCAUAUUUACAUGGACAUUUAGAUAAUGACAUAUAUAUGAAAAUCCCUGGAAGAUUUCAAAUGCUUGAAAAAACUAAUUCAAAACAUUAUAGCAUAUAAUCAAUUAAGCUACAAAGAUCAUUGUAUCGAUUAAGUAAUCCAAAGACAAGUGGUACAAUCACUUCAAUGAAUAUUUGAAACAGAAAGUAUAUAUGUAAUACCUCAUUUGCCUAUGCAUAUUCAUUAUGUUGAAUAUUUAUAAUUGUUAUAGUAUAUGUGGAAUAUUUGAAUUUUGUUGGAACUCUUAAAGAGCUUACAAGAAUAGUUGACUAUUUGAAAAGUAAAUUUGAAAUGAAAGAUUUUGGAAAACAAUAUUUUUGUCUUAGUCUACAGAUUGAGUACUUUUCAAAUAAAAUGUUAGUUUAUUAGUCAACAUAUACAAAGAAAGUCUUGAAUCACUUUCAUAUGGAUAAAUCACAUCCAUUAAUUUCUUUGAUGAUAGUUCAUUCACUUGAAGUGAAAAAAACCUCUUUUGUCCUAAAGAAGAUAAUGAAAAACUACUUGGUCCAAAAGUACCAUAUCUCAGUAUUAUUGGUGCAUUGAUAUAUCUUGCAAAUUAUAUAUGACUAGAUAUUGUAUUCCUUGUUAACUUGCGAGAUAUAAUUUUACAUCAACUCAGAGACAUUGAAAUAGUUUCAAACAUAUACCACAAUGACAUGGGUUUAUUUUAUUUGAAAGGAUCAGAAUCUCAAUUGUUUGUAUAUGUAAAUGUUUACUAUCUUUCAAAUCCCCAUAAAACUCAAUCUCAAAUGAAGUAUGCAUUUAUCUAUGGUGGUACGAUAAUAUCGUAGAGAUCAAUCAAGCAAAUAAUGGAAACAUGUGGACUACCCUCCAUAAGAGGUAAUGCUACCAAGUUAAUAAUGUUGCAUACAUUGCACAAAUUAAAGAAUGAUAUAUUAAGGGUGAUAGAAUCAAGCAUAUAUCGCGGCCCAAGUCUUUUACUUUAAUUAAAUCUAAUAGAGUGAUGAAAUUGUUAUUCAACAAGUAAGAUCAAGUAACAAUUUAGUAAAUCUAUUCACAAAGGCGUUGUCAACUGCAAUCAAGGAGGAAAAAUUUGAAUAACAAUUUGUGAAUAGAUUUACUAAAUCUAUUCACAAAUCUAUUCGCGUGUCGACGAGGAGCGAAACGACAUUUGGAGGAGAUAAGUCGGCGGGGCGAUUUUUCGCUAAAAAUCACCAAAAAAUCGGCGAUAUAUCGCCGAUAUAUCAAAGAUAUAUUCAAGGGUGGUGCAAUUAAAGAAACGAUGGGACGCUUAAUCAGCAAAUUCUUCAUUUAUGAGAGUGUCGCAUCCGCAAAAGCAAAGUCUCAUCACUUCAAGAAUAUGAUUAUUGGUGCACAAUAAGCAAGUAAUUACUAAUUUAUCAAAUGUUAUAUUGUGUUAUACUUUUAGUAAGUACAGUAUUUUGUGACAUGUUUUACAUAUGAAGUGCAGGAAUGGGAAUCGAACCUCCAUUUCCAUAUGAAAUAAAGAACAAAUACUUGGAAAUGGAGUACAAAGAAAUGUAAGCUUAUGUGAACUAACAAAGGGAAAAAUGGAAGACAUAUGGGUGCACAAUAAUGUUAGAUGGAUGGACAGGGCCCAUUAUUAAUUUCAUGGUUUAUUCUAAAGGGACCACAAUGUUCCUUAAGUCAGUCGAUGCAUCGAACUAUAUCAAAGACCACAAGUAUAUAUAUGAGCUUUUGAAGACUAUUAUCAAAGAAGUCGGUAAGGAAAAUGUGGUCCAAAUUAUCACAGAUAAUGGGUCGGCAUUCAUGAAAGCAGGGAAACAAUUGAUGAAGAAGUAUAACUUAUAUUGGACUCCGUGUGCGGCGCACUGCAUCAACUUAAUAUUUGAAGACAUCGGUAAAAGACCUAGUGUUAUCGAGGUGAUAAACAAUGCUCGCAAGAUAACUAACUUCAUUUACAAUCAUGGUUGGUUACUAGCACAAAUGAGAAAGUAUUGUGGUGGAGACAUUGUUCGAUCAAGAGCUACAAGGUUUGCUACCAAUUAUAUUGCUCUUGACAGUCUUCUCAAAAAAAUGGUUGAUUUGAAAAAAUUGUUUAUGAGUGAUGAAUGGGCACAACACAAACUUAUUCGAACAAAACUUGGACGAGAAUUGGAGCAAUUAUUGUUUGACCAUAUGUAUUGGGACAGAUUGACAAAUAUAGUUUCAUUAUAUGAGACAUUAUACGUGGUGCUUCGACUUGUGGAUUCUGAAGUUGUUCUCACAAUGUCAUUUGUGUACGAGCUUAUGCACGUGAUGAAAGAGAACCUUAUUCGUCAAGGAGCUGGAGAUUGGAUGUUCAAAAUAAUACAAGAUCGUUGGGAGAAAACACUAAAACAUUCACUUCAUGCAGCAGGUACUUAAGUACUAUAUAUAUUUAUAAGUUUUUAUUUUGUAUUUAAGUUUCUUUAAAAAAAAAAUAUUAACUCUACUAAAUUUUAUUGUAGCAUACUUCUUGAAUCCAAGAUUUCAAUAUAGGCAUGGAGUUGGUAGUGAUCCGGAACUACUUCAAGCUGUCCAUGAUGUUUUUGCAAAAUUAGAUCCAACUACUGAAUCGCUUGGUCAAUUUGGAAAUGAGGUGAAUAAAAAAUUGUUAUUUUUGUCAAUAAAACAAUAAUUUCAUUCAUCAAUUUAUUUGAACGUUUACUAACAAAUUAAAUGUUGAAUACAUAGCUUGUACUUUUUCGAGAUGCAAAAAGAGGAUUCAGUGAUUGAGCGGCAAUUGCAUCAAGGUCAACCAUGGUGCCCGGUGAGUCUUUAUAGGAAAAAAUUGAUUAUUAUUAUUAUAAAUUCACCACAUAAGUAUUUAUAUGAUUAUCAAAUUCGUUGCAGCUGAAUGGUGGUUUAUGUAUGGGAAUCAAACACCUACAUUGAGAAAGUUAGCCAUCAAAGUUCUCUCACAAACUGCGUCAUCUUCUGCAUGUGAGAGAAAUUGGAGCACGUUUGCUCUCAUCCACACAAAGCAACGAAAUCGUUUGACUUACCCUCAAUUGGAGCAAUUAGUUUUUUGUUAGUAUAAUAUGAGGCUAAAGUUACACGAUAUAGAGGCAGAAAAUGAUCGAGUUGCUGAAAAAGAUUACCUUGAUCUUCUUGACAUUUCAGCUGAGGUGGCUGAAAAAGAAGAUAAUCAGUUGUUCCAGUGGGUUAGGCCUAUACACUUGGAUGACGAAGUUGGAAAUCCUUAUCCACGAAUUGCCGUUCAUGCUCGAGAAUUUGGAGUUAAUGUUGAACGUGUGUUGUCCGAAGAAGUUCACUCUGAAAGUUUUAGCAAAGAUACUGAUAAUUCACUUCAUGCGACAUUGCAUUCCCACCAAGAGAUUGACUCCACAAGUGCUGGCCAUAGUAGUAGACCUAGUGCUGUAGGGACUUCUGCUUCUGGUUACGAUGGUUCAAGAGGUGGAACUGAUGAUGGAGGUGAUAAUGUGGGAUGAGAUAUUGAUGAACGUCGACAUAGUCAAUAUCCAAUCAGUCAAUUUACUUGUGAAAAUGAUUUCACACACUGCACAUAGGAUGAAGACCAUGGCUCUAGAAGAGCUGGUCCAGACAUUGGAGCUAUUAGGAAGCCUUAUAGAGGAAGAGAACGAAUGAAGGAACCAUAUAACGAGGAGUUACUUUCAGGAAGUUUUGAAUCUAUGAGUAUAGGGACUCAAUUUAGUGACUCCUCGAAUGAGGCUAACGUCUACCCUCCUCAUGUGAUGAGUUAUGGUCAACCUUCAAGUUCAACAGAUGAAGAGUAUGGUAUGUCACGUUAUUCCCCUUCUAGACAAAUACCAUACCAAAUUCCAUAUCAGAUGGAAUAAGGAUUUAGCGUUAAUACUUGGGUGAACUUUGAGUAUCCUAUUCAUGUAGAGGUAGUAGGCAGGACUCAAGAGAUAUAUGCAUGACAUGUUAGAAUUUAUAACCAAUAUUAUCGAGGCUUAUUGAGUUGGUACCAAUAUUGUCUCCAACAGCAAGUCGGGGUUCCUUCAUCUAUCAAUCCCAUUGAACCGCAUCGAUCCUCAUUUUGGUACUAAAAGGACAUUGCAAUGUAAUGUGUACAAAUUAUUGUUAUUUAAUGAAAUGAAGUAUUUUAUGUGACUUUAUAAUGAGAACAAUUACGAAAUUAACAUUUCUUAUAGAUCGACAUGAUAUAAUUACAUCUAAUAUCGCAAAUUAUAUCAUAUGUAUAUCAAAUUUUUCAAUAAAACAACUUUAAAAUGUCUAUUAUACUUCUAAUUAUAUUAUUAUGAGGUUUUUCUUGCAUUUCCAUGAGUUUUUAACAAUUUUAAGCCUACCGAUAUUUUUUUCCAGAAUAUCUGCCGAUAUAUCUCCGAUAUAUCCGUAAAAUCGAAGUACCGAUAUAUCCGUGAUUACCGAUAUUUUCAUCCUUGACUACAAUACUCAAUAAGCUCAUUAGAAUACGUUGGCUCAAAUAUCUCCAUGUUGUGCUACUAGAGAAAAUAUAAUCAUGUCAACAUGAGAAGGAACUAAUUGAUAAGAAUAUCACUACGCUGUACAAUUUUUUCUUUCAUCUAGGUUUUACUGAUAAGGUUUUUAACGAGGUAGUUGUAGCAAUCCAAAAGAAUAUUGUACUAUUUUUCCUUCAUUAGAGUUCUUUUUAGUAAGGUUUUAAUGAUGCAUAUUCUUAUGAUUAUCCAAGGGAAAGCGUUAUAAAAUAUGAGAUUUUAUUGGAUUAUAGAAACUUGUGGAUGAUCAUUUAUAUUGAUAUAUAUCUUUUUGUAACUCUUUUUAAAAGGGAGAUACCUUUAAUGAAAAUUCAUUCCAUUGGCUUCCUACAUUUUAUUAUACUUUUAUUUGAAUAUUUUUGUUUGUUCUUUUGUAUUUUUUUCUUCUUAUUCUUUUAUUUUAUAAUGAGAUAUUAUUUUUCUAAUUUUUAGCUUCUUUUGGCCUACCCGUAAUAUUUUUAUUUUGUGUUGGAUUUUGGGUUGACUUUUGGUUCCCAAAUCAAAUUUUUUUUGGUUGGGUUGAAAUUUUCCAAUCCAAUCUUAUAAUUGUCCGGAUUGAAGCAAGAUUGAAUAGAACUCAAACUUGGGCUGGGUGAAGGACCCACUAUACUUGCAAUUGGAUCAGCUAAGCCAAGUCCAAUCCAAUGGCGGUAACCAAAGCCUGAAUUGCGUCCAACGGCAUCUAAGACACCAGCAAGUGCCAUACCAACUCUUACAGAUUCCAGCUCGGAUAAAAUCAUGAAAAAGAGCAAGCAGACCUCUACAACACCUUUAUCUAUGAUUCUAUGUAGAGGUAGCAUCAUCCAAAAUAGGAAUACCAGGAGACAUUAGGCAUUACUUUCUAUCUCCAGGUUCAAGAUGCUUCAUUCUAAUGAAGCCCAUAAGAAUGCUUAAUCUGCUCUCUGAAGACUAGAAUGCAUGCUGAUGGUUUUAUGGACCUUUUGGACCGGGCUCCCUCUUGUUUCUAAGCGAGAGUUUGGGCCUCAGCAGUUGAGCCCGCAGCCCCGCCUCUCUUGCUUAGGUCUGAAAAUCAAAUGCUAAUGACAAAUAUGCAAUGAUAAUUUUUUUUCCAGGAAAAGCUCCAUUUUGUAUUUUUAUUAUUAUUAUUAUUUAAAAGUUUCUUCCAUUUAAUAAAUAAUUAUAUAUGUUUAAUUUUUAUAGUUGUUGAUUUUAAAAAAUGGAAAAAAUUAACACUUUGAUUUUUUUACAUUCAAUUAUUUUUUAUUACCAACGCAAAAGCAAAUAGAAAAUUUAAGAAAAUUGGGGACGACAGUUGAUUUUAAAGUACAAUUCUAAUAUAAUUAAUUUAGAAAAAUUUUGACGUGACAUUAUUUAAAAUCAUAAAUUUAAAAAUUCUCACUUAGGUGGAUUUUUUUGGGUACUUAUAAAAAAAGCAUCACUGCUUGAAUAGUACAUGUAUAUAAUUUUGGUCUUAUUAUUUAUAUCGAUCUCAUUAAUUUGUACUUUUAUAUAUUGAUUCCAUUUAAUCGUGUAUUUAUUUAAUGACCUAAAUUUCAUUAUAAUACCACUUCUUAACCUUAAUAUUUUCCAAAAAUAUAGCUUAAGAAUUUGUAAACAUAGGCACAUGUAACCUUAUCAGUUAUAAGAAGGGCACUGGAGGCUUCCUCUUUCAAGAAAAUAGUGAGCUGCGGUUCAUUCAACUUUGAUGGGAAGAUACUGUGAGCCUGAGACAUGAAUAUCACGAACUUAGAAGUUUCAUUCAAACCCAAUCACGUACGGGUGCUGACCGUAGGACGUAAGGCAGGUUUGACAUGCUGGGUCCAAGUGUGUGAGCCAAAGCAUUGAGCAUAAAACAAGAGAAUAUGCCGAAGCGUGAAGGAACACGUGUCGUGAAAGAAAAAUGAAAACAAAUGAGGUUCGGUUGGUGGGAGAGGGGAAGAGAUGUGCAUGAAGCGGAAGAGGGUAGGUGGGGGUGACCCGGUCUCCUCCUCUCUGCUGAGUGCUGCUGAGUGCUGAGUUGAUCGUCAAGGGGUAAUGGGCCUAUUCGUAAUUUCGCUCACUCUCGUCGCCCCCGCUUUUGGUCGUCUUUCAAAUGACUUUCUUUCCCCACAAACUGGCUUGGCUCCUUGCUUGGCUCCACUCCAUUCUACAGGUGAUCUAGCUAACUUUUUGGGGCUUCUCAGAAAUGGGAACGGGCAUUCGCCACAUCCCCCCAUCCAUCAUCCAUCUUGUCUACACGCAGUUUUCUCUCAUCAACAAACCUGAAAUCUGGUGGUGGGCUUGAAAAUUUGGUAUAUAUCCGGGAGAGUGGGUUCCGGUCAUUACUUCCAUCUACAAAUUAAAGCACAAACAACCCUUUCUUCAAUACAAUCAUAAUCGGUUGAAUGGACUCCAUUCCUGGCAACCCUAUGGAGGAAUAUCAGAUUAUCAUUGCCGAACGUAUAUAACCUACCCAAUAAGUAUUUAGUAUUCUGCUUAUAAACAGUAAACAAUUUAAGACUUCCUGUUUUCUUUAGAUAUACCAACCCCUGAAGUUGGAAGAGUUUUUUUAACUCACCUAGGAUGUGAUAUUUCGUUAGUCUGGUUUCUAGAUAAUAAAGACAAGAGAGGAGGGCAAUUUAUGUUUCUUUCAUUCUUUGUUUGUACCGGAAUCCAAUAUUCAUGAAUAUUGGUACUACAUGGAUCACUACCUAAUUUACACUAAUACCCAGUAUAGAAAUAAAAUUUAAUAAUUUUUUUUUUCAAUCUAAUCAAAUAUUAGAAUGGAAACCUCAUUUCUAUUAAAUUUUAAACAUUUAUAUAUAUAUAUAUAUAUAAGUGAAAUGAUUUUUAAAAGGUUUUAACUUUUAAGUAACUAUAAAAAAAUUGUUAGAGGUUCCAAAUAUUAAGUUUAAGGUUUUUAAGCACUUUAUAGUGCAAAGUCUAAAAACUAGUUGAGUCAGUUGAGUAUGAUGGAUCGAGAGGUAUUUACACAUCCUCUUUCUUUUCGUAAUAAAAAUAUUGUCGGUUGAGGCAGAACCUCAACUAAUUAAGAAUUGGUCGAGUCCCUAUCAAGGUUUGAUUGAAGUUAUAACCCCCAACAAUAACUUAUCAAAGUAUUAAAUGUUCAAUAACUACCGGACCAAUCAACCCUCAAAUUUGCUUUAUCAAUUUGGGUUUUCAAACCCUACUGUUUUAAACUUCUUUAUUUUAGAGUAUAAGAGUUAUAAAUUUUUUAUGAACAUCAUUUAGCUCUUCGGGAAGGGGGGGUGUUUUGAGUGCACUUUGUUUUCAAAUACAUAUUCAUUAGUGUACCUCAAUCCUAGUUUAUUUUAUAUUAUUUAAAUAAAAAAAUUUACAUUAGGAUUUUAUGAGAAUAUUUCUUAUAAUUUUUUUGUAAAUCUUUAAAAGGGAAAAAUUUAACUGUAAGGAUUAUCAAGUGUGAAGUAUUGUUGGAAAGAUUGUUAAGAGUAGAGUAUUUCUUGAGGAUUGUAAAGAGUGUUUAGUUCAAUUGUAAUGGUUUGAGCUUUAGAAGCUUUGACUUAAAGAAAGUCUUAGUUAAUUAGGAGUUUGAGAAGAGUGGAUAUAGAUCGGGUUGUAUUAAAUCACUAUAAAAACUAGUGUUUGCAUCCCCCAUUUCUUGCUUUUUAUUUUAUUUUUCAUUGUAUUUAUUAUAUAAUUGCAUAUAUUUUUUAUUUGUAUUUAUAUAAUUUAAAUUUAUAAAAAUUGAUCAUCACCUUAUUCACCCUCCCCAUUAGGUUGAGUCUCUUAGGUCGAUAUAACUAAAAUCUUAAUAAUGUUUUAGAGUUUUCAGUAGAAUAUAAUAAGUAUAAAGGACACGAAAGACACAUAAUUAGUUUAAAAUUUAUGAAAUAUAUAUGGAUAAAAACACUCUUGACUUGACUCUCCAAAGAAAGAAAAAUUAAAAUAAAUUUACUUGAAAAUAUAAAAUAACUUACAACAUAUUUAUAAGAGAUAAAACAAAAAAAAGGGAUACAAAUCUUGAAUAUUCAAAUUUUUAUAAAAAUGAAGAAAUGUUGCCCAUGUUUUCUUUUUCUAUAACUCAAGAAAAGUUGAAAGAAAACUUUAAAAAAAAAAAAAAAUCUUGAAAAAUCAAUUCCCAUGGAUCUCCAAUGGUUAUAUAAUAACUAACCCAUUACAGGAUAAGAUAAAAAUGGUGUUUUUGAAGGUUAUAAUUCAUUAAAAUGAAUUUAAAAUUUUUUAGAAUUUUGUUUUCUUAUGUGUUUUUUUUUAUGCAUGUUUUUGCUAUAAAAGUCUAUCCCCUUUUCAAGUGGGAAUGGAUUAAGAAUGUUUUGAAUAUUAUUACAUAGUUGUUAAAUAUUCUUAGCAUCAAUUAUAUUCCAACUUUUAGAUUUUGGACUUAAUUAUACAUCAUUUAUCAUUUAGGUUCAUUAUAUGCUAUUGAAAGCCUUAAAGGAUCAUCAUCCCCAUUAUCAUACGAUAAGAUGGCAAAUAUAUAUAUAUAUAAAAACCAUUCCAUCCAUCUUAUAUUUUAUCUAAAGGGUUUUGUCAACCAUAAUCCUUCAAGUCAAACAAAAAGGCAUUACACAUUUCUUUUAUUAUUAAGGCAAUACAAUAUAGCCCCAUUAGGAAUUUUUUUAAUUUUUAUUUUUGCCCUUUUAUUCUUUAUUUAAAUAAUUUAAAUUGAAAAUGAUAAUUCACAUGUUUAUAAAUUUCCACUAGUAUUAUGAGUUGGUUACCUUUCCCAAGGUUUUGCAAUUUUUUGCACAAAUGAUAAUUGUGAUUUAUUGCAACAAUACCCUAUUAUUUUCGGAGCAAACAUUUAUGAUUUUGUUUCUAAAAAAUAUUUUUGUUACUUUCUUAUUUAAAGAAUCAUAUGAGAAAGAGUCGAGGAGAGUGCUAGCGUAAAUUCUUGGUACAACACCCAAAAAAAAAAAGAGAAAAAUUUAAAUAUUCUACUCAUUUGAGAAAGAAAAUAUCUACUCAAUAUUACUCCUAAAAUGCUAGGUGGGUGACAAAAACACUUCAUCAAUUUACCAAUCAUAAUUAGGCACAACCACUAAUCACCAUACUUGGAGGGAUGCUAGGGGACACAUUACCACAUUCCUUGAUAGCCCCAAUACCCUACAAGACCUAUUUUUUUUUUUUUUCCUUUUUACGUACCUAUAUCUAUCUCACACUCUGGAUAGUGAUAUGUAAACUAGGAAGAAACUACAAGUUCCACUAUUGGAUUUUAUUGUAUCAACUUGAGAAACCACUUAUAGAGCUUACCAAGAUCAUAAUUAAUUAGAAGCUUAUCAAAAUAUUAUAUAUUCGAUACUAGGCAUUGUGACCUAAUUCUUGCUCUUAUGACUCAACACAAUCCAAUAACAAACUCAUCACCUCACCUCAAAAAUGUUCAAUUAUUCACUCUUUCAUGAGGAGAGAGUUGACCAUAUCCCUAUCACAACAAUCAAUACAAGUUUUAUAGGCCUAUAUAAAAUAAAGAAACCCAUAUUUAUAAAAGGAAAAUUCCUAUACAAUAUUUUCUAUCUAAAAUAAGUUUCAUAAAAAUAGCAAAAAAGUUAAACAUUCGAGACACUUUCCAAUAAAUAUCACCCGACUCACCCCAGUUAAAAUCUUUCUACACUUGAAUUUCAUAGCGACCACGGAAAAAAAGAAGACAUUAUUUAAAAUUAGAAUUUAGAAAAGGAGGAGUGUUGAUAAAUGGUAUUUUAUAUUGGAAUACAAGGGGUUGUAGUUGAAUACGAAUGUAUUUAGUAUUUACAAUAAGGAAAUGGAGACUGGAGAGAAUGGAAAGGGGGGAGUAGGUUGGGCUCGGCUGAGUGGAGUGGCUGAGAGCUGAUGGCUGAUGGCUAAUUGGCUAUAGUCAUAAUCAAAUUUAGUAGGUAAAAAAGCCGCAAAGCAGGGCAGAGGAAAUGAAUCAGCUUGACAAUGGACCCUACCAAAAAUUAGGUAGCUGAAAUACCAAAACUGCCCCUUUCCCCAACUACCACCACCAGCCACCGCCUGUCCCUGCCCCGCCAUCACUCUACCCUUAGUCUCCUCUUUCUAACCUUAUAAAUUCUCUCCCCAUUUCUCUCCCUUCCUUUCAUUGCUCACUGUCGUCUCUCGCCCUCUUUCUCUGCCAGUCUUCCUUUUCAAAUCCAAAAGCAAUAAAAAGGAGAGAUAGAAAAAGAAAAAGAGAAUGGCUCUCGCGGGCACUUCCAUUAUUCCCACCAAUUCCAACUCCUUCCUUCAAACCCAAGCUCUUCCAUCUUCGACCUCCAAAUCCCACCAACCCUAUCUUCUCACCAACCCCACCAAAUCCGCAUCUUUCCGACCCAUCUCUGCCGUUCAUUCCGCUGAUCCCUCCAAGAAUCCCGUCGUCUCCGAUAAGUCCCCGAAGGCCCCCGCCGCCGCUGCCUCCUCUGCAGCCACCACUGCCUCUACCACUAAAGUCUCUGGUGCUGUUCCUGGCAAAUGGAGCAUAGAAAGCUGGAAAUCCAAGAAGGCUUUGCAGCUCCCAGAAUAUCCGGAUCCGGAGGAUCUGGAGUCGGUUCUUCGUACCCUGGAAGCGUUCCCUCCCAUUGUGUUCGCCGGAGAAGCCAGGAGCUUGGAGGAACGCCUUGCGGAAGCCGCCAUGGGAAAUGCUUUUCUCUUGCAGGGUGGUGAUUGUGCCGAGAGUUUUAAGGAGUUCAAUGCCAACAACAUUCGUGACACCUUCAGAAUUCUUCUUCAAAUGGGCGCUGUUUUGAUGUUCGGAGGGCAAGUUCCCGUAAUCAAGGUCAGAUCUCUGUUGUUGUUUGUUGUUGUUGUUGGUUUUUUUUUUUUUUUUUUGGGAUGAUUUGGGAUUGUGCGUGUGAAGUUGGUUUUGAAUUGGGGUUGAUGGUUGUUUAGGUCGGAAGAAUGGCGGGUCAGUUUGCGAAGCCGAGGUCAGAAUCGUUCGAGGAGAAGAAUGGCGUGAAGCUGCCGAGUUACAGAGGUGAUAAUGUGAAUGGAGAUGCGUUCGAUGUCAAAUCGAGGACUCCGGACCCUCAGAGGAUGAUCAGAGCUUAUUGCCAAGCUGCAGCUACCCUCAAUCUCUUGAGGGCUUUCGCCACCGGAGGGUAUGCUUCUAUGCAGAGGGUGACCCAGUGGAAUUUGGAUUUCACAGAGCACAGUGAGCAGGGAGAUAGGUAUAUUUCAUUAAACCUCUUUUAGAUUUAGGUUGUUCUUCUUCUAAGUCAAUUUCAGAUUGGGAAGUGGAAACACCCUUUUGAUUUUGUUUUUUGGAAAUUCUUUUGAAAAUAAUUAAAAAGAAUCCUCUAAUAGGCAUUGAUGAUCGGUUGUUUUGGCGUAUUUUGCGAUAAUUGACCUUCCAAUUGUAGUUUGCCAAUUAGUGUAUGGAACAGAUGAUGAUGUUGAACUCCAUAAGCCAGUUCCAUCAAUAUCAUUAUUGUAUCUACUCUUCCAAAUAGUCCAAAAUAGAUCUCUUUUACAUAUAUAAAACCCCUUCCCCCCGUUUCUGUUUUGAUAUUCUGUAUAAAUAUCCACUAAGUAGAAGUCCUGUCUUAGAUGACUUUGUCUGGGACAAGCUUCAACUCGAACCAGAUUGCAUUUUCGUCUAGCUAAACUAUAUUAGGUAAUAAAUUUCUCGUUGCUCUCCUUGCCAUGACAUACCAGGUAUCGGGAACUAGCACACCGUGUUGAUGAAGCCCUUGGUUUCAUGGCUGCUGCUGGGCUCACAGUUGACCAUCCUAUUAUGACAACAACUGAGUUCUGGACAUCCCAUGAGUGCUUGCUCUUGCCUUUCGAGCAGUCGCUUACUAGGGAGGAUUCAACUUCUGGUCUUUACUAUGACUGCUCUGCACACAUGCUUUGGGUUGGAGAACGCACCCGACAGCUGGAUGGUGCCCAUGUUGAGUUCUUAAGAGGAGUUGCUAAUCCCCUGGGCAUUAAGGUAUCUACUUUUAAUACCAUUUUUAUUCAAUAAAAUUAAUGCAUAAUUAACAAGAUUGACUCAAACAAGUCGAUGCAACCCCAUUUCUAAGAAACUCAAGGGUUAUGCAACUGCAUCUAGGCCACUAUGGUUUGGAUUUUGGCCUGAACUGUUUUUUGUGGUGUUUCUUGGUAAGGUUGUUUCAUCACCCAAAUUUUACUCGGUGCUCUUUUAAGUAGAUCAAUUCUAAUUGUUCUAGUUUAAAUUGAAGUUGAUACUUGAUUAAUGCUUCCCUUCUGUUGCUGUGUAAUUUUGACUUUCAGCUGUUUGGAUAUGCAUUAUGUUGUAGUUGAUCAUGUAUGACUUUCUCAUGAGAUUUGUUUAUGGAUUUUGAAGUAAAAUUUGGUGGCUAACAGAAGAUGUCUCUUGUGCUGCAGGUGAGCGAUAAGAUGGACCCAAAUGAGUUGGUUAAGCUGAUUGAGAUUUUGAAUCCUCAGAACAAAGCGGGUAGGAUAACGGUAAUCACAAGAAUGGGAGCUGAGAACAUGAGAGUGAAGCUUCCACACCUAAUUCGGGCAAUUCGCAGGGCAGGGCAAAUUGUCACAUGGGUCAGUGAUCCUAUGCAUGGAAACACCAUCAAGGCUCCCUGUGGUCUCAAAACUCGCCCCUUCGAUGCCAUCAGGGUAUGAUAAACUUCAUCUUUCUUGUUCUUAUCACUCUACAUAAAUUUUGUCGCCAGGCAGUCAUAGUUGAGCAGAAACUACUCAUUAGAGUUCAAUGCUCAUGCUACCAAGGGUUUUAUGAACCAUGCAUAGAAAUUAGAUCUCUAUUUUUUCUUCAAAUAUGUUUGAAGAGGCAAUCUCAUCCUUUUUGAAUGUGUUAAUCCUUUUUAGAGGAUUUUAUCACCUAAAAUGUUUUGAAAAGAGUUGCAACUAGAGAAACUUAUUUUAAAUAUGAUAAAAAGAUAUUGAAUUCAAAUGCUAUAAACAAUAAAAUAGUAUUAUUUUGAAUCUAUGUGGCAUCCAAAUCCCAGGAAAAUUUUUGUUUAUACCUACAUUUUGGGUAUGCAUUAAUGAUAAAUCUAUAAAUAUAUUUAUUUUCUUCAUUAGCUUUAUUGUGGACUAGUAUGAAUAUUCUUCUGCCACAAUUGGCAUUCCUGAUCCUUUGAUAAAUGGGUUAUAGCCUAAUAAACGUCUAAUACAUGUUUGCUUUUAAUGGAGUGGCUAGAUUUCUGUUCAUGAGUUCAAUUUACAGAGUGAUUCAACCAUUUUUUUUAAACUAUUUUUAUCUUUAAAAACAUUGAUAUUUGCACAAGUUUUUUACCUUUUCAUUUGAUUGGUCCACCAAAGAUGGGUAUUGUGCAUUGAGCAUCGGAAAAUAUAUUUUGUCUCCCGCAAUGGACUCAAAUGGGGACAAACGUAGAGGUGUGGUAGGUGGGAAAGCAACACCAUAUAAGAAAUUCCUUAAUCGUGUAAUUAAUAAUUCAAGUAAGAAAUUUCUUUGGUAGGUAGGCAAUUAUUUUUCCUUAUCCAUAGUUGUGGUUGGACUGUGCCACCCACUUCAAUAUAGAAUUUGUCUAUGGCUAUGCUCACCCAAUGCCUGUUAGGUUGCUGGAAGAACUGAGAGAGAGAUUUAUAGAUCCUUAUGCUGGGCUAAGGGAGGAGAAGCUAUUGUAAAACUUGAAUUUGCUUUUCAUUUAAUGUUAAUGAUAAUUAUUAUCAUCAAUGUUAUAAUAACAUCAUAUUUUGUUGGAGCAGGCCGAAGUAAGAGCAUUCUUUGACGUGCAUGAGCAAGAAGGAAGCCACCCGGGAGGAGUUCAUCUAGAGAUGACAGGCCAAAAUGUGACAGAGUGUAUUGGUGGGUCACGAACUGUGACAUUUGAUGAUUUGAGCUCACGCUACCACACCCAUUGUGACCCUAGGCUCAAUGCUUCUCAGUCUCUUGAGCUCGCUUUCAUUAUUGCAGAGCGCCUUAGGAAGAGAAGGAUUGGAUCCCAGCUGUCUCUGAACACCAUGGGGCUGUAAAAUGAUGUUAAGGGCAUCCAAGUAUAUUGGUGUUUUUUUACCGCGGAAUUAGUAGUGCCUUUACUAAUAUAUUUAAUUUUGUUAUUUUCAUGUUUUAAUUUAUGAAGUGUUGUAUGUGUAUACUGGAUGGGAACCAUGGUUUGACUAUGAAGGGUCAGAGGAAUAAAGCAAAAAUAUUAGUAAUGCCUUGAAAAGAAAUUGUGUUCGGUUACUUCAUUUAUCAUAGUAUUUUUGUCCAGGAGAAACCUUAUUUUGGUAGUCAGCAGCACACCAUCUUCAUCUAGAAUGCGUGCUGGUUUGUUCAAAGUUAUCAGGGUUAUCUAUGUUUUCAACAUCCAUCUAGGCUUUAGACCUGAGUAGGGUCCAAAUUGUUAAACUUUGUGCUAAAUUAGCCAACACCCUCCCCUAUCCCCAGGGGUUUUACUGCCUUGGUUUUGCACUUUGGCUCUUGAACAAGGCGGCACACGAUCAAUCAAAAGUUCUAACAUUUCCUGGGAAACAAAAUCAGAGCAGGGAAAAAGGGAACUUGUCUUGAGGUUGGUUGAAAGUGGUUGCUAGGGUCCCCUUCCAUCUGUAAAAUGACCGGGAAUGACCAAUUUUCUGGUGCUGAACCUGAACAAGCCGGCUUCCUAUUUGGCAAGAAUUGAUUCAGCUUAGAAACACCUCUCUCUUGCUCAAUUCUGGUUGCAGAUUAAAAACACAAAUCAUCAAAUUUGUAAUGCAAUAUUAUCUUCAAACCUUGACGAUAAUGAAUGCCUGAAGCAUUAGGGACGCACAACUUGUCUGGCUUUUGGAUGUUUGGUUUUUGGAACCAACUGUUUGGCAUUAAGUAAUACAUUACUAAAAAAACAUAUUCCUUUAGCGCUUUCAUUUUUUCAUGUAUUUCCUUUGCGUUUCUUUUGGUAGGUACUUUCAAUCCUUAACCUUCAUUUCCUAUCAAAGAAAAAAUCCAUUCAUCUCUCAUAUGAUUCCUUUGGAUUUUUUGAAAAUUCCUUAAAUCAACAUUUUUUUUAGAAAAAUGUUUUUACAUAUAAAAUUUUCAUGGAGGUCGAAGCUUAAGAAGAUACUGGCAGACAAGAAAGUUUACCGCUGCCAAGGUGAGAUGUAAUUGUCAGAUGGCAAACUUUGUCUGCAUGUGGCAAAAGCCCAGCACCAGAAAUAAUACCAUCUAUUUAAUUUUUGGGUGAAAAAAUCCGUCAAUUCAAUCGACAAUCUGGGACCUCCAAUAUUUCAGCAUCCGUGCUUGUCAGUUGAACUGCUCUAAUGAUGAUAAUAAUAAUAUUUAUAUCACUAAUUAGAAUGAUAGCUACUAUUUCUAACGUGACAAUGUGCGGAGACGGAAAGACGGAGUCAUAAAUGUUUCAUUCAUCUGUUACAAAUCAACAAUAUAAUAAUAGCACUGCGUUACAUGCGUUCCAAGAGUCACAGUGCAUUCAUGCACUUAUUCACCUUGUCCCCUUUUCCGGAAAAACAAAUAGAUUAAUAAUUCUUUAAGUCACAAAUAGAAUUAUUGCCUUAUUAUUAAGGUUCACAGCUACAUCCAAUUGAAAGAAUUUUGGUAAAAGUUAUGUGUUCAGAACAGGCACCAACAUCCGCAACACGAAACCCAACCCCUAAACGAGCAAUCAAAGGUGUGAUCAGCAGAAGCCGUCGUAAUUAUUCAGCUCUCCCCAUACUGUCUCCUCAACUUCUUCCCAUGAUUUUGCCACCUUCAGCUCCUUCCAUAAACUAAAAAUUGCCCCCAACACAUUCUCUUCAUGCAAAAUACAGUAGCACCUGCAGAUAGGGGAAACCAUUAGAAAAAAAUAUAUAUAUAUUCUAUAGGUGUAAGGCACCAAUGCUACAAUCACAAAACUUCUACUAGAAAGACCACCACGAUGCUGAUAUGGGAAAGAAACAUAGAGAGAGCAGAGUGAUGACAAUAAUGAAACCAAAAUGCCAUAAAGAAGAUAAAUGUGUGUGCUUUGUGUUUCUGGCCAAGUUGCUUAGUAGAAUUCACAAGCAACCUUGAACCAGCAACAAACUCAGUCCAUCCAUUUCAUGUUUUAGUGCUUCUUUGACAUGUGCAUCUAAAUAACAAAUGGACCUUGAUGAAAAUAACAGGGAAAAUUUUGAAGUAGCUUGAGGAAAAAAAUCUGGUUUCCCCUAAUUAUCAAAGCAUAAUUCUAGAACUAUAAUGUUUGGUUAUUGGAAAAAAAAAAAAAUAACUGCAGUCUUAUGGACAGUAGAUAUUUCAUUUUUAGUGCUGAUAAAGAAAAUAAGGUCAGUAUUGCAAUAAAUUUCGAAAGAAAAUCAACCAACAAUAUUGUGGAUAACUAAAUUGGGAAAGACAGAAUAUGUAGACAUAAAGAGAUGUCGAUUUUCACCAACUUACAUGGCAUGGUACGAUAGUCGCCUGAACUUAUCAUCAUGCUCUAAUCCAUUCUGCGAUGUUCUUCUCACUAAAGGAAGUUUAUAGCUUUCUAGAAACUGCUUAAGCAGACAAGGGUCUCCUCUAAAGACAUCAAGGUGUAUGGGGAUCAAGUCCCAAAUAGGGUCACCUGAAAAAGAAAUAUAGGAAUCAGAUUUCACAUUAGGGUGAUAAAGAUGACCUAAUGCAUCACUAACUACAAUUAGAACAUAUAAGAUGUAUAUGUCAUGACUGAUGCUAAAAGUCAAGAAGAUAGUAUUACAAACUAUAGAUAUUAUCAAAGAGAAUGAUAUACAUUGUGAAUCAAAAUCCUACAAGAUCAAACUUUUAGGAAAAUUGGUAGUUCAACAUGGUAUCUAGAGUUGUAACUUGGUUGAGUUUGUUGGGUUCAUGGCUAACUUGAACCUAAUCUAAAUUAAAAAACAGACUUAACCCAACCCAACCUCUAACUCGAGAUACUAAACCCAAAUCCAACCUAACCUCAUUUCUCUAAGCUCAGGUUGAGUUCAAGUUGAUCAGGUUGAUCAGUUACAUAAUUCCAAAUUCAUCUAUAAUGUUUUUUUUUUUUUUAAAUUUUGUACAUUUAUAUGAAAAUUUAAAGAGUAAAGAGAACAAAAUUUCAAGAUAGUAACAAAAAAUAUAUCUUAAAAAAAAAAAGGAAAACGAAUAUAAUAUAAUAUAAAUUGAUAUUUUUUCUUAAAAAUCUCAAAAGAAAAUGAAUAUUAUUACAUAGGAUAAUAUAUAUUAUAAAUUUUAUAAAAACAUUAAAUCAGAUUUAGGUUAGGCUCGAGUUGUCCAAACCUUGGCUCGAGCACAACCCAAAUUGAGUUCAGAUUGAAAAAACUUAAUCCCAGUCCAAGUUAAGUAUUGGAAAAAGACGCAAGAAGGCUUGGCAAAUGGCGCCGUUAUGUAUUUUUUGAUUAGUUUGGAAGGAGAGAAAUAGGUUAGCGUUUGGGGAUGAGGACCUUUUGCUUCAAAGGUUAAAAUAUUCUUUUGUAUGUAAUCUUUGGUUUUGGGUCAAGGGUUCCCUAGCAGAGAGUCAUUCUUCUCUUGUAAGUUUUGUAGACUGGAUAGGCUCCUAGUUAGGAAAGGUGGCGUGUAUACUCCCUGUAUACUUAGAGGACACCGGUUUUUGGUGUUCCCUCUUUUCGUUUAAUAUACUUCUUUUACUUAUCAAAAAAAAAAAAAGUAUUGGAAAUGACUUUCCAAGUCCAUCCAAACAAUGGGUUGGGUUCGGGUUGAGUCAAGCCCAUCCACCUGAGUUGUAUCCCUAAUGGUAUCAUAGCAUUGUAUGGCGGGAGGUCAUGUGUUCAAGCCUCACUGCAUAAUAUUUAUUUCCCUAAUUUAUUGAGCCCACAUUUAAGCCCAAAGAGGUUGAUUGUCAUUGUUUGCCUACAAGCCUAUGUGUCUCUCUAUAUAUGGGGGUGCCACACAUAUGGGCGAGUAUUAAAAUCCAAAUCCUACAAGCUUAAGAUUUUAGGAAAAUUGGUAGUACAACAAAUAUCACAAACUACAUUUUAGACCAUAUAAGAUGUUUAUGUCAUGACUGAUGCUAGAAUUUAAGAAGACAACAUAGUGCAUUUUUCUGUAUGCAAUAUAAAAGAAAUCAAAACAAUAGUAAUAUGAAUUAUAGUAUCAGAGUGUUCUUAGAUGCAGAGUGAAAGGCUGGUGAGGUUCUGAAUCUUCACCAAACAGAGAAUUUUUACAGUAAUUUAUAAUGAAAGCAUUUUUGCUGGUAUCAACUGAACAGAAACAAUAUUGGGAUUAAACUAGGUCAUGUUGAAGAAACAGCAAACUGAGGGUCUGGUUCAAAUAAUGGAUUGCGCUUUUUGUUUAAUUUUCAACUGCAAAAAUGAUGAACAGAUCAUCUCCAGUCAAUUGCCACUCAAACCUGAAUUUCUUCACACAUGGUCCCAAAAAGCAUCUAAACAUUUUCAGUUUGCAAACAGGCACCUAAAUCUAACUGCAAACAGUUUAAUACACACCCAUAGAAGUAACAUGGCCAUGGAAAAUGGAGAUUAUAUCAAGUGUCUAAACAGUGAGGGUUUGAACAUGAAGUUUUAUGGAAAAGAAGAUUAAAAAAACAGGUGUUCUUAUUCAGGCUGAUAAAUUAACAAUUAUGCCUCAAAUCAAAUUUGCCUAGUUUUAAUUUUAGGAGCAUUGCCUAUGGGAACAGUAAUUGAUUUUGACAGAAUAAAUUUCCAACCUUAUUCAUUUGAUCAGUAACUUUGAUAGAGAAAACUCAGCAAAAAUCCCUAUAUGGACGAUGGGAAACUGAUUGGUGAUCUCUAUCUAAGAGAAUUAACAAAUAACAAUUUCCAAUUCAUUCUACCAAAAAGGAUCCAUAGAUUUUAACAGAAGUAAAUAAAAUCAACUAAAGAAGGAAAAACUAACAUCUCUAACCAAGCAAAAAGAACCUCAAAUGCAUAAAAUAACGUAUGCAAUACAUGGGAUUUAAAAUCUAAUUUACAAUAAACAAAAUUAUAAGCAAAUGCCCAAGUUUAAGAGAGUAUUUGUUUUUUUAACUUUUUACUGAAAGUAAUUUGCUUCUAGACUUUAAGUUGUUUGUUUUUCUACUAUUUCAUAACUUACUAUAAAUUUUUGGUUGAAUAGAAAAAGUAACAUGUUAGUUUUUCUUUACUUUUUAAUGCUUAAUAAAAAUAAAAUAUUACAAAAACAAACAACCUAAUACUUAACACUAUCAAACACUAUUUAGUUUUAAAUUCUAUUUAGAAUUAAGUAAAAAAAACCAAACACCACCUAAAGCUUUUUCAAAAUUGGUUGUUUAAAAACAAUUGAUUUAGAAUAUAAAACCAUUAGACACCAAACAUGCUGAAAAGGUUUCCUUCAUGAUAUAAGACUUUCAACUAGCUCAAUGCUUUCAAAGACAAACAGUAGCCAUAAAUUUUUUUUAUAUAACUGUAGCAUGGAAAACUAACUGAAUCACUGAAAAGUAGUCACCUAUAGACAGAUCACUGAAAUCAAGAAUGUGGCCAGGACGCCACGAUACUUCCUCUGUGCAGCCAUCUGCAGAACCAUUGCCUGUCAGACAAGAAUCUGUGGCAGGUGUGGUCAAGCAAGAACUAAUCCUACAUGGUUCCAUGUGAAUAUUGUCAUCCAUGAUAUCUGAGUGUAUCCAGCAGCAAGGUUUAUUAACUUUGUCUUGGCCAUUUUCAUCCUAAAGUAAAAUAAAAGUCAAACACAAAUAUAAAGAUGUUAAAAAGAGAUUAUGGCAAGGAAUUUUUUUUACAGUAAGUACAAAAAUGACAAUCGUAAUAACAACAACAAUAACAUUGAUAAUAAGAGAGGCGAGAGGUACCUGGAAUAUAUUGAGCAACUUUGCAAAAUCAUUUGGGAGGUAUUCGUCAACUUUUUCCAUCAGGCUGCUAGGAAUUGGAUCUCCCCUAUAAAUUGCAACUGAGGAUUAAUCAGAAGCACACAGAUUCCUUUUAUGUCAUAUUAAAACAAGCAUGAGCAAAGCACAUUCAAUAAACAGCAAGGCCAAGAUCAUAGCCACUAAUAAAUGUAAAGAACAGAACCCUCAUUGAAAAGAUCAAAUUCAGUCACAGAAGACAAAUCACAGAUAGAUGAAUUAGCAGGGAUUUAUGGAUCAGUGCAACAAAUAACAUGCAUGCAUUAAUAUAUAAGCACAAGCAUACAAAAGAGCACAACAAAGAUCAGACAAUCCAUUAGCCUUAUAUUAGAAAAAAGGAAACAUGAUAUUUGCAUCUGUAAGCCACAGCUUUCUUACCAAAAGAAGAGAAAAAUAAAUGAAGGAAGAAAUUAUUUGGUUGCAACACAAUCUCUCAUCAAAUAAGCAUUUUUGAAUAUUCAUCAUAACAAUUUUUACAGUAAUAUGACAAAGAGCUAAAUGGAGUGUCCUGAUAUCUAACAAGCAAGGCGAAAGGAUCCACCAUUACCAACAAAAAUAAUAACAACAAACAAUAAAAAAAAUCAAAGAACCCUACAAAAAGAUGUCUCAAAAUUUAUUAAAUUGUUUCCCAUCAAUGUGACCCACUACACAAAAAGCAAAUAAAAAACAACCUAAUUUCUAUCAUGUAUGCUGCAUGUACCCUUUUAAGAAAGGUGAUCUCUACACAUUUCAGCAGAGUAAAUUCACCCAGAAUCAGCUCAAGCAAUUUAACCACAUGAUUUGAAACACUAUUUAUAUAAUGGGCUUAUGUUUUGAACAUGCUUUAAGAAAUGUGAUUCACCAUAUGAUGGGCCAAGAACAUUUUUCUAAUUUCUGGUAAGUUAGAAAACCAUACAAGCUGUAAUGUGUACAAGUCAGGUCUUUUAUCCCCAUACAUGGCAGGCAUAUCUGAUCCCUAAAAAGGAGGGGACCACUGUCCCACAGGUUACAUUAGGAAGCUAUGUGUAGCCAAAUCUUCUUUAUUUGGGAGGUUUACAUCAUCAAUUUUUAUCUUUUAUUCUUCAUUUUUUAUUUGGUAUGACCAAAGUUUUUAAAGGCAAAAGUGUGAGCUGAGGCGUUUUUGCACCCAUGAAGAGAGACAUAAAAGCCUUGAAGUGUUGAGACAUAAGCCUGAACCUUAAUUUUCAUAAAAAUAAUUUUCUAUAGCAUAUUUUCAUACAAUAUCUUCUCUCCAACUUUUAAAUGAUUCAUAUUGAAAAAAAAUUAUCAUAAUUGAUUUUUUUUUUCUAAUUGAAAAAUCAUAAUUAAUUAGAUUGCAUAAUUUUUUUCUCCACAUAAUUAAAUCAGUAAAUAAAUAAUAAUCUAAAUAAAAACAGUCAAAAUAAAUAAAUAAAAUUUUAAGUUAAAAAAAGGGUGAGUGUGGUGUAGAAGAGCAUUACUAGAGUUUUAAAUUUUAGCCAAAAAAGGGGGGACCACUGUCCCACAGGUUACGUUGAUAAACUAUGUGUGCCAAAUCUUCUUAAAAUCAUUAUUUUUAUUUUUUAUUCUUCAUUUUUAUUUGGUGAGAGCUACCAUAAUUUCUUUUCCAUAGCAUUCUAAAAAGUUGUACUAAUAACAAUCUAACGCACUUUUUGAUUGAAAACAAAUAAUCAAAUGAGGCCAGCCCUUGAGGCCAAGUUUAAGUUGCAAGGGGUUGGGAAGGUUAUUGGUUGAAUUCUAUGAAAUAGAAAAACAAAGAAAAAAACCCUACUUAUAAAAACUAAUAAUAAAAAAAAAAUGGAAUUACUUCUGAAAUACUUAAUCUACCAUUUGGAAUCACCAUCUGGUGAAACAGGCCUUUUUCCAUCAACAAACUGUACAAACUAGAUUUUAUGUUGGUUAGUUAGCUUGUUUCCAUUAGUAGCAUGUAAAACAUAAUAUAUCUAAAGAGGUAAGGACAUAAAUGUCUCAGAAUUAUACCACAAAGAUGACCAAAGAGUUUGCCUGCCAAAGAGGUAACUGCCACAGUUAGUAACCACAUACGAGUGCCAUAAUAAACUGAUUCUGUAGAUUUAAGCCAUGUAAAAUCCAAUUUUCUCUUGAGGCCUAGCUUAAGUGGCAAGGGGCUGGGGUAGGAAAAACAGAGACUCCACAUUCAUUACCAUAUAAUAGCAACAUAUAAAGAAAUGAACAAAUAAAACAAAUGAGAAAAAGAAAGGAAAACCAAAAGCAAAAAAGGAAACAAAAAGAAAAAGAAAAAAUCCAUUUUGGCUAUAGGCAAUAAUUAACAAUAGGGCUAUCCUUAUGUAGGUUGGGUCAUGUUGAUGGCCAACCCAUGCCCAUCCUAAAUUAAGAAUAUUCAACCGAAACUCAACCACUUACUUGAGGUACUUAAGCCAAGCCCAACUCAACCCAACCCCUAACUUGAGGUACUUAACCCAAGCCCAAUCCAACUAAUUUCUCUAAACCUGGAUUGAGUUGUUAGGCUCAAAUUAAUCGAGUUAGACUUAGGUUAUUUUCUUUCAUUAAUUUUUUUUAUUAUAUAGGAUAUUAUAAAUUAGAAAUAUUAUAAAAAUAUUAAAUUAGGUUCGGAUUUGGCUCAAGUUGCCAACCUGGACUCGAGCCUAACCCAAAUUCAGUUCAAGUAGAAAAACUUAACCCAAGUCCAAUCCAAGAAUAAAAAAUGAUCUCUAAGCCCUUCCAAAGGUUAGAUGUGCUUAGGUUGGGUUGUACCAAUCCAUUCAGUUGCACCCCUAAUUAAUAAUGACACAAUACAGGUGUUGUUUUCCCACAUAAGGUGACACACUUGACAUGUUAGUCUCAAAUAUGAACACAAUAACAGUGCAGUAAUCCAAAGGGUACAUGGUGUCAAACAUGACAAAAGCCAAACCAUAUGCUUUAUGUAUCUGCAUCAAUAGUUGCUCAACAGGUAAAGGUCAAUUUUAAGUACUUCUCUGAAGGAUAGGACAUACCACUUAGUUAAGCGGCUGGAGACAUCCUUUCUCUUCCUGGCUAGAGUUCUAAUGAAAAUCUCCCAUUCAGCUGGAAUGCCAAUUUUAUCAGAAAUUUCAUCCAUAAAACCAUUAUCAAGGGACAAGUGUAUUGAAUCGUUCAAAGAUGGAUGGGGCAAGAUAUGAAGAUUAUGCAGCUGCUCUCCCAAAAAAGAAGCUAAAUUUAGAACAUCAUCCCUUGGAAGUGUAUCUCUUCUGCAAAAAGAAGAGAACAGUCAACAUUGAUAAUAAAACUAAAUUACUCUUAUUCCUAGCUCUUUUAGAUUUCAGUUAUGAUAUACACAAUGUACCAAAUUAAAAACCAAAAUACUAAAAAUAUUGAUUAAAAUAAAAGUUUCAGAUUUCAUUAAAAAGAAUGUAAGAAACAUUUAAAAGAAUUUUACAAAAAAAAUAAAAAUAUAGUAAGAAACAAAAAAUCUCACUAGCUAUUUUUCAGUCAUUUUCAUAUUUUUUUAUAGGAAAAAAGAAUCAUAAAAAAUUUCAAGAGCCAUGAGAGAGAGAGGGAAAGUAGCUAGUGAUACCCUUAUUGUCAUUCUUUAAACAAAGUAAUUUUAAACAUUAGUCACAAGUAUACACAAUGUAUCAAAUUAAAAACCAAAAUACUAAAAAUAUUGGUAAAAAAAAAAAAGAAUUUCAAAAAAUAGCACAUGAAAUAAAAAUAUAGUAAGAAAAUAAAAAAUCUUAGUAGCUAUUAUUCAAUAAUUUUUUGUAGGAAAAAAGAAUGAAAAAGAAUCUUAAAAAAUUUUCAAAGAAUUCAAUAAUUUUUUCUACUAAAUUUUUUUGAAGAACUAAAUAUAAAAUAAGUGAAAGACACAAAACCUUGUAUGUAAAAAUAAUUUGUCAUAUAUGAACAUCUAAGGACCAAAUCAUCACUUAAACCUCAAAUAAAAUACAAGUGGUUAACAAGAGCUUGAUUGUUAUUAUCCAUAAUUUAAAGUAUCCUAUUAAACCAUGUUAUCUCUUAUGAUUUAAACUAAACACAUACUCUUAAUGUGAACAAUUAGAUAAGACAUAAUUUUAUGAAAAAAUAAAUAGCAUAUAAUUUAAUAAUAAUAAUAUAGUUUAAUUGUAAAUUAGGUUGUUAUUUACUUUAAUUUCAAAAUAAAAAAUUCAAAACCUUCCAAAAUCCAACCCAAAGAUAAUUCAACAUUAAGAACUUAUUUAAUAAAAUAGCAAAUAAAUUUUUUUUAAAUAACAAAAAAUAAAUUAAGAUAAUAGUUGCAUGAGAAGAAAAAAGAUGAAAACAAAAUUAAAAAUUAAUUUUUUAAAUUUUAUUGAAAUCCUAAUAUAUCAUUACCACUAAAGGAUAAGUAUUUUUCCAAUAACAUUUAAUUAAAAACAUUUUGUGCUUUUGAAAAUUCAGUUUGUAGAGGUGGAGAGGAGGAGGGGCAGCGGGUUGCAAAGUUUUAAUUUUUAAAAGAUUGUUAUUUAUGUAAGCAUUUUUUUUUUUCAUUAGGGAAAUUUUAAGAGGGGGCAUUAGCUCCAACAUUGUUGAGGAAUCUUGAGACUUUGGUGUUUCUAUCUUUUUCCUUUUCCUCUUCUUUUUCUACUUUUGGGUGUUUGCUGGUAUUCUUCACAGAUGAUGCUGUCUUCUGGUAUUCUUUUAAUAUCAGCAUCUUGCCCAAUAAGAAAAUGUAUUUGCCACUUCUAAUGUAUCAGAAAGGCAAAAAGUUCAGCUUCUAGCAUUUGAACUGAAACAAGAAACAAUAAGGCUAAGAGAACUUACAAACGAGCAAAAAUCUUUCCUUUGCAUCGUUUUGUUAUGAUAUAAGGCCAUAUCCCUGCGCAUUCAGCCGAACUAAUAGAUUCAUAUGUUGAUGCUCCUGCUUUUUUAUAUUCAAAAUCUUUCUUGCUCCAUACACCAAAAGAGAAACCAUCCUCCAUACACUUUGCAGGAACCAAAUUGCACUUAGCAAUCACAUCAGGCACUCCUUUACCAUCCCAAGGCACAAUUGUAUAAGAUCCAUUAUCAAGAAAGAGAAUCCCGCUAGCCAAGACAUCAGGAAUAUGAUCUUUCAAAGGGGAGUUGACUUUACAUAGUAGACUGUAAAAUUCAAGCUGUAAACAUGCAAUACGACAAUCUGUAAGACAUAUGCUCAGAGAGAGAGAGAGAGAGAGAGAGAGAAAGAGGAAAAGGAUGAUACCUCAGCACCUAAACUGUGAAUUGAUGCCUCUAGCCCUCCUUCAACAAAGAGCUUAACUACAGAGUCAGAAAUGAGAUAGACCUGCUCAGAAAGACAUGAAGAAGUUAUCACCAGUUCAUUCCUACACACACCCACACAUGUAUCACCAGUUCAUUAGAGAUAAACUUCACCUUUCAAGGUAUGAAAUUAUUUCUCGCUUUUAUGGACCGUACCCACCAUAAAGUUAUAUCAUGUCAUACCCUUUCUACUAUGCAUUGAAACUUUUUCUUUGACUUAGAUCACUCAAGGACAUAGUAAAAGAGCUCAGAAAAUACAAUCAAGUAAUGGGGGGUCAAUCAGGACAGAACCUUAUUCCCAGGUUUGGAUUUCACCCAUUAUGUGGUUUCAGCAUAUACAAGUAUGCCUCUGUAUUAGACAGUUCUACUAUCCUCCUAUAUAACUUGAAGCAUCAUAUGGGACAAGUUUUAAUUACUCAGGUGCAGCACCUCUAAGAAUUUGUCAACAGGUAAUGGUAUCCUAAGUUCUAAGUAGGAAUUUAGGAUGGAAGCAGGUAAUGAAGUCUCUGUUUGUGACUCUUUCUCAUAAUAAGUUUCCAUGUGUAUGUUGUGUCAAGCAUUUAAUUAGAAGUAGAUUCCCUAUAACAUAGGUCUAGCUCAUUUUCCAAAAAUUCUAGGAUGCACCUCGAUACUUAAUUAGGUCCUAUGAUAAACAUUAAUCUAUGAUGGUGCUUCAUGUUCACUGCUUCCUUCCCAACCAAACUCAGGAAUACCUUUUUCUUCCCUCCCCAACCCCCAUAUGCACUGGCAGUAGGCAUUUGCACUUUGCAGCUUGCUUUCUUCAGACCAAUGAUAUUGUAGAUCAUGUCUCAGUUGUUAAUUUAUUUUUAUUUUUCUAUUCAUUGUUUCAAACAGAAUACUACCAAUGAAACCCCAACCAGAUAUAAUGGUUCUCCUCACUCCCAAAUCAAUUCUUUGCAUAUGGUGCCCAUUUCUUCUGACCUGGCUGGGACAGGUAGUGCUCCUUUUCUGCACAAAUACAAUGACUUUUUAAAAGCUGAAACUCCAAAAUGUCCACUAUAGUCAAUUGUCUUGCAGCAGCAACUAUUUCUUGUUCAUUUUUGAAAGGUCCCCAAUUACCACCUCACCCUCUUAGGAUGCUGAGUUUGUUUCAUUUCUUCCAUCUAUCAUGAAUUUUUUGUUCUUUGGUCAAUCAAAUUGGAUUGAGCAAAACAACUUGCUGUGGAAGAGCCAGCUUCUUGUCAUGCUGAAAUCAUAGAUCUACAUGAUUUUCUUUUUUUCUAAAAUGCUAACCUACUCCUACCAUCUCCCUUUGUUGAUGAUAUCUGUUGGCUCCCAGAAGCCUCAAAUCACCUGAAAUAUUCCUUGUUACAUGUUUGAUUAAUUGCUUCUCUCAACAAUCAACAGGUUCCUACUGGUAUCAGUCCUUUCUUGGAUUAUAAGAUUGACUGCUUCAGUGAUUAUUAAAAAUGUUGAAUUAGGUCAACAAUUAACGAAUCUUCAGUCAAACACUGGUCAGUAGUUAGUAGCAAUAUUUCUCUCAUUCCCUCUCCGAGUGAAAAGGAUUAGUUUAAUGAUCAGCAAAUUUUGGACAUAAUUAAUUAUACAUUACACUUCCAAACAUGCAUCGCAGGACCCUAUCCAACUGAAUGCUGACAAAAGCCUCAACAAAUAAGCAUUUCUUGUUGAGAAAAACAGAAAAACAUCAUAUUAUAAAUUGUAUUAUGAGAUUUUUAAUCAAAUUCUAUAAUCUCUUUAGACUUUCCCACUGAACAACCAAUAAAGCAUUAAGUUCUUUUUCUUUUUGUUUGGGGAUUCGAUUCCUUUCCCUCCCCAACAGAAAGAAAAAAGAAACUCCUAACUAUAAGUUUUCCAAUAAGUAUGCAAUAAUCGAUUAAUCGAUUUGUAUAAAUAAGUGGACCAAUCUAGAAAUCUUCGUAUCCUUAGGUUAAAAUCGAAAAUGUUGAGCAACUAUUUAUUCAAAAAAAUGAACUAAAAAAGAAGAAGUAAAACCAUAGGUUCAAGCUAUCAAUAGAACCUCCAGUUAACUUAUGAACCUUCAAUUACUGAAACUAGUUAAAAUACAGAAAGUUCACUUACAGGAUUGCUUCCAGUGCCAACAGGAAGCCUCUCAUCAUCUGUGGGAGGAGGCAAACCAUGGAAGGUGCAAAUUUGUGCUGUGCGCUCUAGCCACUUGCCUGCAUUUAGGGCAAGACAUGCUCCCUAGGACAUUUCAAGACAUGAAAUAUAAAAAUUAGAGAUGAAAUCCAAAAAUAAAAUAUGGCUGGCACUUCAAAUUCUACAUAAAUAUAAAAACCCGUGAGAGUAAAUCCAGUGCAGCCACUAGUAAACCAACAGGCAGACUCACCAACAGUUUCACACCUGGCACAAGCAGUAGUCAUGUUGUGUAUUAACUGGUGCCAAGGUGGAUGGGUGCUGAUUGGGGUUAGAAUAAAAAGAAGUCCUCCAUGGAAGAUCUCAUCGGCAGAGAAUCUGCCUAGUUACUCCCUUAAAUAACCAACCUACUCAUUCUUUAAGAAUAGUUUCACUUUUUCCCAAAAAUAUUUUUAGUGUACUCACAAAGGCAACUCACAUAUACCACAAUGUCUUUGAUAGAUCACCAAAGCCUACAAGGCAGACCUUAGCCUUCUCAUUUAAUGAACCACCAAUAGACAAGCAUUAAAAAGAGGCUGAGAAGAAAAGACAAUACCUUCCAUAUAAGCUCUCUCAUUCCUGGUUUUCCAACCCAAAGCUUGCAUAACCAUUCUCUCAUUUCUCGUUGUCCUAUGCAAUUGCUUGAGCUCCACAGAGAACUGUAGUGGUCUUUCUCUUGAUCCAAAAACACGGACAAGAAAUUUAUAUCAUAAUAAAAAUCUUGAUUCCACAAAUCAUAACUUUUACAGGCACCAUUUCUUGCACUUUGGUUAUCUGGAUCCUUCCCGGGUUGGUAAGUUCUAACUCUCUUCUCCUUCCUAGUCAGAUCUGGAUGGUUCAAGCCAUCUUUAUCACAGAAUGCAUCUAUUUUGCCAUUCUCAAAACUUCCUUUGUCCAAAGCAAGCAUUCCAGCACGGCAAACUCCUUUAUGAUGAUAACCUGGAGCCAUAUCAAGGCAUACAAAUUCAAAGUUUUUGGAAUUUACAAAAUUCUGUGUGACAGCAAUAGUGGUUUCCAAAUUUAACACACAGUGCCACCAUCCACUUGGAACAUAUAUUGUUUCUCCAGGUAAUUGGGUACACUCGAUUGGCUUGUCUUCAUCAGCAAGAAGUGGAUAAAAGUCCAGCCACCACUGUUAACAAAAAUGGCAUACAAAACAACUUGAACAAGUGUUAUUAGAAGUACAAAAUAAAUCAUCGAUGUUAUGCAUCUGGAUGUCUACAUCAGAUACCUGCAAUGAUGUUGGAGUCUCAAUAUUGACAUCACCAUCUUCUUCAUUUACAUGUACUGUAACACCCGUAGGCACUCUUCCUGGAGGAUACAAUGCCCACCUAUUCAAACAUGAUUAGGACGUUACCUUAAUCAAUCCAUAUAGAGAGACAACAAAGAAACAAAGACAAAGAACUCUUCCAUACUAGAUGGUCACAAGUCAAAACAGGCACUACUGGAAAAACAUAAUUCACAAUGGAAUAAUGAUAAAGGCAAUGCCAAAAUUGAUAUUUAAAAGGAAGUUAUUUAAAAACACCUAUUUAAUUUCUUGUAGAAAUUCCUAAAUUGACCUCAACACAGUUGCAGAGAUGAGAAAAACCAGGAAUAAAUGUUUUUUAACUUUUGACCAAACAAUUGGUCACAUGAAUGUGGACAGCCACAAGUGCAUGAUAGAUGCAUGCAAAAACUUACUUUUUUUUUUUUCUCUUUUGAUCAAUUUCACCAAUGUAUGGUUUCACAUGUUAAUAUUGAACACACUAAGACUUCAGAAUAAUUGAGCAUAUAUUAAACAGGAUUGAAAAAACAAACCUAUCCAACGACAGGUUGAUCAAUCUAAACCUACUUGAGAAGCAGCCCACUCAAUCUCUUCAUUUUUUAAUCUCUUAAGCAGCUAUGUUAGAAGCAAAUGUGAAGGAAAAAUCCAGGUUUUCUACAAGCACAUACCUACAUGCUUAGAAUUUUGUUUCCCCUUAAAAGUUUAUAAGAAACAAAUUAGUUCUCAUGAUUAAAGAAGUUAGUAUUGAUGACAAAACCAUUUUCCCAUGACAAUUGUCUAUUCAAUUCUAUAGAAAAAGAUGUGAUCACUAUCCUCACAGUGUUAGAAAGGAAGAUAAAAACAUAAAACAAAACACCAUAGCUAGGGAAUUUGGACCUUAAAAUGUAAAACCGGUUGUGAAAUUUAGAUACACAGUUUAUCUAGUAGCAAUAGGCAUAGGCUGAAACAAAUUAUAGAGACUACAGAGCAAUGCAUAGAGACAUAUUUGUUUUCAUGUUAUCAAGCAUCAAGUUUCUCUUUUACAGUCACCUCUUACGCCCACAAAGAAGAGUAUUCCAAGCACUGGUAAGAGCUGGAUCAACAUGCCAAGAAGCACCAGACCUUUCUGGCCCAAUAAUGAGCCAUCUAAAAGGUGGUCUCUGAUCUCUAUCUAAGACAUCAAAAAAGUCUUCUUGAAAUAGAUGAGGCACGCUGUAAUCUUUCAACAAGCCUGGUGCAACUUCACCAAACUGCAAAAAUAGCAAGCUGGUUUAUUUUGAAAUUUUUUUAUUCAAGACUGCAUUAUAUGAGUAUUACUACUAACAUAGGAUCACCUUGUCAUCAAAAAUAUACAGGGGAUCCUCAUCAUGCUGAACUUUCAUGUAUGAGACAUAAUCUUUGAAUUUCAUUGUGAUCUUCCGUGAACUCCUUUGGGAUAUCUUAAAUGCUGUAUCUCCAUAAUUCAUCAAUAGCUGAUCAGUUGUCCAGGUACUUCUCGCUGGCCAAGUAUCAGCUAAUCCAGCAAGCAAAACCUAGAGUAGGGUUCAUCAAUAAAGCAGUGAACAAAACGAACAAGAAACUGGUAGUAAUUCACAGUUUUUCCACCCAAAAAUGUUCAAAAUAAAACAAGUAAAUCUAUUUGAGAUAAGAAAGAACAUGGAAAUAGUAAAACAACAAGACUUAAAAACAAUAAGAAACAGAAGCCAGUAUAUAAAAUAUGAUGGAACUGAAUAUGUGCAUGACCAGUUUAACACAUACACAUGAGGUUCUCUCCAAAUACAAAUAAAAUCUUCAUGUCCAUGAUAUGCAUUUUGAGAAAGUGAGCAGACUAAUAAAGGAAAAAGAGAGGGUAGAAAUCCACGAUUAUAACAUAUUAUUUUCACCAUUUCUUUCAAUCUAGUUCUUUGGAUUCAAAUAUGAAUCAGAGCUACUUUACCGGUUUUUUCCCAUCAUAUUCAUGACAGAACGCUUCUAAAGAGAGAUCUUUCCUUCUUUCUGCUUUCCCAUUAUCAAAAGUGAACCCAUCCAAUGUGGUGUGGCACCGAUAUAAUCUUCUGUACAGGAAUAAAGAGUUGAAUCCUGCAAAAUGUUAAACACACCAAGGCAUUCUUCUAAUCAAGAAAACACUGCAGAUAAUAAUAAUAGUAAAAAGAAGAAGAAGAAACUAAAACAGUCUCGCAAAGAAAAUUUCUGAAUAUCGACUGGAAAAGAGAGCCAGUGAAGGGAAAAGUUAUUAAAUGACAGUUAAGAACCCAUAGCAAGAGACUUUUUACCAUCAAAAUGCAAAGGCUUUUCGCAAGGUUCUAUAUAUCCAUUUGGCAUAUGCUCCCUGCAAUAGAAAAGGGACCUUUUCUUUAACAACACAAAAUAGGAAGUCAAAAGAAACUUAACUCAUAUACAACUGAUGGGAAACCAAUAUGAGAAGUACUCAAUAAGAACCCAAUUCCCAAUUAGAAUCAGAGAGUAAAAGCUCUCUAAAACAAACGUAGAAUGAUUAGUAAUACAUACUGAAGCAGUGCCGUUUUCUUCCAGGAGCCUUUGUACUGAAGGUGAUCCUUUACAUUAUUAAGGCAUAGACUCAUCCAUAGAGGCUCUUCAUUGCACAAUAUGUACAUCACACUGCAUAUUUUAGAGAAUCAAAUUUAAAGAAUAACAACAAAAAUAAUAAUCUCCCAUGCUAACUUCCAAGAAAUUCAAAUUAAAGAAACGUGUAUGCAAUGGGGCACCACAAAUAAAUUUUAUAUGAAGAGUGAUAACACAAUGAAACCGCCAAUUUUCUGCACAACCACUCACAGAACAAAUCCUAUUUUCAGAUUGGAGACAAAAAAAACAUAUUUUGUGAUCGGGUCAACAGCAAUGAAUUUAAAGACAAAGCCUACAUAUAAACAUUGGGCGAAAUAAUCAGAAAACCAGGGAUAUGAGGAGGGACCUGCUAACACAAGCGAGUCGUGAAACAUCUCGGGCGCCGAAACUUGCCAAAAUAGCAAGUAUGAUUUCAUCGGGAAGGAGACGUAGGUCUCCGAGAGCGUCCGCUCUGCGAUCUUUGAGCCCUCGUGUGUGGGUUUCAGAAAUUUCCGUCAUUGCUGAAAGAAUUCAAGCAGAUAUCUCUGUGUCUCAAUUCUCAACGCGAAUUGUGUUCGGGUAUAACCACCGCCCCUUCCGACCGCGUACAACUUAAGCAGAGCACCGCAGGGGUAUCAACCGUCUUUUCUUAUGCGCGUAACACCGCGUGGGGGAAGUGCAAGUUUUCGCAGCCAGUGCCGCCUCAUUUCUCAGAACAAACGCUUACAUCUCUGUCUCGCCGGGCUGCAAGAUUUUGAACUUUUGAUUUUUUUGUUUAUAUUAAACUUUAAGUUGUCUUCAUUUCUCAUUUGUUUUCCCUUGUUUGGAAAUUUGGAUCAUUUUUUUUAGGUUAUUAAUAAUGGAUUAAUACAAAAAUUUAUAUGGUAUUUUUUUGUUUUUGAAUUGUAAAUCUCAAUUUUCCAAAUUUUUGCAGAAUGUUUUGUAGUCUUUUCUCUCUUUUUUCCCUAUUUAUAAUUUUUCUUGGAUGUAUAUUUGUCUAGAAUGGCUGCUAACUUACCAGGUUUAUCCUUCUCAAUGCUACUUUCUUUAAAUUAAAGAAUUGAACAAAAGGCGAAUUCCAAAUUUCAUUUUUUUUUUAAUGCCAAGAAAAUGAAUGUGACAAAAUGGCAAUACCCAUAUGAAUGAUAUUUUGAAUUUCCUGGUCUACACUAUUUUGAACACAUCAUUAGGAAUAGGGACAAUACACUACAAGGUUUGAAGUUUGAACAUGUCAUUACGAAGUAAAGUCUGGCUGACCAUUUUCAUCUAGCCCACACCUAUCUUUUUUAACUUAUUCUUUCCAUCCUCUGCUUAUAUUUCUACUUCAUACUAUUUUAUCCUAUUUUUUCUUCUUCUUUUCCCAUAAUAUUUCAUCCCAUUUUUUCCAAUGCUCAUCUUUCUACAUCCUACUAUUUUAUUCCUGCAUCAUCGUAUGAUAAAUAAUUAUUGACUACUAAUAUAUUUCUGCCUUCGAAGAGCCAUAUUCGACCCCAUUUUCAGGUUAUCUAGUGAAUUCAGACAAACAAGAGAUGAUAAUUCAAUAAAACACCCGAGACAAAGUGAGCCACAUGUCACAUACUUAGUCUUUUUUCCUAAGCUCGUGCGGCACUUAGACAAGUCAAAACGUUUGAUCUUGCUAAGUCAACCUUACUCCCAAUGCUUAACUUGCUAGGCUAAAAUGCUCACGACUCAGAAGCUUUGGAAGACAUAGUAGGCGACUCUUGAAGAAUAUAAGCUUUUAUUGCUCAAAGGAAGUUUUACAAGUGCUUUAGGGACUCACUUGCUUGGUUGGUUAUGUUUUUGAGUGGUCUUGGGGUGAUGUUUUGGCCAAAUGAGACUUUCACCUAUUUAUACCCACCAAUAAAACUCUCUGGAACCUUGGAGAGUUCCUUACAACUCAAGAAUAAUUUAAAACUUUCUACAUAAUUAUAUAUACAAACCUAUGUACAAAAAUAUACAAGAGAUUCCUAGAAUUCUCUAGAAAGUCUUGUACUCCACUCCUUCCUCCAUAGUGUAAAGAUGUGUGAACAUUUCUAGGCAUCUCUAGAACCUUCCACACUCUUUCUAUUAAUGACUUAAUGUAGAUGGCUCCAAAAGCUUCCUAGGCUCUAUAUAAGCCCAUGGGAAGGGUCAUUUGAAACAUCUUGUGACAUAGAGCUUCGUAGCUUAUAACUGACAGGAAACAUAGUGGAAAAAAGGCUCCUUACCAUGGAUGAUGGAAAUUAUUUCUGCCUUAGAGUAGUCAUUCUUUGCAGAGCUAUCCUUAAAACAGAAAAAGUUUAAACCAUCCUUAAAACUGCCAAAUUUUGUACGGUAAGGAGUGUGGUUAUAACUUAUAACCAUACUCUCUUAACAUGCAAACUUAUGCUGCUAAGUGUCCUAGUGCAUAAAAAACAACCAACCAGGAUUGGAGCAAACUCCAGGACUAGUUCCUCCACAGAAUGACUCGGGAGAGUCAGCAAGACAUGCCACCAGAGACAGUCCAUGCUGAGCCAUGCAGUACAAAUUUUGUGUAAGAUAUAAAAAAGUACUUAAAUUCCAAAACAAGAACAUUGAGCUCUAUUGCUUCCAUUCCCAACAACUUAAUUUUCUGUUUGAAAACUAUCCCAUUAACACACUUUAAGUUCCGCCAAAUUUUUAUGUUGUGUUUUGAAAAUAUGAGGUCUCAAACUGUUUGGAUAAGCAUGAAGUGUUGGCAUGCAAGCACCUCUACCUACCAUGGAAAAUGCAGGUUGAAGUGCAGAACUACCACCUAGAGAUCAAGGACAAAUGGAAUUUUAAUAUUUGAAGCAGUCAUGUAAUUUGAAAAACUUCCCAUAAUUAUAAGUGAACAAUCAGCAAUCCUCUUGAUGAAUCUAAUGAACUAACAGGGUCUAAAGAAGCACCUUCUGCAGAAGUCAUGGAAUACUAAAACAAAUGGAGAACCAUAUCAAAAAACUCAGUGACAAUCAACUUUAACCAAAAUUCAACUUUCUUAGGGAGCAUGGGCCUAAGCAGCAACAGAUGGCUUAGACGCAGCAGAAAGCCUGGACCUUCUCUUGGCUAAACUCUCGCUGCGGCGUUCUCUCUGCUCCUUCAAUCUGGUAGCAAGGAGUUUCUGGUACUCAGCUGCUUCAGACUUGGCCUUAGCAAUUCUCUUCUUCUUCUCUGCAAUCCUGGCUCGCUUCCUCUGCAAGGUCAAAGGAGUAACCAACCUCUGUAUCUUGGGAGCUUUACUGCACUUUUUGCCUGCAAAUUAAACAAGCACCCCAAGGCUUUAAUAAUAGAAUAAAAGAUGCAGUUAGCCAUUUUACCAAUUCUUUUUUUGGAUAACCAUUUUAUAACCAAUAAAGGCAGAAUAAAGAAAGCCAAUUGAGCCAUCUGAAAUAACCAGUAGUCUGAAGUUAUCAAAAUUAAAACAGUGUCCCAUAGUCAUGAUCAAUGGUGAAGCCAAACUCCUCUACUGUAACACAACCACCAUCUUAGCCCCAUGACCUCAUAGAAAUUGUGACAAAACACCAGGACUUUUUCAUGUAUUUGGAAAUUGUGAUAAAACAUCAAGAAUACUCUUUUAAAAUAGCAUCCCACUUUUUUAAUGUAGGCUACUUCAGUACUUAAACAUAUUGAAAGACAUAAAAUUAAAAAACCUACCAGAUUUGGUUGUGAAUGAUCUGCGGUAUGUGUUGACAUACUUUCGGACAUCAUCAUCCUUUGAGAGGUUGAAGAGUUUGCGAAUCUUUGAUGCCCUCUUUGGACCUCUCAUUCUUGGUUUUUCAGUGUCUGUCAGCCCAGGAAGAUCACUCUCACCCUUCUUCACAAUAACCAAGUUCAGAACAGAAAGGUCCUGGCUGACAAUGCACCCACGUACAGCCUUCCUCCUCCUCUCUCCAUUACGCCUACCAUAUCCUCGAAAGCAAGGGGUUCCUGCUUAAGCAAAACUAGAACAGUUUUCAUCCAUCAUCUAUGACAAGGCAACAAAACAUGGUCCUAGCAAAACAUGCUUCUAACUGGCCGUGAUCCAUCUUAAACUUGAAGGAAUGGUGGUCAGUGCACCAACACUAAUAUACCACCAAAAACCCACCUCUAUGGAGCAAGAGACUAACACGACCAGGAGUUAACACUCCCUGCUUCAUUGGGAACCCUUGCUUGUCACAGCCUCCCAUGAUUUUGAAUACAUAGCCAUUAAAUUCCUGUCACACAAACAAACAAACAAAAAUAAAUGUUAUAUAAAUCUAGUCUGAUAGUAGAAUUUUGGCAUUGCAUAACAAUGGUAAAUGCUUACCUCUCCGAGGGCAUCUCCACUGACCUCCUGCGAGAUCCUCUUGUCAAAAAAUGCCCGACUACACAAAAGGUGGACAAACAUUUUUUGAUAAGCAAAUAAGGCAAACAUAUUAAAAAGAACCAAGAAGGCGGAGCAACACUGCAAAAGGCCGAUAGGACUAAUCAACUAGUAAAAUAGAGAUAUUAAAACCUUUUUCUGACAAUUUUGGAAGUAAGAUGAUAUUUAAUGGACACUAUAUUUGUUGUUAAUAUUAGUCAGCCAUAGUUGAAAUGCAUGUAAGAAUUUGUGCAUGACAAAGGGGGUAGUUACAAUCAUCCCAGGUAGUUGCUGCUAGAAAAAGUAAAAUCUGAAGCUGCCAUAAAACAAACUCAGAAAAUUACAAUGAAAACAACAGUAAAUUUUCCAAAUGUAAUUAACUAUGCCAGGUACCUACCAUCAAGAACAGGGCAGGCCAUAGAAGACAAAUGGCAUCCAUCUCACACAUGACCAUGCCCAUUGAUGAAAAAUGGUGCCCAUCUCACACAUGAUUAUAAAAAAUUGGAAGAGUAAAAUUUCAGGGGAAGAAAAAUGGCAUCCAUUUUACACAUGAUUAUGAAAAACUGGAAGAGUGACUUUUCAGGAGAAACCAAGGAUAACUAUUUUAGAGUGAUUGAUAGUGAUAACUCCCAUUUUCAUCAAUAGCCCCUAUUCACAACCACCUGUUUUUACCAGCAAGCACUAUAUAAAAAUGCAACUGAGCCAUUUAAAUACAACAACUUUCUUUAUGUUUUUACAUGUAUGUGUGAAAACAUGUUCCACUUGUAUGACAUCAGAGAGAAGUCAGAUUUGUGAACAAUCUAUGACUAUAAGCUAUUACAACAAAGCUUCUUAAGCUAGCAGAUUCCGCGAAUACUGAGAUGGGCGACAUUCCACAUGAAUAACACACAUUUUCUUCCCUUUUUCCAUUUAUAUUUUUGAUGCACAAAAUGUGUUAGUGGUUGUUUCAUAAAUAAUACUAGCACUGCAAAUCUCAGAAGAUGGCAUCUUCAUCAAAGAACUUUAGAUUUUCACAAACCAUAUAUAUAAACAAACCCAAAAUGAGCAGAGAAUCCCCAUCCUAGCAAACCAAUCAAAUCCUAUCCUAAGUCCAUAUACAAAAACAAAAAAAACAAAAAAAGAAAGAAAGAAAGAAAGAAAGAAAGAAAAGCAACAAAACCAAGAAUGAUUCAAUCACAUAUUUUAAUCCAUAUAUGAGAACACUGAAUCAAGUAAGCACUUACAGUUUCUGGUCAUCGUCAAUCUCAAGCUUCUUCUGGCAUCCUGUGGUCGGAUUCGCGAUAUUGAACUGCAAAACACACACAGAAUAUCAAAUUAGGGUUUUGAAACAUUGAAGAAUGGCCGGAGAUCAUGAAUUGCAAAUUGGUUUUCGUGGAUCGAACCUUCAUCCUGGAUCAGAGAGGAGGCUGGCGGCUCUGGCGAAAGAGAUGAGAGAAGCCCUGCCGCUAGGGUUUUGUAGUCACUGCCUACUUAUGUUGAUAGAGGACGCCGUGGGUGUCGACCUUACACGUGGACAGAUUUUCCUUUUGGUAACGGGAACGAUCCCCUGCUAUGCGUUCGAAUCAUAUUAGCCGUCCGAUUAAGGCUUUUGAUCAGUUGAUCUAAGGUGCUAAAAUUGGUUCCUCAUAUGCACUACCAUUUUUUUUAUAUAUAUAUAUAAAUAUAAAAUAAAAUAUUUGUAUAUCAUGUUUUUCUUAUAAAAAUGAAUAAAAGAAGCUAGAAAAAAAAUGAUAUUUUUCAUAUAUACAAUCCACGGACCAUAGGCGUUAAAAGAGGACUAGGCUUCAUGAGUUGGGCCCAACACAGACCCAUCCACGAAGCCUGGGUUGUAGGGCCUAUACAUGGUCCAAACCACUCCACGCUGGAUUGUAGGCCCAUUCAAUCAAGCCUACGACUUCUCUUUAUUAUCAAAAUCACUUUCAAGCCCCACCAUGACACACCUCUACGGAAAAUAAUCAACCCUACUAUUAAGAAAAAUGAGUCACUUAUGGCUUUUUAACUUUUCAUGAUUUAAAUAUUUCAUAAACUUCAAUUAGUUUUCCUUUUAAAAAUAAAAAUAAGAAGUGGUCAUGAUCAUUCCAAAUCGGGAUGAAGUAAGCUGAAAACCAAUCAAACCUAAAAAUAAAUUCAUCCUUUGGGCUAAUCCCACCCCCACCUAACCAACUAAAGCAUUGGCAGAUCCAGCCACAGGGAUAUGAUUCAUAUGAAAGUGGGUAGAUUCAAAGGUUUAUAAUUCCUGAGAACGAACGCAAGCAUCAAUUAUUGAUUCUAGUGGUAAUACGACCGUGGCACUGAAUUUAUAAUUUAGUCGAGGAUAUCAAUGCUUGUCUCUUUAUCGGUGGGGCGACCAUUACUUUGCAUGCCUCCCACUUUUCUGAGUCUGUCUUUCUGAUUAUUAUGUUCAGAAAAAUGCUAAGAAAAGAUUAAAAAGGAUAAAGGCGAGUGUGACUAGAGAGUCCAAUGCCUCUGCCUCAUCUCAUCCACUUUGAGUGCUAAAUCUCUGUGCAGUGAGUAGCAGCAACAAAGAAUUGGAGAUGGAGAGUUCCCAAGGAAGCCAGAACGAGGCAACGCAGCGUCAAAGAAGGAAGUCUCUGAAGGCAAUGUUUCUGGUACUUGUGAACUGUGUCUUGAUGACAAUUGGCCAAGUAGGUGGCCCCUUGCUUCUAAGGAUCUACUAUUUGCAUGGGGGAAAGAGGAAAUGGCUCAAUGCUUGGCUGCUCACCUCUGGGUUCCCCAUCUUGAUCCUCCCAAUGGCCUUUUCUUACUUGCGAGCUCAGGCCAAAGGGCAAGCCACCGUAUUACUGGUUACGCCUAGGCUUGUUGCUGCCAGUGCCUUCCUGGGAAUUCUACUUGGGCUUGAUGGUUACCUCUAUUCGUUUGGUUUAUCUUACCUCCCCAUAUCGGUUUCUUCCCUUCUUGGUUCAACUCAGCUGGCCUUCACUGCAAUUUUCGCUUUUAUUGUGGUGAAGCAUAAGUUCACACAUUACUCGGUAAAUGCAGUGGUGUUAAUGACCUUCGGAUCAAUCGUUCUUGGGCUUCACAUGAAUGGAGAUCGCCCGAGUGGGGUGUCUGAUGGGAAGUAUUUGCUGGGUUUUUUAAUGACCCUCGGCGCUGCUGCCCUUCAUGGGUUCAUUAUGCCAGCACUGGAGUAUACUCACUUGAAGGCCGGUAUGCCCAUCACCUUUGAUCUUGUCAUGCAGAUUCAGUUCCUUAUCUCCAUGUUUGCCACUCUGUUUUGCACCAUCCCCAUGGUCAUCAACAAGGACUUUCAGGUACUUGAAAUCACCUGUAUUUAAAUCCCUCACUGGCCGUCUCGAGCACAAUAUAUGACACACAACCUUCCAAAACUCUACAUCAACUCAGGGGGAGGUCCAUUAAGUAAUACCAAUGAUCUUCCAGAAGCUCCACAGUUGGAAAUCCAUUGAAUCUAAAGAAAAUAUUUCUUUAGAAUGUUUACUCAUCUCAACUAUGCCCAAUCCCCAAAAUUCUGCAGCUUCUAUUGUCGUGUAACUUAUAAAACAUACCUGUUGGUGUUGUUUUCACAUGAGGAAACCAUCCUGGUCAAAAAUCACUUCCCAGACCAUCUGCGUGGAGAAUUUAGAAGUUGCUUCCAAAUGAAUUUGAAAAUGAACUGAUUUUCCAUAGAUUUUGUGUAGGCUGUUUCAAAAGAAGCAGCAGAAUAUGGUCUUGGAGAGACUAAGUAUUACAUGGUGAGUAUUGGCAGCAGUAGCAAUGCAGUUGCUGAUCAUAGGAAGUAUUGGAGUGAUCUUCUGCUCCACGUCCCUCCUGGGAGGUCUUGUGUCAUCUCUUCUAGUUCCUGUCCAGCAGGUUUUUGCUGUACUUUUCUUGCACGAGAGAUUCAAUGCUGAUAAGGGCAUGGCUUUAGCCAUGUGCCUGUGGGGUUUUGCCUCCUACUUCUAUGGAGAAUACAGAUCAACCUACAAGAAAAUUCCAUCAAAACAAGAGUCAGAGGUAGAAAUCAUCUGAAUUUAUAACAUUUCAUGUGAUUCAAAUCAAUUCAACACCGAAUUCAUUUGUCCAUGCUUCUUUUACAAUUUACAUAUAUCACACUGUUGAUUAAUCUUUUUUCCAGUUAUGUGAUAAUUGAUGUAGCACCGCGCAGGCAUUUCAGGGUGUCAAAGUUUCCUCCUGUUCAAUAACUAGAAAAACCCUUUUACAUGCCUCAUAAAGCCAUUCAGAUAUUUCAAGGGAAAAAACAAACAAACAAGAGAGCUAGAACUCUGCUUUUUGAACGAGGGGGUCCAACUUUAUAUAUAUAUAUAUAGGUAAAUAAGAGUUUGUAUUAGAAAUGCCUAGAAGUAGCGAAAAAGGUAUACAGAAAGUAUACAAACAUCGUCAUAGGAGCUAUGAAAAAAGAAAGACAAAAAACCUUCUAUCUAGAUAAAAAAAAAAACCACUUUAUAAAAUCAAUCAUGAACAAAGAAUAAUCUUCUAAAUACACUAAAACCUAAUUCACAAAAGUAUACAAAAAAAAAAAUGUUUUAAAACUUGGUUGAACCAUUCAAUGUCAUUGAACACUCUUUCAUUUCUUUUCUUCCAUAAGGUCCACAUUAAGCAAAAGGGGGCAGCCCUCUAAGCCUUCUCCCUUCUUUUAUUCACAAAAGCUUUAUGUCAACCAAUCAAAUUCCUUUUAAUUGGGAAGUACAAGACUCAUUGUACACUAAAUAGAGAGAAAAACAAGCUUCAUAGCACUGUAACCUUUUUACAAAAUAGGAUUAGGUGAUAACCGAUUUCCUCUUUUUUUUUUACACAAGUAACACAUAUUCGACGUAUUCCUCUUCUCAAGGGCAUUGUCCAACUUGAGAAGUACUUUUUCUGCUUCUUGAUGUUACAUUCGUGAUAAUUAGAAUCCCACUUGUCGUAAGUGGAAAAAUGAGUAAGAAAAUUAUCCUAAAAUGACUAGGUAGAAGUGGCUAAAACCAAAAAGACGAACACAACAUCUCAAUUGGCAACCAAGCUAGCCAUGCCUAUGGCUUACAUGUACAACUUUACAGGCAUUGGCCCUUGGCUAGGUAGCUAUUUAGCCAUUACGAGGGAACCAAUUAGCAACUAACUAGGGUAGAUUCUUGAGCCUAAUGCCUUGUACUGACUAGGCAUGGCAGCUAAGUCUGACACGCUAGGCCGACCACUUCAGCCCAACGAGAUAACCGUCAUAAUUAGAUAGGAUGGUUAUGACUAACUCCCAAUGUUUGCCACCUAUCUGAAUAAAUGAGUAGAUUCUAUAACAUCCCGCACUUCCCACAAUAAUGUCACUGUGUCUGAUAUGAUUAUCCCUUUAUAUAUGAUAUACACCAUACAAUCAUGUUAGAUUAAUUUCAUUAAUCUCUAUUAAGGUUUUGACUAAAUAUACAUAAUUGUCAUUGAUUUGAAAUUUUAUUAAAUAUUUAUCAUAGUUUGAGUGAAAAGGAAAGUGGGUAAAAAUAAUAAAUGAAAAUGAUAGAAAAAAUAUUUUAUAAAAUUUUAAAUUAAUAAAAAUUAUGUAUAUUUAGUCAAAACCUUAAUAGAGACAAAUGAAAUUAAAUCGAAUUAUGUUAGAAAUGCCACCAAUCUUAUAUGAACAAUCCAAGUACUCUUCCUAAACUAUCCACCUAAGAUGCCAAAUAAGAGACAAAAAUAGGAAAGAAGGUAACUUUGAUAUAUCCUUUAAGAAUUCCCUAGUUUUCCAUUCUCUCUUUUCUGCUCCCUAAAAACUAAUUUGAACAUUGGGAAAGAAUUUUCAAGACCCCCUUGGAUCUUCCUUGCUUUGUAGGUCAUUCUUUAGUGCUUUAAGAAAUUGCCCAAGUUUGGAUUUGCUCAAUUAGCUCGUGUUAAAACUUUCCCGAUCAUUAUUUUGCCAACAAGUACCUCCGCUUAUUCAAUCCCCUCUCCUCCACUAGAUCUUUCAAAGUCAUUCAUGAGUGAUGACCUCUUCCCAUUCUUUUCCCUUUCAUACACUUCUUUUAUAAAGUGACACUCCAUCCUCUUUGUUAAUGCCCUAUUUUAUAAAAUUCAAAUUAUAAUGUAUUACAUGUGUAAUAUAUAUCAUGCUAACUUCAUGUACUCAUCAACUAUAAGAUAUCACAUGUCUUGCUACAUAAUAAUACAUGUUCAAUACCACUUUUCAUUAACAUAACAUGUUAAACAUUUCACUCUUGAUCUCAAUGUGUUGAUAGAUCUAUGUUUUGCUUAUAUAGCUUCUAUGUCAUAAUAUUAUGUUCACUAAUUAUAAAGGCUUAUCUUCAAAUAUGUUAUUAGGUAAUCUAGAUGUUUGUGAGAUACCAAUACAUGCUCAUGAAAAAUGCCAAGGGAUUUCUCAUAUUAUACUUUUUGGUGAAUGUGAUACUAAGAGAGUUGAUUGUACCAUCCCUUACCAAAGAGAUACUUAUGGCUAGAUGAGCCAUAUCUCAUGGAUGGUGUCACCCUUAACACCUCAUCUUGCUGUUAAUACGUUUACUCGAAUUUGAAGCAUUGUUAGAAGGUUCAAAAUAGACUUGAUGCAUCUAAAGGGUAGAAAUAUUUUUCCACCAUUUAGCAUUUUGAGACCAGUUUAAAGAUCGUUUUAUGGUUAGAAGUUCAUUGAGCUGAGGAUUAACAUGCAAUGAACCGAAUCUCGAUCAGAACGAAAGGGAUAAAACCACUGUGUCUUUAUUACACAGGCUAUUUUCAAAAGCUUUAGUAUUAUCAAUGAUACAUUUACUUGAUAUCUACUAUUUUGGAAUACUAUAAAAAGAUUCAAUUUAUCGUCAAACUAAAUAAGAAAUAUUCCUCUGUACACCUUAUUUCACUAUCACUCUCUAGUCCUUUCACGUCUCUGACUCUGCUCUACUCUCACCUUAGGUUAUUGACUCGGGAUUACAAGAACCUACACAAACACCCUUAAAUGCGGCGCCAACAUUCUUUUGAAAAUGCCUUGUAUACCCAAAGUUGAACGGGGCUUUCCUCUGGAUUUUUACCUAUCAAUCUUAUCCAAUUUGAGUCAUCAAUUCGUUGUUUUUUUCCGCCAAUUAAUUAAUAAAAUCUCUUUCUUCCUCGAUGAUGUUUGCAUAGAGAAUUGAAUACUGGAGAAAAUAAAUAAAUAAAUAAGAAGUUAUGGUAGAAACUUCCCCCUGUUUUCCUGUGAAAAGAUGGGACAAAUAUUAAACCGUGGUUUAGCCGAAACUAGUUCUGGCUGCCCUCUGCCACUAGACUAUAGUUCGCUAACAACGGCAAAAAUUACAACAUAUACCUCGUCUCCCCUGUAUGAUUGUGGGUCAUGACUGAUGAGACUUGGCGGAGCAAUUCAGAUAUGAGUCAUAUGACAUUCUUUUCUUUCCCCUAUGGGAUCCUACAAUUGACCCAAAAGCGAAGAUGCAGCAUGGAAGCGGGUCAUGGCCCCUUCAUCCAUUCUUAAACAUGAUGACAUGGAAAAGUUUUCUCAAAUACCCUGGGUUUCAUGAAUCGGGGUUUUUGGUUGGUGGGGGGCGGCUGGCUUCAUAGGAAGCCCAGAAUAGCAAUAAAUUGGGGAAAAAAAAAAAUCAGAUCCAUGAGACAGUUCAUGUUACAAUUAUAAAAUAUUCCACAUAAUUCCCCAAGCAGAAACAAUUUGGACUUAUUUAGCUUCGUUACACACAAGGAACAUGUAAGCAGACAAACGGAUUCCUCCAACUUAACAAAAAUCUGAUAAUCGAUGCCUCUGACCAUGGACGCACUGCCUCAGCAAGGUGGAAUAUGUUCGUAUAAAUUGUUUAAAAUGAACACGCAAAAUCAUCGCCACUUUCUAUAUCUUUUGAUUUGUAUAAAUUGUUUACAAUGGACACACAAAAUCACCACUAGUUUCUAUAUCUUCAUCAGCGUCAAUGUCAUCAAGAUCCAUGCUGCCUUCCAUAAAAGGCCCACCCGCCUUGCGCACUCCGGUAGUUUUCCUUGCCUCUUGUAUUAUGGAUAGUAUCUCUUCUACACUUUGGGAUGGGUUAUUUACAUCAUUUUUCUGCCAGCUUCCUCCAUCCAUCAUUUCUAUAGGCAAGUUCUUUAAGAACCACGGAUGUGUCUUAAUUUCCGGGAUUGUUAUUCUCUGCAAAGAUACAAAUAGGAACACAACAAGAACAUCAGAGGUUCGGAUCCAGAUUCAACAUCGCAUUUACUGUGCAAAGAGAGAAUGGAAAAAAGAUAAAAAAAAAGAGAAAAAAAGAAAAAAGGCUAACGCUAGGGCAAUUGCAUUGGCUAACUAGAAGAAAAAAGAAUUCAAAUUACUUGUCAACUAAGAGCUCUGCAUGAAAUACCUCUAAUUUUAUUGACACUUAUAUGGUCUAUGUUACCCCAUUCAAGAAGAUUUCAAAUCUAAUGGUUAUUAGAAGUGAACCAGACCCCUAUUAAUUGGUUCUUAAGAGUUCUUAAUAUGAACAAAGUUUGGGUGAGCCAGGCUAUCAUCAACAAGAAGCACAUUACCUUAUCUGGGUUUGCCACAAAAACUCGAGAUAGCAGAUGUCUACACUCAAUGGACACUCUGACGUAAUCUGGAAUUGAGUAGUGGACGCUAAGUAUUCUCUGUCAUGAGCAGAAAAAUCAUGAUUAAAAAUAAGAAAACCAACGUAUAAUCAACACGAGCUUGCUUUGUUUUUUGUUUCUUUUUGGGCGGAUUUUUUUUUCUUAGGAGGAGAUGGUGGGGGAGGGGGAGGAUGUUGGUACUAUACUCACACCAAUUGUCUUCCUGAAGUUUCUGGGAUCAUCAGGAUCUUCAAAGGGAUACGCCCCAACCAGCAUCACAUAUAAAGUGACCCCACAGGACCAAACAUCUGAGAGCUACAGUUCUUAAGGAUUAGAUAUGGAUAAAUAAGUGGUAAGGCAAACACAGCGGGCAAAAGAGAGAAAUUGGUUUCACCUUCCCAUCAUAUUCUUUUCUAGACAGGACCUCAGGUGCAAUGUAGGCUGGUGUUCCAACAGUAGAUUUUGGUUGAGAGUGCAACACAGAUGACUACACAAAAGACAGCCACUAUUCAGAGUUUCAUCAAAUAACAGCAGCAACUAGAAAAUAUUCAUGAUCUGGUUCUGCCUCAUUAGCACAACAAUUACCUUUGAGUAUCCAAAAUCACAUAUUUUGACACGUGGUGCUGUACUUCCAUCUAAGAGUGUAUUUUCCAGCUUAAGAUCUCUAUGACAAAUUCGCUGCAAGUAUUACAUAAACCUCUUUAAAACCAGUCAGCUUGAGGACCCUGAAAUAACUAUUUACAAUAGAAAUUUACAACACAUAAACAAGAAAAGAUUAAAAUAAUACCAUUGAAUGGCAGUAACUGACUCCAGAUAUCAGUUGUUGGAAGAAAAAUCUUGCCUGAUGCAAAUUAACAGAAACAGCAAAGUGGUAAGACUUAAACUAAAUUCUUCAUCAAUAACUAUAUAGAUACAAUCAUACAAGCAUAGAGCUUUGGAGGAAUCCAUCCUUUCAUAAUUUUCAAGGAAUGCGUAAUGGAGAUAAUGAUGCCACGGAUGCACAAGAAAAACUACCCUAAAAAAAGGGUAAAAUUGUCGCAUGGAAUUUCUCAUCCAUAAUGGUCCCUCUCAGAACGUUUAUAUUCGGCUGCUUAUAAAUGUCAUCCAUGGCAAUGUCUUAUACACCCUACUUUUUGUUACUACAGAUGCUCCAAUCUAUCCAUACCCUUGUAAAAGAGGCCUAUCAUUUGGAGAGAAACAAUCUAAUAAUCUUAAUACCUUAACCACUAAUCAGUCAGAAUGAACUGCACUUUCAUGAUCAAGAAAGCAAUAUGGUAAAACCACCACACCUAAAUAAGUUUUGAAUUUGGCCCAGGUAUAUGUUAGCCAACAACUAGGGGUUUUGAUUGAAGUAUUUGUCCCAGGAGUUGGAAAUAAUAUGAGAUUGAAGCCAUUUCCAUUUGUUCUUGCAGUACUUGGGCACAAAUUCCAUCUAUUAAACUGAAGCAAUCAUUUCCACCUCCAGCCCACCAGGAAAGGAAGCAAAGAUAUUGCAAAGCUGGGUUCAUCACAGGAACUUGUAAAUUUGUAAGUAUUCUUGAAGUUUUAAAGCUAACCCGAUAACACAAAAUCAUUUUAAAAGCCACAGAAACAAAUUGUGCAAGAUACAGAUGGAACAUUUUCAUUUCCAUGGAUGACCCAAACAACACUCACUACAUAGUUAAUGAUUUUUUGCUUGAAUUUUCCUCUUUUACUUUACCUCAUCCUCACUGAAUCUACCAGCAUUGCAUAUCCUCCCAAAGAGUUCUCCUCCUGCAGCAUACUCCAUGACUAUCGCUAGAUGAGUUGGUGUCAGCAAGACCUGCAAUGAUAGCCACCCAAACUCUUAAUCUGAAUUAACAAAGAUACACUGGUAAAUUUCCAACCCUUUUAGUUUCUCUUAAUGGGAGUUGAGCUCAUACAAAUAAAGGAGGAACAACAACAUUCUACUAACUUAAGCAUGAAAGGCUAUGUGGGCAUUAGCAAAUGCCUUGUCAUAUUUUGAUAAUCUAGAAUGGAAACUGAAGCUUUAUUUUGGGUUUGGUUUUCAAAUUAAGCAAGAAACUGGAUCAGCUGGUAACAGCAUUCCUCACAGUAUACAAAACAAAAUAAGUUUGUCUUCAAGUAUCAUUUUUCUUCAGAUUUCUUAGUCUAAUCGCAAAAGGUAUAUCCUUGAAGAACACAUUCAUUUCUAGUGGAAAUAGACUCAGAGUUACUGAUUUAGAAAUUUGUAAAAACAAAAAAUCACCUGAAUGGUCGAAAGAAGGAUUUUCCAAUGACUAGUUUUAUAAAAAAAUAUUGUUAAAAAAAAAAAAAAAACAGAGCCCUGAAAACAAGGACAGGCAUCUCCUAAUGAGAGAAAAUAUAAUUCUCUCGUGAGGGAUCUCAAGAUUCUCAACCAUAGAAAUAAAUAACAAGUCUAAAACCCGAACAAAACCUCUCACCAUUGAGCAUUAAGUAUUCGUCCCUCCUGCAUAGAAUGUUCAUACCACAUUGAAGGAAACUAGCAUUUAUACUAACCAUCUAAAUCCCCAACAAAACACUCAUACAACAUAAAGAACUUUAAAUACAAACCUCCUUGAAUCUAACUAUAUUGGGAUGCAUCAAUGAUCUAUGGUUCAUAAUUUCCCUUUGCACAUGUUCAUCAAUCUGCAACACAAAACAACCUCUAUAUCUGUAAUAAGAUCAAAGACUGAAAGCAAGAACAUUAUCCUUUUUUAUACAAAAUCAGCUUUAAAAAUCCCAACCAAGAAUUUAAAAGCCCGGAUGAAAAAGAAAGUGUAAUCACAUCUGACACAUCAAAUUUCCUUAAAAAAAAAAAAAAAAAAAAAGAAUUAGAAGAAAGGAAAAAAGAAACGGUCAACCCUGUACCUUCUGGCCUCUCUCAAUAAACUUAACAGCAAAGAGUUCUCUAGUGCGCUUAUCCGAAACAAGCCUGGCAACCCCGAAAUUCCCAGAUCCAAUAUCUUUAAUAAUCUCGUAACGCUCCAUAGCUUUAGAUCAUCAAACUACAAAAUCCGAAGAGUCUAGCUAUAUAUUUCCAAUUUUUUCCUCUCCCCUCUCUAUCGUCUCAGUUCUUCGUCAAAGAAAGGGGCAUGGAUUUCUAAGCUGUUGGAGUAAAGGCAACUUGUAGUUUUGAGUUUAUCCCGUCCUUGAUGAAGUACAAACCCCCAUUGUAUCGGUCGGGCAGCCUUCAAUUGUAUUUUACGCUGUGAGCAUGGUGACCGGAGAAACGUGUAGAAAAACGUGGAGAGACCUGGAAUUUGCAGCUGACAAUGACAUGGUUUUGUUAGUAUCAGGCGGUGUGCAGCAUGCGGAUACCCUUGUUUUCCAUGGCCAUGAGGGAACGGCUGGCGGUCCUAGAUUUGCCACGUCCCUACGGCACCCGCUGAAUUUUCCUUCCUUAAAACCCUUGCAGCACGUCAACUACACGUCAUCGAUAUGUUACAUGAUAUACAUGUUCUGUUAAUCUUAUGAUUCUGACACAUCAUCUUAUUCGAUGAUCCACCUCAACCCUAUAUCCUUUUCAAUUUGUUUUUGGUAAAUAGACGGAUUAGAUAAUUUUUUUCAAUAAUAAUAAUAAUUAAAUAACUAAAGCUAUUCAAUUAAGUAAAAUUGGCAUAAUACAAUUUCAACCAUUAAACAGUUUUUUGGCCCCCUUCUCACAAUAGGACAAAUUUUAAAGAAGAGAAGGCGUGCCAUGGUCGCAAGGUGCCACUACGAGAUACAGAGGCGACCAACCGAACAAUUGAAAAACCAUGUGUAAUGACUGGGGUUGGUUGCAAGUUGCUGCUACUAGACAAAGGGGAGACAGCUUGGUAAGACCCACAUAUUGAUGGGUCAUGACUGUGCAGUAAAUAUUUGCGACUUUGGAAGAAAAAAAAAUCUAAAUUAUAUAAUUUGUUUAUGAAUAUGGUUGGCAAUGAACGGUAUACAUAUAAACCUGAUUGUAACAUUUUUUUUUCACCAUAUGAAAGGGUAGCUGCUGAGAUUGUAAUUUCUGAAUCUGUUAAAUCAAUCUCAGAGGAUCCUGUAUUGCUAUAAAUAUAUACAUAUACACCCGACAGAAUAAGCUGAACGUUCUAUGAACAAGUCAUGAGCUCAUCCCCAGCAGCGACAACGGAAGGGCCAAGAUAUGGUGCUCUAGUGACCACUAGAUCAUCUGGCAAAUCUCUUUCCUCAAGUAUGACGUAACCUGCGCCACAAAUAUUGAAGCAGCAAAAUCAAAAUCCAUCUCAAGAUCAGGUAAGCAUCAUAUCUCAUUACUUUUUACUCACCAGGAAGCGUUGGAAUUGGCAUGUCAUUAAAGUAAGUGGAAGGCCUUCCAAACUCCUCACUGUAUGGCGGAGCCAACACAUCCAAGAUGGCACAAGGAGUGAGUGCUGUGAAGGAAUGAAUGUUUCCACCGCUCCUUGGGAAUAAGAUGGAUGGCUCGCGUGGUGCGUUGAAGAUGCUGUUUGUCACAAUUCCAGCUAGUCCAACUGCACCCACCAAUUCCAUAAUAAAAUCUCCACGUUCCCAUAGGAUUUGACAACGGGAAAAUGAAAGUCGCUAUUCGAUAGUCAAAAAAUGCAAUUGAUGUUGCUUAAUUUGAAUAUCCUUUCCAUACUUAUGUAUAGAUGAUGUUUCAGCUGUGAGUUGCAUAUUCUACCUCGUCCAGAACCUCGUCCACAUAGCUACAGCCUACAGGCACUAUUACUCCAGAGACUCUUAACUUAAACGCGACCGUUGGGGAUUGACUAUCGUGAACAAGUGUGUCAAUUUCUCCCAACUCCUAUGUAAAGUUUCCAUAUAAAUAAUCAUGCUCGAGCUUAAUAACUGUCCCUACAGAUUCAUUUACCUGAUCAAAGUUUAAUUAAGAAGGGGUUAAAAAUGGAGGUAUAUGUGGGGAAUGGGGUAAGUAGUACCCCAACUAUGUAUCUGGAGAAUGGAGAUCCUUCUGCUUGACGCUAAACCAUCGGAAGAAGUUGCUUCUGCACAUACUCUAAGAACCGUAUGUUGUUCAUCUUCAAUUUAAUUCCCUAGAUAAGGCAUGAAGUGUGUCUGGAUUAACUGAUUUAUUAGUGUAUUGAUCAUUCUUUGUUAAAAUGUGUCUUGAUGGCAUCAUGAUAUAUGCAUAAAGAAAGAGCACAACUACAAUCAAGUUCUUACUUGUUCUGCAGCUGGAAUUCUCUGCUUUCACCCAGUCAUAAGCUUUAACAUGAACAGAACCAUAGAGGAGUUUGCUCAGAACCGUCAUAUUUGGAUGAUCAUGAAGGGGAAAUGUUCCUCCUGCAGGGAAGCAAAACACUCCCAUCUGCCCAUCACAAAACCAAGUCAUCCCAUUUUACCUUUCACUGAUCGUCAAAACAAAUAACAUUCCACAUCCUGGCAUUCACAAACAUGUUUUCACUUACAGAGAAAUUGUCGCAUUCACGUAUGUGAAUAUAAGUUAUUUCAGAGACUGCUUGUCCGCAAACCAAUCCUUUUGUAAUCUUUGGGCUUGAAAAUGGAGACUGGUGUAAGCUAAAUUCGUCAAUCCCAACAUCGAUGGCUUCCAUUAAGUCUGCGUGAAAUGAAAUUCAAAACUUCAUACAAACUUGCAACUCUUUUUCUCAAUAAAUAUUCAUGAAAGGAGAUCGAUGCAAUACCUAGGAGAUUCUUCAGCCACUGAAUCUGUUGGAAAGUUGGAAGCUCCUUCUGAGAGAACACAGCAUCACAGGCAUCAUACAGCACUUGUAUCUUACUUCUCUCAAUUGCGCAGUCCAUGGCCUUCUGUUGCCUGAAUUUGUCAUGCACCACUGGAAGCCGGUGAAUGGUGAUAAAUAGAGAGAGAAGACUUGUAAAAUUCAAACUACAUCAACUAAACCUGGGGCUUUGUCUUGACUUUGGCUUACUGUGGGCUUCUUUUUUCUUCUCGCUUGUGUUUCUGCUUUUCCAAGUCACGAUUGCCUCAUGGCCUUGAGGUAAUUAUGAAGUCUCGGUACGCACACAUCAUCCCAAUGAGAAUUAUUGAAAGGCAAAGUCGUCAUUCCCAACAGGAACUCUCCUAAUUCAAGUGAAUCAGGAUAUUGGCUUAUGCAGUAACCGGUAAGUUCAUAGCAUAAGAAUAUUAAAUUUCACAACGAAACACAUGAAAACAAUUGAUUGAGUUUUACGGGAAGAGCAUUACUUCAUACUCCACCAAAAAAUAACACUGCCUUGGCCUAAGCACUCGUUUUUCCAUAACGCUAAGGUUUAAGCUAAACACAGGGCAGGCGUUUAUGAGACUGCUCGGAGACGUUUGUAGGUGAAUCGUGCGAAAUGUCACAUAAAGAGAUCAUAUGAGAAUUAAGAAACAAGGCUGAGGUUGAUGCAAUGAUGCAUUCAUAUAACAAGUUAGGGAGCAGGGUCCAACAAUGCCCUUAAUCACAAGGUAAGGACAGAAAGACUUUUCACACUAGAGUGCAGCAUUCACAUUUCAAUGCUUCAUAGUGAAUUUGGUAUGCAUUGUGUGAAACAUCCCACCCAAAACCAACGGGCCCGCCCAAGCAGACAAUGACAAUCAUGAGUCUCAACUCUUUUUGACCUACGAAAUUGGAAGUUUCUGGGGAAAAAAUCAUUAAUCUUUACUACGUGCGAUUACCUCGUUUGGAGUGCGGACCAUCAACCGUGGAAAUUGAAAUGGCUAAGAUGUCUUCGAAUAUUUCAAAAUAUAUCUGUAUACGUAUGAUGUUUAAAAGUCGGAUGCGAAUCCCAUUAAUAUUAUAAAUUUAUGGAUAAAAUUUAAUUUAUAAUAAUAAUAAUAAUAAUUUUUAAUUUUUUUCUAAAUAAAUAAUCUUCAAACUAAAUAACACUUGAUAAUAUAUUAAAUUUAUUAGUAUGUCUAUUAAUUUUUUAAAAAAAAUUGAAAUUCAAAUAAUAAACCUAUUAAUACCAUAAAUUUAUGAAUAAAAAUUAUUUUAGACCAUAUUAUUUUUUCUGUACAUAAUUAUAUUUUAUAAAUUUUAUCAUUAAAAAAAAUAAACUUUAAAUAGAUUUUAUAUUUAAUUUAUUAAUUAUUUUAACAAUUUUUAUAAAUAAUUUAAAACUAAAAAAAUAAAUAUAGUUACCGAAAAGAAUAAUACAUCAAAACUAAUAGAUCAUAACUUAUGACUUUACAGUUGUUUCUCCUCUAAACAUGAUGAUAUUUUUUAAAUUUUCUCAUAAAGUAAAUAUAUUAUAAAUUAAGUAAGACAUAGUUAAUAAAUUCAAAUUUUUUUAUCUAAUUUUUUUAUUUUUAAUAUUAAUUUUGAAUUCAAAAAUUUGAUUUAAUUAAUUGCAUACUAAAUUAAAACAUUAUAUUCUUAAUUAAGUACUUAACAUGACUUCACUCAUUUUCAUAUUAAAAAUUUUAAAUUUUAUGUGUUAUUCAUUUUAAAUAAAAUAUUAUUAAUAAUUUUUAAAUUAUUAUUAUUCAUUUUUAGAAAAAAAAAUAUAUGAAGAUAUUAAUAACUUGUGUUUUUUGUAUACACUAAAAUCGUAUUUUUUUUUUGUAAAAAAAAAUAUAAUUUAUGAUUUAUCAUAAUAUCUUUAUUCAUGUUAUACUAAAAAUUAUUUAUUUUUUUAAUUUAUUUGUAAUUAUAAAAUUAUUUUUAUUUUUAAUAAAACUUAAAUAAAUUUAAUUAUAUAUAUUAUAUAAAUUAUAUUUACAAUGUUUUCACAAAAUAAAAAAAGAAUAUUUUUUAAAAAAUCCAUUUUUUUUAAAGCAAGUUGACAAACAACUUUAUUUUUAUAAAAUAUUAAAAAAAAACAAACAAUGUUUUUUUUUUAACUUACAAAAAAUUUUAAAAAUAAGCAUAAAAAGCAUGAUCAAACGGUCCUAUUAUUUUUUUUUAAAUUUAUAAAAAUAUGAAAAUAAAGAGAUUUUAGGUAUUAUUUUACAAAAAUAUUAAUUAAUCUUUAAUAUGAAAUAAAAUAUAUUUUAAUCUUUUUGAAUUAAAAAAAUGAUUAUAUUUUCUCAAAUAUUAUCCUUCAUUAUAACUUAUCUCAAUUUUCCCUAAAUUUUUUCCUUUUAUAACUAUAUGUUAAGAGUAUUUUUAUGGAAUAUGGAAAUUUAGGUAUGUUAUCAUGAUGUUCCUUUUUCUACUUCGCCGUUAACAAAUUUCCGGUUCCGUCAACGGUUACAAACUCACAAAUUGCGAGGGACACCGAGUCAGAGACCCUGUAAUCCGUCACGGGUUAUAUGGGUCAGUGGACCAGAGGCCCAAUAAUCCCUCUAUAGCCCAACUCACGGAUGCGUGCCAGCUGCCUACCCAUUGCGAUCCCCUAUAUCCCUCGAAAUCGGACGGUCCCUAUUCACUUCUCCCAAAUCACUCUCUGGCAACGCGAUCAUAGCUCCACCACCCCCAAAAAAGAAACAGGCUAAAACAAACCACCCCUGGCUCUAUCCCUCUCAAAACCAAACCACACCAAAACCAACAGAUCUAGAAAUCGCAGGCUCUCUCUUCCCCCAACAGAAAAAAAUUCAUCAGAAUCAAUGGCGGCAGCUCCAUCCGCACGCGAAG
RNAcentral lists this long non-coding RNA (148587 nucleotides) under Vitis vinifera (wine grape). RNAcentral's name for it is "long non-coding RNA (VVIN_LNC005936)". The record is from RNAcentral. Lineage: Eukaryota; Viridiplantae; Streptophyta; Magnoliopsida; Vitales; Vitaceae.